GUCUGUAUUGUAGGUUUGCAAGAAUACAAGGUAUCCACUGUGGAGACAGUCAGGGAGUUGAUUGAGAAAGGAAAUGCAACAAGGAGUACUGGAACCACUGGUGCAAAUGAGGAAUCCUCCCGUUCGCAUGCCAUACUUCAGCUCGCCAUCAAAAGAAAGGUUGAUGACAAUGAUUCAAAACCAGCUCGACUAGUUGGCAAGCUAUCUUUCAUUGAUCUUGCUGGAAGCGAACGUGGGGCUGAUACAACUGAUAAUGACAAACAAACUAGGUAGCAUUAGAUUAGAUAGAUCUGCUAUGUGUAUGAGUAAGAAUUGCAAGAAAUUGUCAACUUAUUUGAGGAUCACUGAAUCUUACCUUCUUUUGCAGAAUGGAAGGUGCUGAAAUUAACAAGAGCUUACUUGCUCUAAAAGAAUGCAUUAGAGCUCUUGACAAUGACCAGGGUCACAUUCCAUUCAGGGGGAGUAAACUGACUGAAGUUCUGAGAGAUUCAUUUGUUGGUGACUCCCGUACAGUGAUGAUAUCCUGCGUUUCACCAAAUUCAGGGUCAUGUGAACAUACUCUGAACACUCUAAGAUAUGCUGACAGGUAAAGCCAUCAUGUAAGAGAAGUUUCAUGAAGUUAAAAUGUACUUUGCUUUAGAAAGGUCUAAGGUUCAAUUGCAUAUCAGGGUUAAGAGUCUAUCUAAGGGGAACAGCUCAAAGAGGGAACCGCUGUCCACAUUAAAUCUUCGUAGUUCAACUCCAGUGCCUUUGUCCUCAAUCAGUCAAGUUGUGUCAGGCCCUGAGGAUAAUGUAUUUGGUGGGCUGCAGAACCAAGAGCUCAGCAAACUUGGAUGGCCUAAACAACAAGAAAGGGAAUCCUCACUAUCUUCCAACAUUGAGCGUGUUCCUAGUGGUCAAGCACAGAGCAAUUUGGCUGCCACAGUGCAUAUAGAGAAUCACAAGCAAUUUGGUCCAAGUAUUGAUCGUGUUCCUAGUGGACGAGCCCAAUGGAGUAGUCUGGUUCACACAAAUGAAGAUAAUUUUGAUGGCUCUAAAGGGAUCUCUGACCAUGCAUCUUGGUCUAUAAAUCCAAAAUUGGAUAGCCAUCAGCUACGAAAUAUAGAUGAUAAGACUGGAAACGUAAAGUAUGGGGACCCAUCUGAACUUGAGCCAAGUAGCUUGAUCGCAGAAGAUGAUCUUACUGCUUUGUUAAAGGUAAAAGCAAUAUUUGAUCUUGGUUUACUUGUCAAAAGAUAAAAUAACAACUGCUAAGUUAAAAUUCUACUUGUUUGAUGUCAGGAAGAGGGAGAUCUUAUCAAUGCUCAUAGAAAACAAGUUGAGGAAACUAUGGAAAUUGUCAAGGAGGUUGGUUAUUCAGUGCUUUUUGCCUAUCUGCGUACAAUAAGUUUUAAAAUACAGUUAAGUAUUAAGCUGCAUCUCUUGUUUACUGUGUUUCUCUAUGCAGGAGAUGAGUCUAUUAGUUGAAGUUCAUGAACCCGGUAAUCAGCUUGAUGACUAUAUUUCUAGACUGAAUGCCAUUCUAUCCCAGAAGGCUGCUGGAAUUCUGCAAUUGCAAAAUCGCUUGGUAGAAUUUCAAAAGCAUCUUAAAGACCACGAGGUUUUCUUAUUUCCUUCUGGUCAUUGAGUCAACUGUUGAGAUUCGACAGAAACUACCACUUAUACAGAGUUAGCCUCAAAUUGGUGAUACUAUGACUUCUUGGUCCUACCUGGUCUGCAAAUUUUAGGUUGGUUGCUUUGAGAUCUACUUCCGGGGGACAAUACUACUAGAUGUACAGACUUACCGAGCGGAUUAUGGAAGGCUCAUCAAACGAUGCAGAAAUGCAGUAAUUAGAUGUUCAAUCGAAAUGCUGCCAAUAGCUAUAUGGGACGGGUUAUGCAACUAUUGGCAGUGUAUCUUGGAGCCUCAGAAGUCUCAGCAUGUUGAAAGAUAUUGUAAGAAACUUUGGAUUGGGCUUGUGCUGGUGAAAAUUUUCACCCCAAUUGUUGGUUAUGUUGUAUGGGUGACGGUACGAGAAUGCCUGUCAUCUGCUUUGUGUGCAUAUAAUGGGUACCGUUCCUUGGAGUUUGCCAUGUUAUUACAUCCCGACUCCUAAGAUAAAACUACAACUCAACCUAAAGUGUAUUUUCAUUUGAGUGCAUGAGGUAAUCGCUAGAUAUCCGUAUGUUAUUUCUAGACUCACAGAAGUAACGAACUUUGACCGCAAGCACCGUAUCUCACUUGUCCCUAUGGAUAGCAAAAGUAGUUUUUCAGAAGAGAGAUUAUGGCAACUUGUUUUCAUCCCUCAUGAUGAAUCUACAGGGAAAUAUUUACACAAAUAUUGAAGUUCUUUAAGGAGACCAUUAAUUCGGCAAAACACAAAUCUAUAAAUCAACGGGUUAUAUAUAACAAAAAGAUGAGGAAUCAGCUAGAUCAAAUUGCAAGGAGGCCACAGGGUUCGAUCUCCAUCCGACCCAUCAUCCAAACACUUGGGAUCCUCGGUUACAUUACACUUGGGAUCCUCGGUUACAUUUUUUUUAGUGCCAACCCAAUGCCACCACUAGAAUUGUGUCAAGUGUCUUGUUGUCAUUAGCAUUUUAAUUUUUUAUUAACUCAAAUUGGUUCAAAAUUAACACAAAUUUUCUUAUUCUCUAAAACUCUAAACCAAAAGGCACCCGGCCGGUCUAACUCCUGCAUCGAUAAUUUUAUACCGCUGCUGCUUUGGGGAAAAAGAAUAAGAAAACCCUCUGUUUCCGAUGAUUGCCUUCAUUUGUGGCUUGAUCGAUGGUGUUCCAGUAAACCAUUAGCCCAAGAGCUUUGUGUCGUGGAUCCGCCGCAUCAGUUGGUUUCAGAUUUCUUUGGUCCAAGAAUUUGAUGGGGCAAGGAGUUAGCAUUGGGAUUCGGAGUUCAACCAAUGAAUGCGUCUGCAAGGUUGAUAUUAAGCCUUGGUUAUUUACUCCAAGAAAAGGGUUCAGAAGUUCAGAGGCCAAUUCCACUGCAAUUGACAUAUAUUGGGAUUUUUCAUCCGCAAAAUUUGGUUUUGGCCCGGAACCGCUAGAGGGGUUCUAUUUAGCUGUUGCAUUUAACCAAGAACUUGUCCUGCUCCUCGGGGAUUUGCAAAAGGAAGUGUAUAAGAAAAUAGGUCCUAGCCCUGUUGAAUCUAAUACGGUGUUUAUUGCCAAAAGAGAGCACAUCUUUGGGAAGAGAGUAUACACUACAAAGGCUCAAUUCUGUGACCACGGGCCGAUACAUGACAUCGAAAUUGAGUGCGAUACUGGGGGGAUUAACGAUCCAUCUCUGGCCAUCAGCGUGGAUAGCAGAGCGGUGUUGCAGGUGAAGCGGCUGCGGUGGAAGUUCAGGGGGAACCAGACUAUUUUGGUGGAUGGACUGCCGGUGGAAGUGUACUGGGAUGUUCACAGGUGGUUCUUAGGGAAUGUUAUGGGCAAUGCUGUUUUCCUGUUUCAAACCUGUCUCUCGGCCGAGAUGCUGCGAAACAGAGGGUUUUCUUAUUCUUUUUCCCCAAAACAGCAGCUGUACAAAAUUAUUGAUGCUGGAGUUAGACCGGCCGGGUGCCUUUUGGUUCCGAAUUUUAGAGAAUAAGAAAAUUUGUGUUAACUUUGAACCAAUUUGAGUUAAUAAAAAACUAAAGUGCUAAUGACAACAAGACACUUGGCGCAAUUCUAACGAUGGCGUUGCAUUGGCACUAAAAAAAAUGUAACCGAGGAUCCAAGUGUCAUCCAAAGCACUAAACAGGGGUGCUACGAACGAAAAAACAACUUGAUUCAAGUGUGGGACUAAACCAUUAAUGGUGUAGAGUCAAAUGCUAGAAAAUUCAAAAUGGUGGAGAAGAUUUUGAAUGAGAGAACAAUCUGAUUGAAUAGGCAUCGACUUGAGUUUGGAAUUUGUUGUUUGCACGCUGAGGUGCUUGGAAAACUUGCGGAUUCACCAGCCAGGAUAGUAUAAAUCAAUGGCUGGAAACCGUGCAAUAAGAUUUCCAGCAAUCCUGUUUGUGUUAAAAUUUGGCAAACAGCUCCCUUGGUGAAGCCCAGAAACUAAGGUUUUCCGUUUCCCACAGAAGAAAAAUAGAUUUUUGUUGUCCCAUUUUCUGUUUUUUGGUUUUUUUUUUUUUUUUUUUUGCAAAGAAAUGCAAGUCGCCAUGCUAAAAGAAAAGACUUGUGUUUUGAACAAAUUGUAUGCUAGACUGACCAGUAGUAAAGAAAAGAUUUGUCCAAGUACAAAAGAACUAAAACUUGUUGAACGGUCAUUUUCUGGCCUCACAGCCUCAUUUUUGUCUGCGCGUGUCGUGGAGGGUCAGCUGGGGACAGCGAAAGGGAAAGUAAUCCUCAGGAAGAAGACGACGUCUGUAAAACUUGAUGAAUGACUCCAAGAGUUUGAAGGGAGAGCCAGACGACCGCCAUAGGGCAAUUGGUAAACGACAGAAAAUGGCAAAGACCCAUACCGUCUCAUUACCAUCCAAGAUGAGAAGAAGAUAUAUACAACACAACUGAGUGGAGAAAAAAAAAAAACAGCACCCACGCCACGCACAAACCCACACCCGUCCCUUGACAAAUGCUGUGUUAUAUACAACGCAUCACAAAACCUCCCGCUGGCUGCUGCAGAUAGGUGGACGCAUCAAUGCGGAUUAGAUUUAGAUCCAGAACUAGAAGGGCACUGCUGGUUCCUCAUAGGUCACAAUUCACAAGUGAUGUGUCACUGGAUUUUCAAUACAAAUUUGGAAACGUAUAAUUUCUUCAUCAACUUUGCAAUGCAUAUAUUCAGGGUGAUCUUGACCAUUCAAUGAUUCCCCAUCCCUUUUUUGUCCGAAAGGUGCUUUGUCAUCAUUCUCUACUACUUCUUUGGGUUGAAAUUUAACGUCUCCCUGCUCCCACCAUAACUGCACUUUAAUUUACAGUCAAUGUUGCCCUGUUUGUUUAUAUUUUACGUCUUUUCUUUGAUUCCUCUCUUUCAUCCAACUGAGAAUCUCUUAUCUCUAGUUUAACCAAUUGUUGCUCUGUGGAUGCUCUUCGUUUCAUCCCCCAUUGGGUACUUGAAGAAAGCUGAGAAUUUACCGAGUGCCAUACAUAAGUUUACGACACUACCCAAGACGUAGGUGAUAAAUACUAGGUGGUUUUACCACGUAUGUAUGUUGAUUGGGAAGGGAAAAAAUUCUAGAGGAAAUUGUGGAGCUGCUCUCGCUUCUAAUCCAAGGGCUGCUUUAUGUUACCUCGUAUUCUAUCACAUCCACAAUUAUCCUUCUUAUCCAAAUACUUGUUUUUGAUUAUUUGCCUUUAGCAAAGUCGUUACCAUGAAACUGUGAAAGGAGCAUUUGCGAUAAAGGUUGGACUAAAAGUUGUAGCUCUAAAAGUUCAAAUAGAAAUUUUGUUUUCACGUAUAUGUAUGAUCUUGUCACCUUGUGAAUUUCUUUCUGCAGACAAUUAAUGUGUCUUUUCUUCUAAUUUGAUGGAAGACUUUAAUUAACUUUAAUGGUUAUGUGGUAGUGGCUACCAAAGGGGUCUUGAUCAAGUUGUUAAUAUUAAAGUUUCCAAAUUAGAGGUCGUGAAUUCUAAUUCUUCAUCUAUUUCUUUCAUCUCAUGACCUAUAAUAAUAAUGAUGAUGACUAAGUCUUUGGAUCCUCUACUACAAUUUUUGUGUUAAACUCCCUAUUUUAACGUGUGGCGAGGUCUACAAGAAAGUGUUGAGAGCCUCUUGUUUGGAUUGCUAUUUUUCUUCAAAAAAUUUGAACAUUUUUCGUAAAUAUAUUUCUCAAUCAUCUUUUUAUAUUAUAUACAUGAAAUCGUUUUAGUACAUUUUUCUAUGAAUUUUUUUUUUACCUCACAUACAUAAAAUCGUUACAAUAUAUUUUUUUUUAAAAAAAAACUAAAAAAAUGGCAAUCCAGAUGGACUCCUAUACAUUUCUCAAUCAUUUUUUCAUCUUAUAUAUAUGAAAUUAUUAUAAUACAUUUUUCUACAAAAAUUCUUUUUGCCUCGUACACAUAAAAUCGCUACAAUAAAUCUUUUAUAAAAAUUUAAAAAAUAGCAAUCUAGAUGGACUCUUAGUAAUUGAAAUUCUACAAAACAACAAAAUAUGCCGUCGUUGCUAUGGGACCGAAAAGACAACGUAAUCUUGUGUUUAUUGUACAAAUCUGGUUUCCCUUGCGUCCCUUUCAUGAAACGGCCACUUUUCUCAUCGCAAAUUUUAGGCUUUUCAUCGUAUCUCUGACCUUUCCUCAAAUUCGCUGUCAAUGUGCGUCUCUGUGGAGCACAUAAUUUAUCAGCUCUUAAAGUAAUGAACUUCAUCGAUUGAUUUACCAUUUGAAUAAAGAUACUAUUGGUAUUUCAAUUAACAACGUUAUAUAGGUUAUUUUCUAUCAAGUUUUCACUCUACAUGAGAUGAUAAGGGGUGAAGUGAAUAUAUUGAAACGUUAGGGAGGGUCACGUGGCAAUAGAUGAAAAUACAAAAGAAUUAUAUGUAAUUUAACCUAUACUUUGCUUACUCCAAUAUACUAAAAUUAAUGGCAUGAGAAGAAAGUUUUAAACAAGAAUUUGUGCUUUGAAUAGUACGACAAGAAUUUUGGAUUUGUUCUCUGUUCGACAAUUUGUCUAGGGGUUUUAAACAAUUAGCAACUGAACUCAAUUUUAAUGAUUGCCCGUUAUUCUUCAUGUGUAAAUGACGUUCAUGGAUAUCCGAUAUGUUAUCCAAAAAAAAAAGAAACAAUAACACAAAGUUGAUGUCAUUUAGGGGUGGGUGAUGGGUUGAAUAGUACUUAAAAAAGGAAGUGCAAGUGCAAGUAAGAAAUUUGAUUUCGAGACCUCCUCCACCCCACCACCGGCACCAAGAAGUGUAUAUAUAUUAAAUCCACUUUAAAGGUAGUACCUAAAUUAAGACGAUUACAUGUGUAAGGACGGUUUUGGCUAACGACACAACUAAUUAAAUAGCUUCGUCCGCGAUAAUCUACCAACCAAAACAGGAGAAACGUUUCCUUAAUAAUAAUUUUUAACUUAUCUGACAUCGUUGUCCCAUAUAUUAGGUGAAUCAGCUCAUGGGCCGGUUGCCAAUCCUGCAUUUCCACACAUACACAAAGCCACAACCUUUCGCUGUCACAGUCGAAAUGCUCUGCCCACCAGAUCGUACGGUUGGACAUAUAAAACCAAUAUUAGGACACAUCAUUGGCCUCCGCAACGUCACGCUCCAUGGAAUUAUAGGAUCCCACUAAAUCCCCUAUUUUAAGCAAAACAUAUCUCUAUUUAGUAUGCAGAGAUUAUUUUAAUGGUUGUGUUCGUUGUUUAGCAUAAGACAAGCAUAGGUUAUUAGAUUUGGACUUUGGAGCGCACUUUAAAUUUAGAGAUAUGUUUCCCAGGACUCAAACACCCACUAAGAACAGAAACGCCCCAAAUUAUAUAUGGAGAACAAAGCGGACAGGUGUCCGGUGGAUAUUGUGCCACAUACUAAUAUGUCACUUUAGCCGCCGGUGCACGAGUGGGAGCGCUGUGUUUACCGGCCCAAAAGAGAAACAAUAAUAAAAAAAAAAAAAAAAAAAAAUGAAAAGCGGAAAGCAAAUCGGAUGCCUGCCCAGCGGCUGUUUGGCCCCCCGCUCUGAAUUUCUGUUUUCUUACCCAAAAAGGCUCGUCAACUCGUGCCUCCCUGCUUCGGCGCGUCUCUCCUGGUUCUGUUGUUAGGCUUUGGGUAACUUGGAUCGGAGGCCUCUACACAGAUAAUUCCACCGUGUAAGUUUUAGUGUACACGCUGAAAUACCAAAUAAUGAAAAAUAUGAACUGUUUCGUAUCUCAUAUAUUGGAAAAAAAAUAUUUAUUUUUGUCCAUCGCUUCUAAAAUAAAACAAACGAGUCCCUCCACAUUUGAAAGAUGAAGCAAAUUAGUCUUGGUAUGACUACCUGGUUUAGAUUUUAGGAGUAGAAUUUGAACAUCACUUUAGUUUCUUCCAAAUCCGAUAUGCCCAUGAUAUUAACUCAACAUAAGAAAGAAAGAAAAAAUUUUAAAUUAUAACAUCAAAGACAAACCCUCCUGUAUAAAAAUAUUUUUUGAGCAAAUAAUAUUAAGUCAACAUUAAAAGAAAAACCAAAAAAAAUGUAGCAUCAACGAGGUUCUUAAUCUGAAUAAAAAGUUGUAUUACUUACAUUACAAAGAAAAGCAAAUAGUAAAGUCACGUGCGCUGAUGCACAUCUCUCAAUUAUUAGUUGUACUUUUAUAUAAUUUAACACCUCCAAUCUUAAUGUAAUUUUUUAUUUUCUAUCUUAAAUUUUUGAGUGUAUCUAUUUCUUAUGGAAAUUUAUACUCACACAAAUUUUAAUUAUUUCUUAAAUUGCCAAAACUUCAUGAAUUUGUGUAUAAUUUUUAAGAUUAUAGCAUUUGCAAUACUAGCAUGACUCUAUUAGAAGUUUAUUCUGUGAAAUUCAUUUGGCAUAUCGUGUUUUAAUGAUCCAUUAUAAAGAAGUUUAUCCCUCUUAAGUUGACUUGGCAAGUGCACACGGGUGUUGGCCAAUGGAGGGCUUUUUAGCGUCUUUCCCACGGUUAAAUUUAGGGUUCAAAUUCCGUCUUUACGGUUGAUGGUGGAAAGAGUGUAGAGAAGGGUGGAAGGGUUAAAAAAAAAAAUGCAUAAGGUGUUAAAAAAAAAAUGCAAAUUCAUAUUUUUCAAGCUAAUAAGUUCCAAAUUGUUAUUUUUAUGUUGCAUUUGUACCUUGCUUCACAUUUCGUUUGAGUUCUACAUUACUUAGGAAAUAAUUGAGAUUUUUAAGAUAUUUUUUUGCUACAUGUUUAUUUUUACAAUCACCAUUUUAUCUGACAUAAAUUAUAAAUAUAUGUUAUAAUUAAAAAAUUCCAAUGCAAUCGUUAAUUUUGUAAGUAAAUAUAAGUACUGCCACCAGUAUUACGAUAAACACUUUCAAUUGCUUAGAGUAUAUAUUUUUUUGUAAAUUUUUACGCUUUUUAUUGCUAAAAGUUUUAGUGCACGUAUAGUUGUAUUUAAAUCAAUUUAGCAAUUGUUAAAGAAAUAGUUAUUUAUUAGGUUGCAAUUGUUAUGUAUUCGAGAAUUAGUCAAGAGUAUUUUGGUCUUGUAAAAUAUAACCUCGCCUUAAUCAUUAUAAUAAUAUUAAAGCGUAAAGUGUAUAUAUUUGCGGUUUAUGGGACAAAGUGUUAACCCCAUUUAAAACUUAUCUCUUUCUUAUGUAGUAUGACCUCAACCAAAAAAAAAAAUUUUUUUUUUUGACCAUAUCAUCGCGGAUUUUUUUUUUAAAAAAAAAAACUUUCUUUUUUUAUAUUCGCAGAAACACAACAUGGAGUUACUGUGGUCCCUGAUGUAUGUACCCAAGAACCUAUUGGCCAACCUUUUUUUUGAAGCAAGCCUAUUGGCUAAUCUUAAACCUUGAAAUUAAUACCCCAUUCAAAGAAUUAAAUUAAGAAAAUGUCAGAAAAAAAGAAUUAAAUUAAGAUGAUGAAGGUGAUUCAGCUAGGUGUUCUUUCCAGGUUAGCAAUUUUGGCAUCACGCCAUGUGCUUAGGACACGUUGCAUAUUCUGUAAGGGACCACGCCAAUUUUUUCAAAAAGUCCACCACCUUCACUCCCCGCGCGUGACCUUAGAACAGAAGUCAUAAAAGCUUGGAAAAUAUCUAAACGGCCGGGACUCUGACGUGUAUCAAAAGAUGAUACCCCAAGUGGGCCCCCUUCUCUUGAGCCCAAGAAAUAUCGUCGUCAAACCCAAAUGACCUCCACGUUACCACUUGUUCACUGUUUUGCCACCUUCCCCACUUAUAUACCCUCCACCAUUCACCUCUCUCAAAUUCAAUGCAAAUUUUGCAUCCUCACUCGUCACCGCCACCGCUAUCAACCUCCUCCGUCACCGGCGACCGCCUCUUUUUUCUUUUUUAACCCCUUCUGGAGGGGUAACAGUUAAAAUAUCGGUAUAUGGGAUGGAGGCUGCUAACAACAAUAUAAUUGCCCCGUUUGUUAUGAAGACGUAUCAAAUGGUGAACGAUCCUUCCAGUGAUGGACUUAUUGCCUGGGGUAAAGCUAACAAUAGUUUCAUUGUUAUCGACCCUUUGGACUUCUCUCAAAAAAUUCUUCCUGCUUACUUCAAGCACAACAAUUUCUCCAGCUUUGUUCGUCAGCUCAAUACUUAUGUAAGUAAAUAUUUAGAUGUCGUCAUAGUUAAUUUAGAUUUUUGUUGAUGCGGUCAAAGUCCUACAUAAUUUCAAGAAUCUUUAUUUCUAUUCGUAAAAAUGAACAUUCUUGGCUUAAGAGUAGAGUAAAGAGAGUUUAGUUUAGUGGAUAAAGAGGGUUCAAGUUUCUCCUUCUACUUUCCUACUCAUUAAAUCCCACUCUUUCUCUGUUUUGAAGAGUGGGUUGGGGGGGGGGGGGGGGCGGAAGAAAGUUCUUUGUUUUGUACUUGUAUAUCCUCGUCUCUAUAAUUGAGGGUCGUGUUAUGUUGUUAAACAGUUACGUGCCAUGAGGAUCUGGUGUGGCUUAGUAGUUAGUAGUUAAGGGUCCUUUUGUUUUUUUUGGUCACAGUACAAGUGGAUUCCAUUUUUAUCCUGGCUGCUUUUACCUUUCCACAAAGUUAAAAAGAAAAGUGCUACUAAUAUAUGUGUGUAAACUUGAUUAUGGAAAUUUCAGGGUUUCAGAAAAGUGGAUCCAGAUAGAUGGGCUUUCGCCAAUGAAUGGUUUUUGAGAGGGCAAACGCAUUUGCUCAAGAAUAUUUCUAGGAGGAAGCACUGUAGUAGAAACUCAAGUAACAGUAGAGCUGAAGAUGAUGAAGAUGAUGAGGGAAUAAUAAUGGAGUUAGCUAGGUUAAAGCAAGAGCAAAAGGAAUUAGAUCUACAGCUCUCAAGGAUGAACAAGAGACUUGAAGCAACCGAGAGGAGACCCCAACAAAUGAUGGCUUUCUUGAGUAAAGUUGCUCAAGACCCUGAAAUAUUACCCCGUAUGAUGCUUGAAAAAGAAAGAACUAAAAGGUUAAAUAUUGCUAGUGGGGACAAAAAGAGAAGCAUAAUGAUGAUUUCCUCAACUUCGCCUUCGGCUUCUGUUUCUUCUCCUCCCUCCUCAUCAGGAAUGCCUUUGACAAGCUCUUCAGUAAAGAGCGAGGAGGAAGAGGAUGAUGCCAAUCUCGACGUUGAUAACUAUUGUCACUUUUCCUCUUCGCCGGAGACACCUUCCUCUGCAUGGUUCAGCCAAAGACCAGUCCUGGGUCGGUCCGUGAUUGCCCAAGAAUCUAGUAACAGUGGCGGCAAUAUUUCAAGCUCUCUGUCAUCGGGUUCCUCCGCCGGUAGUAGUGGUUCUACUGUUGCUCCGCCAUUGGAUGGUGUUCCGGCAAGUGAUGCUACGUUUGGUGGUGAUAUAAGUUAUGUAGGACGAGCUGCGGUCGGGGAGGCUGUUAGUCCACAACCGCCUUAUCCAUUCUCACUUUUAGGAGGCGGUUUCUAGUUAAACACUUUCAUAGAUUUUAAGGCUUUUUUUUUUUUUAGGUGGCAAAAUUACUAUUAUCGAGCUAUUUUGAUCAUGUAAUUCUUCAAACAUGUGCCUUACAUCAGAGCCUUAUAGGAUUAGGACCCGAUACCAUUCUUUAUAAGAUGGUAAAAUGGUGAUCCCAAGAAAAGCCAAAAAAAAAAAAAAAAAAAAAAAUUUGCAAACAUAGGGUCAGUUGUGUACAUUUCGUAUUUGAUCCUUAGCUUACUUAAUUUAUCGGGUGCAUUCUUACAUACAUAUUCUCCGACAGUGCUGGUAUUAUAAUGAUAAUGCAAGUUUCAAAGGAGUGCAAAGCGCAAGGAUGAAACUUAAGUUGUGUACCUACGGUUCUUUGCUUUUGGUCGUUUUUGUGGCCGAAGUAUCCAAUUGGCGACUAUUGUAUUUAUGCACAUAUAUCAUAGAAUAUGUUAAAAUACUCUUACCACCCUUUUUUAUUCCAAAAGACUAAAAUUUAUUUUUUGUCUACAAAAUUUAUUUGAAUGUAUUUUUCAAUCAUCUUUUUACUUUACAUAUAUCACAUUAUUAUAAUAUAUUUUUUUAAUAAAAAUUUUAAAAAAUAACAAUCCAAACAGGCUGUUACAACAGCGGCUUUUCUCCUCAAUAAACUUGGUAGGCAUGAUGAUGAAUUCGGAGAUGGGCAAGACUUGCUUAGUCACUUGGGUUGGGUAACUGAGGAAAAGAAAAAGUUACAUAGUUUCUUAUAUGAGUUAAAAUUAGAACAUAUUAGUUUCUUAUGUUGGAACAAUAUGCUGCUAAUUUUUACUGUGGUUGAUUAAGCCUUCAUGUUUGGUUAGCUGUCAAGAUUGGAAAGAAAAUCUAGAAAAUACGGAGGGAAGGGUUGGAUUGGAUGGUAAAGUGGGAGGGGUUGUAAGUAGAUUGGAAAGAAAAUCUAGAAAGAUAAGGAGGGAAGGGUUGGAUUGGGGUGGUAAAGUGAGAGGGGUUGUAAGUAGGAAAUCCAUUUUGAAAAAAAAGUAGAUAAGUUUAAUAUUGUGAAAGAAAUGCAAUUUUGGUCUCCAAAUUUUUUUUUUUUUAUAUUUGUGCAAUUUUAUUCCUAAAAUUUAGGCAAAAACAAAUCAAACCCCUAAUGUUUGACACUUGAUGCGAUUUUAGUAUUUAAAAUUUUGGUAAAAACAAAUUUAAUGACCAUUGUUAUCAAUUCAAAAUAGAUUUGGGACAAUUCAGUGGAUUUUUCAAUUAUUGACCAAAUCAGAGUAUAAUUUCAGAAACCACCCUUGAGGUUUUAAUAAUUUCAUUUAGCUCUCUCAAGGUUUUAAAAAUUACACAUAUUUCCCAUUGAAAAUUAUUGUUUUUAAAUAAUUUAAUGAAAUUCCCUUGUUUGGUGUGCUUAUUCUUAGAAUAACUUUUAAAAUUAUUUUUUCAUUAUUUUUUCCUUCGUAUUCCUUUUUUUAAUUAUUUGCUAAUAAAAUUGUAGAGCUACCACUAUUACAUCUAGUUUCUAUUAUAACUAAAUGUCAAACUAGUGAUUUUUUUUAUCAGUUAACUUAUAUGUAAUCCAAUGUUUUUUGUUGAUCUUUAUUUUCUAUUUUGUGCUAUUAAAAUUAGAAAUAAAUCAAAAAGAAAUGGCCCAAAAUCAUUACUAAAUUAUGAUAAUUCCACUGCUCAAAAAAUUCACAAAUUCUAAAUAAAUUAUUUCAACAUUUUCUUUUAUAUCAUAUAAAUCUAAAUACAUUAUAAAAUACCAUUAAAAGUAUCCUAUCAUAGUAAUAAAAUUAUUGUUAUAGUUGUAUAUCAAAUAGUAGGUAUGGACAUGAAAAAAUUUGACACUUUUUCCUUAUAAUUAUACUAGAUAAUUUUAUAAUUGCAUAGAAAAAUAAAUUAAAACUCAUUAUCCAAGGGCAUUUUUGGGUAUUCAUUUAAAAGUUUGAUCAAGUCAAUAUUAUUUUAAAGUUUUGUUGCUAAAACUAUCAAAUCAAGAAAGGUAGGUGUAAUUUUUCAAAUCUCAGAAGAGUUCAUUGAAAAUGUUAGAAACCGUAGGAGAGGUUUCUGAAAUUAUCCCCCAAAUCAGUCACGUAUAGUCUCAUGUUUGUUACAUUAAACAUCUAAAAAAAUAAGCAGAAUAAUGACUAACUUUGAACAACAAGAAUAACUAGUGCAAUUAUCAGAUGACUAACUAAUUAACCAAGAAACAAAAAUAAAAUUGUUAAACCAUACGCAAAAUGUAAGUGUCAAGGUUUUUUGUUCGGAAUGGAUUGUAAAUCGAUGAAUUAGGUACUGCGACUAGUUUCAGUUUUGUUGUUUAACAAAUUCAUUUUAAACUAGUUAAUUAGUUAGUACAUGAGUUGUUUUUGUCCUUAAUCUUGUUGUUUAAAAUCAAUUGCUAUUUUGCUUAUUUAUUUUGAAAUUCAAUUUACAUGACACACAACUAUACGUGACUAACUUCUAUCACUAAUUGAAAAAUAUUUUCAAAUAACCUAAAUAUGCUUUAAAUUGGAUACGCUAGGGACCAAAUUUGAUCUUGCCGAAAUUUAGAACCUAAAACUACAUAUGUACUAAACAUUGAGGACUAUUUAUUUUGGUCGAAAUUCUAAAGACUAAAUUGCACAAGCACUUCAUAUUGAGAACUAAAAUUGCGUUUUGUCCUUAAUGCUAGACUUCAAUUUAAGUGGUAAAAGAAAGGAAUAAGGUUUUGAAAUAGAAUGUUUUGAACGUCAUGACCAAAAUUUCAACAAAUCGCGACUUCAAGUAACCGAUCUUUCCGUUCCCUCUCAUUUUCCAAUUACUGUGCGAGUACUAUCUGUUUACACCACAAAGUAUAGCUCAAAGUCAAAUGCCAAACUUGACAAUGCCAGGGGUGCUUACGUUAGGACCGACUGCAGUUGCAUGAUUAGCAGGAGACAUUCACCCAAACUAUAUCUACCACAAAUUAUGCAUUUAAAGUUUAGUGAUAAUACAUUCAUUUUUCUUUUUGCUUCUAAAUCAAGCGUGCAAAUAUAAAAAAUUACCAGUCCACGUUGCCUAAGCGGAAUGGCAGAGGAGUUUGCUCAUUUCUGGCAUUGUAGGGUUGGAAAAGUAAAGAGACGAUGAGCCCACAAAUGAAUUGGAAUGGAGGCAAGCAAGGGGUGAUUUGUUAGCCAAUGAAUUAAAGCCAUAAAUGGAUUUGCCCACUUUCCCAUUCUGGUUCAAAAUGCUAUGACGAUGCCCGUUGCAAUUUGGCAGGUUAUGAUAGCUCCCGACAAGGUCCAGCUGAAGAGAGUCCCCACUCCCAGUCUCCUACUCCCUCCCAUCUGAUUAUCCUGCUUCCAUGUGAUCGGGCCCUGUAUUGGGAAAUGGUUUUACUUUGUGCGUCUGCGAACUUCCCUUUCGAUGCCCCAUGUUAAAGUGAACGGCAGGAGCAUCCGCUAGUUCUUUGUUGUGCCGGCGUCUAAAAAAUUGUAAAGCAGUAAUAUUUUGUCAAAUUUCGAAUCCUGCUCACUGCUUUGUUAGUAGAUUAUAUAUAGUAGUGCAAGCCUUUAAACUAGAUUUUAAAGACGUGUUUGCUUCGGAUUCCGGAAUCUGAAUUGAAAAUUGGAAUCAUGAACUUCGGUGUUAGAUUUUGGUCUUUGAUCCUUGCAUGUUAAUAUGGUUUGGGAGCUAAACGAAUUCAUUCCAUUAUAAAAUUAUUUAAUCAAUUUGGAAGUUCAAGCUAUAACUGAGGAGUGGUAAAAGGCAAGAUCUUACACUUUCAUUCUUAUUGACUCAUUCUCAUGAUGAUCUACCAAGCAAUAAAUAUGAGUAUAAUUAAUUUUAACAUUCCUUCUUACCCCUCGUACUCAUUUAUUAAAAACCACCUUAAUUUUUUAUUGAUGUCGAAAAACUAUGGAGCUGACUUAGUCAACCUCUAAACAAGACUCUCUCUCUUUUUUUCUUUUUUUUUUUGGCUUUCUACCAUCAAGCUCUCAUUGAUAAUUGACCAAGAAAAAGGUACGAUUUGCUCUUUACAAACUUCGUAAAUAAACAAUGUUUGUUCCUUCAUUAGCACUUCUAUAUUUGAGGUUCGAAUUUACUGAAAAUUGUAUCCAUAAUAGCAUUACAAGCUGAGCUUGCGCAAUAGGGUUGUAAUCAAGAACGGAGCUACAAUGAGCUUUCCCUAAUUAACCACGCUAAAUUCUAAAAAUUACAUAUAUAAAUUUUGAUUUUACUCCAUUCUCAGAGAACAUUGUUUCCUACAACCUCUCAAUAAAAUAUUUAUCUAAUGUGUUUCUUUUUUUUAAUUUAAAAUAAAUGGGACGUGUUGAAUUCAGAAUCUCCUACUUACGACCCGUCCCACCAUACUACCCAACCUAUAUUUUUAAACUCGGAUCGAAUCGGCCGGUCGAACCGAAAACUGGCCAAGUGCUCGAUCCGAGUUAUCCUAAAAAACUGGAUAGAUGGAAACUCGAUCAAACCAGGUCAAAAACUGUGUUUGACCGAAACAAGGAAGAAUCGAUUUGGUGUCAAAGUAUUUUUUUGAAAAGGUCAAAGCAUUUUCAAUAUUAUGUUUUGACCCUUAAGUUGUUAAAAAUUAUUAAUAUACCUCAAAUAUUUCUUACUUUAUAAAUAUUGUCUUAAAGUUUGGUGUUAUUUUUCAAUCAAGCCCAUAAUUUUAAUUCUAAACUUGUUAAUGUUCAUUGAAUAAUAUAAAUUGCUACUUGAUCGUUCAAAUUUCUUUGUAUUUUCUUGUUAAAUAUAUUUGAAACAUCAAAUAUAUAUAUAAAUAUAUAUAUAAUAUACCUUUAUUAAUAUUAACAUGCUCUUAGCUAUUUUACAUACGAUAUUUUAAUUUUUAAAUAAUUUUUAUUUAUGAUGUCGUCCAGUUCAACCCGAUUGAAUUCGAUCAAAUCCAUUGACCCCUGAACUCGAUCGAAUCGAUACCCGGUCCAAGUCUGAAAACAUAGAACCUAACCUUUUCAUCUCUAAUGUGCUACCUUGUUUAUUACUUUAUCCGCACUAAGUCAACACGUUUAAAAAUAAUAGAAAAACUCAUUUCAUCUCUUAUAGUUGAUCAAAAUCAACCAAAAAAAUGUUCAACUUUACUUUUGCUCUUUUUCUCAUUUCUCAAUGUACUCUCACACAAACCCAUUUGAAAAUCAAUCAUAUUUUUUUUCUCCAUACAUUGAAACUCCAAAAAAAAAAAUUCUAUAUCUUUCUUCAUUUUGUCAGGGAUUUGAGAAAAGUGAGAAUAACUUUAUUAGAACUUUGAAAUUUGAAAGUUGUUGCAAAGAUACCCUUUAUUGGUAGAUUUUUCAAAUAAAAUAGCACAAUCGGUCUAAAAAGGUAGUGGGAAAAAUUGAGAAAUUUAUGAAAUGAUAUUAGAAUAUGAAGACAUAUUGGGAACAAUUGUAGGGUGGUUAUGUAUGCAAGUUUUGAUGUAUGUAUUGAUUAUCUUGUAUUUAAACUUUUGUCGUUUCGAUAGUUUUUUUAUACUUAUUAUUUAAUAUGUUAAGUUUGCCCCCACAUAAUGCUAUGAUCAAGUUGAACAUGGAUUCAAAGUUCUGAAUUGGUGAUUCGAGAUCUAAAUUCAUUUAGUGGUACUGAUUCUAAGUUUAUUCUGAUUACUUAACCGAUUCUAGGUAUGUAAAUCCAUCCCUAGUUCCGAUCAAAUACAAAACUAAAUUCGACCCAUAAAUCAAUUCCGAUUUUUUUUUUAUAAAGUCAAUGGCAUGCAACUAUGAUGAAUUCGAUCUUUCCAACCUUUUUGUCUACUCAAAAAUUUGUCACUAGAACGUUAGAUUUACAAAGAAAAUCAUUCUAGCAUUCUGAUUCCGAACUUUCAAUCUUUAGACAUUAAAAAUUACAGACAUAGUGAGUCUAUAAAUCUUAGCAAUUAACAAGUACAAUAUGUAUCAUAAACACAACAAAUAAAUUUUCACAUGAAGUAAUAUGUACUUCAUUUAUUUGCACGUACGUAGACGCAUAUCUUAUAUGGGUCCAGAAAAGGUCGGAACUAAGUGCUUAUGUAAAUGAAACUCACCUGCCGGCUGCCAUGCUCAUUUUACUUGGGAAGAUCUUUUUGACUUAUCAUUUUUUAAGUGACAAACUGCACGUGAUAGAGAUUAAUCUAACAAUAACUUGGAAGUCUUAGAUGCAGUUAGCUAAUACCCGAUUUAUUAAUUCUGCAGCAAAACUUCUCAACAAUAGAAAGUUUAAAAUCUGAAAAAAAAAAUUACACAAAAAGAGGAGUUCUCCGAACUUCAUUUUGAUGGAAGAUUUGAGCAGCAAAUAAAAAACCCAUGGCAUUGUUCUAAUUUGGAGGGAUUCAGUUCAGUUCCCUUUGAAUCCUGUGUGAUCCAGUUAGGUCUCCAUCGUGUAGGAGUGGAUGAGCUUUUAAUGUGUUAGGCCAAAAAAAAAAAAUGAUUACUUAGCCAAAAAGCAAAUGUCGAAUUACAAAAUCAGCCUUGUUUGGUUUGUGAUUUUUUUGUAGAAAAUUUUUACAUUUUUCAUGAAUAUUCCUUAUAUAUAAUUUUCAAACAUUUUCCCGCCAGGCUAGUGCUCCUAUUACAUUUUUUUUUUUUUGUCGGACACGAUACAUUCUAUAUUACAUCUACUCCUAAUCUAUAUUAGGGGGAUGGGAGGUCAAGGUAAAACUCGGCAAGACAUUCCAAGAACAUUCCUACAUACCUGCUAGCGAAACAUUUCAGAAAAUCCUGAAUAUUAAAAUGCCUCCUACUCCCUCCAUCCUAUUUAUUUAAUUAUGUUUGGGGAAUCUAACUUUUUAAGAAUAAUGGUUUGAUUGUGAUGUUUGUAAUUCUUUUUUCAGUUUUAACCCCACAAAUUCAAAUUUUAAAUUUGAAUGGUAAGAUGUAUAUGGUUAGGAAAAAGAGUUAUAUUAGAAAGAGAAACUAAAAAAUGAUUUGACUUUUCUAAUAUGACAAUUAUUUUGAAACAUCCCAAAAUAAAAAGUAUACGGAGGGAGUACUUGCUAAUAGGGAUGUACGCGAGCCGAGCUACUCGCGAGUAACUCGGUCAACGAACAAGCCAUUGUAGCUACAAGCUGGAAGUUCAUCAAGUAGAAAACUACUUUUGCUUCUCGAACGAACUCUUCUGUUGUUUAUACUAGCCCUUUUGCUCUUCUUUUCUUUGUGCUUCGAAGGCGUCGCCGUCGCCGUCGCCGCAUGAUCUUGAAACUGGUAGAAAGUGUUGAUCAGAGGCGAAAUGGGGGAUGCAGGCGGACAUUUUUGACCAUCCUGAGUAGUAGUACGACGACUAUCCUCGGUUGACGCUGAGAGGAGUAGGGGUUUUUUCAAGAUUUUGUUGGAAAUACAGGUUUGUAGAUGAUCGUGAGUUCGGAAAGUCUGAGGGUGUUGUGGUCUGCAGAGGGAAGGAAAUGGACGGGGCUUUGGAGACAAAAGCUCGAUGAACUGGCGCUGCGGGUUUUCGGGGAGAAAAACGGGUUUUUCGACUGCGUCGGUGAUGUUUUUGGAGCGGCAUGACCCGAAUGAUGACCGGAACAUGCGAGAGAUUCGCAGUUUGAACCGGUUUUCCAUUUUUGGGUUUGUAGCGAAGCAGAGAUGGGAGAGAGAGUGAGAGAGAAGUGGGGAGGGGAGAAUGUAUUGACUAUUGAUGAAGAUGGUGACUGAAUAUAAUAUUAGUAUUAUGAGCCUGAAUUCAGACAGCCAUGAGAGAGAGAGAGAGAGAGGAUUGAGACUUUGUAUAUAAAAAAACAAAAGGUCCUUUUUCUGAUGGUAUAGAAAAAUGACGUUGAUAAUACUGCUGCUUUUUGCUGUUUUCGUCUUGUUUAUCGUCCCCAUUCCUCAAAAUUCAACUUCGGUUUUUUAAUUUCUAACCAGACAAGUCUCCUUUAAUUUAAAGUUUAAACCACCUAAUUACUUUUAAGUAUCAUGUUUGAUUGAAUGGAUAUAUACUGCACUUAGCGUAAUAUACUCCAUUAAAAUAAAUUCGAGUAAGUAUUUAAUGCAUUAGUUACACUGAAAUGAUUCAAUUGUUCUGAUUGUAUAUUGACCAAACCAAAAAUAGAUAAAAGUAAGAAAACCAAGUUGUGACCUGGGGCCAUAAUUGGUAUAAUAAAUAAAUGUUAUCUCAUCUGUUGUUUACUGAACAAAUAGUUAAUUAAAAAUAUGAAAGAGUGAGUUAAAAAAUACUACUAUAUCUAUAAUCCUUCUUAAUUGCAACAACCUCUUCUCAGAAACAGAAGCAUGGACGGACGGGAUUUCAACCCAACUUUUACUAUUGAGCAGAAAUGUUGGGCCAUUCGCUGCGUGUAGAAAGUAGGAACAGAAAGGAAUCACGAGAAGGCGAAGUUUGGUUGGAUUAUUAGAUCUAAGAAAUUUUGUUUUGCUUUGAAAAACAGCGAAUCAAAGUUGGAAAUUUUUUAAGAUUUGGGUUUAAGCAGAAGUGGAACACCAACCGGCUCCCUCCCUCUCUAUUAGACAACCCUACGCUAAAAGACAGGGGGAAUUUUGGCGCUGGGCAUGGGGUAAUCCAUCCGGCCCCGAGGGAGGGAUGAUAUGUUUCAAAUUCAAACAUUUCCCUUUUUACAAAAUUCUUUAUUAAGGUUCCAUUUGGGACUGUUACCAUAGUUUAACAAACAUUUCCCUAAUAAAUGUGGUUUUAAAUCAUCAAAAGUCGGAUUAGUCAGGUUAUUAAAAAUUAGUUACCGGACAAUUUAGAAGUACUUUUAAAAUGUUUAAAAGUUAAAAUGAUUUUUUCCCUUACAAAAAAAAAAAAAAACACACGGUAAUUAAAAAUGAGACCUAAAUUAUAUAUCAUCGUGCCACCAAAAGUUGGACUACGUACCUUACGAUCCAAAUAAUUAAGUUUGUUUGGAUGGAGGAUUAUUUGUCAAAAUUUAUUUGUUUACAUCAUCAUUACAAUUUUUAACACACCCUUUUAUUUUUUCAAUUAUCUUUUUAUUUCACACACAUCACAUCACAUCACAAAAAUGUUGCAGUAAAAAUAUCUCAAAUAAUUGACGAUCCAAACAGAGCCAAAUUAAAUGAUUAACAAAUUUGGCCGCAACAUAAAAAGGAUUUUGAAAACGGGUAACAUGCCGCUGCAGUACAAAACUAAAAUGAAGCAGGAAGAAUUUUGACCAAAUUUUGUCUCCUGUUAUUAUUAAUGUAUGUAUAAAUGAGAAGUAGUAAAAAGUUGUAUUGUAUCGCGUUGCGUGAGAAUUGAUGUUGCAGGAGUCCUUUCUAAUAUUUCUUUGAUGAUGAGAAUAUUCUCGCAGUCGCAGCAUAGCAUGAUUUCUUUCAGAAAUACUCUAUAUAUAUAAUUCACAGCUGGCUGCGUAGGCCGUAGAACUACUCUAUAUAUAUAAUUAUAGGAGUAAAAUUUCACAUGAACUACAGUUGCUUUAUUUUCCCCAAAAAAUACGUAGGGUUGUGGAUUGAUAUCAUGUGAUCAUCAUCAAUCCGCCAGCUUUGCCUUGAGAGGCCUCAUAUUAGUAGAGUAGCAGCGUACAUCAGUCCUUUUAUAGGAUUUGAUUGAUGAGUGGGGGCUUUUUUGCAAAGAUAAAUAUAGCCUCUAUACUAUACUGACCAUAUCAUGUUUGUUUACCAGGAUUCGUAAAAAGAAAAUAAAAAUUUCUAAAUUUUGUUCUGUUUAUAUAAAUGGUAAAUAUAAUUUUUUUUUUUUACAUAUCACACACACAAAAAUUGGUACAAUAUUAUUAUUUUUAGAUAACUUUUGUUUCAGAUAAAAUCUUCUGUACAAAUCAACCAAAUUUAAGAGAUAAAAUAAUAGAAAGCUUUUUUUUUUUUUUUUUUUUUUUGAAACAGAUAGGAAGUGUUACGUCAAAAUAGAAUAAUGUAUCACAUUUUUAAGUAAUAGUUUGUGUCUUUAUCAGGUUGCUAAGGGAGAAAGAAACAAUAAUAUUAUUAUUAUUGUCCAAUAAUUACGAAAAGAUACAACAUACCUCUGACCUAAUAUUACCUUGUGUUGGUAGAGGUAGAAAGAAAAAACAAUAAUAUAUGUAUAUAUAUAUAUAUAUUUUUUUAAUGAUAUGGUUGUCCUAAUGCUUGUGUCUUCUUCAGAGCUGUAGAUAAUGGCUUUGUCAAGCAGCAAAACCUCAGAGAUCACCAAUUCCCAAUAUUAAGUAGUGUGUUGUCGAGGCUUUUGUCUCUCAUUUUUCGAGAGCAUCUUGAAAUCCAAGGAGCUUCCAACCACAGGAAAACAGACAAAAUAAUUGUAAGUAGAUGUUGCCCUUCUUUUUUACUCAAUAAGCUACAACAGAGAGUGCUACCACCCAAAAAAAAAUGAUCUUCGGCUUUUAAAAGUUGAACUCAGCUUCGUGACAAGCACAAACAAUUUGCCUUUGACAUGGGCUUCUUGCCUUCCCACCUUUUGUUUGGCUUGAUGCCUUUUGCAGUACGUGACAGAAAUGGCACCAAAAAAUCUCCUAUCCUCGAGUUCAUAUUACCACAUUGGGCUGCUUUGUUUCAUCGUUGGUUGGUGCGUAUAUCUCACUUUUCAUGCGAGCUUUGUCCAUAAUCAGAUGCUCCAUGGUUUUUUAUGAAGGAUGAAAAUUUGAGGUCAGCAAUUUAUGUCGAUCAAGAACAAGACAAGGGGAUUUAAACACACCGUAAUCCAAGAUUGCUCCUUAUUCAUCAACCACUUCCGUCACUUUCCAUGACUUUCACACUUGAGAGCAUCAUGAUGACUAAGCUUCUUAAGAAGGAUUAAAACUCCAAGUCUGCAAAAUAAUUAAUGUCCAUGAACUACAAGACACACCAUAAUCCAAAUCUGCUUGUUACUCAUCCCCAUCACUUUCAUGCCUUUGGAUUUCAAAAUAAAACAGGGAUUAGAUUGAACUACUCCUAACUAGUUGGGACUUGGGUGGGAGGGAGGGAGUUGCCAUCUUGCAGAGUAAUUACCAUCAUAACCAACGCUUAUUGAAGACUAACCGAACGCGUUAAUCCUAUUCAGAAAUUUACUCCACAGGGAAUAUCUUUCCUUCCGUCGUUUAAUGCUGUGAGAAAUUAAAUUGACGCAAAGAGCUUUCGAAGAGCAAAGCCAUACAUACAAUACCGUUGCAUGAAGUACAUAAAAUUCUCUUGCAGGAAAUGUGUUUCCUAUUUCGUGGGUUAGUCAUAUCUGUCAUGAAAACCUUUAGUUCCUAAAAUGGAGGAAAUUGACAGAGAGGGGACAAUGAAGCUGCCCCCAAAAUUUUGGUCAGUAAACUAUAUACUAUCAGAGAUCACCAAGUCAGAAAAGAUUAACCGACAUCGAUAUUUAUUACUCCCAGAAUCACGUGCCCCUUUAUAUAUCAGGAUUCAAGGACAUUAAGCUAUCAUUGGCAGACUAGUAUCUAAUUUGAGAGUUGCAGCAAGGAGAACAGUAGUGGAACAUAUGUUGCUUAAUGGUUAACAUUCACAUGCCCCAAAGUUCAUUACGCUCGACUUUUAACUGAUCUAAAGCAAGCAAAUCGAGGAAAACCAAUUCAACACACCAAAUUUUUACAAGUCCUGUUCUUCUCUGCUUACUUCUUUAUCUGCUCACUACAUUGAAUAGCUCCAAGACUGAGAAAUAUCGCAUCUUGUCGAGUCUUCUUCUUCUUCUUUUUUUUUUUUUUUUUUUUUUUAUCCUUUCGGAGGACAAUAAUAUUUUUAUAACCUAUUCUAUCAAAAUCUAAAGUCUAAAAAGAGAUUGUAUAUAAGGGACUGGUGGCCGCCGAGCCAACAAUGCCUAGAAAAUUUGAAGAAACACAUUCAUGACUGGAAAGGGUUGCUUAGCAGACAGUAAGGAACUUUAACCGAUGGGAGUCACAGGACAAAAAGCUGAAGUGCUACACCAGCAUUUGAACUUUAAAUGCGUUGGGUCCAACAAUGCACAAAAAAGCACAAGACUGCAUCUAUGUUUCACUCAUUUCUCAAACCUUAUGCUUAUUCUUAUCUGCGUCCUCAAAUAGUGCCUCUAUCUCCUCUAGACUCUUGCCCUUUGUUUCUGGUAAGCAAAAGUAGAAGAAGAUGGUAGCUGCCACCAUUAUUCCUGAAAGUACAAAGAACACACCCCCAAACGUUAUCUUCGUUGAAAUGGUAAGAAAUGUCAUAGACACCACCCCACUAACCAGCCUAUUGACUGAGAUCGCUAGGCUGGAACCUUGGGCCCGCAAUCUCAUUGGGAAAAUUUCGGAAGAGUAUACCCAGGUAAUCGGACCAAGCCCAAUUGAAAAGAAGGACACGUCAGAACAAACAGCUAGCACACACAGUGCAAUUGCCCACAAAGGCUUCCUGCGAGAACGCUGAAGGAACGUGGACCCAAUUCCCAACCCAGCCAGCGAAAAGGCCAUGCCCGUCGUUCCCAUUAAUAACAAGGGCCUCCUACCAUAGUGAUCCAAGAAGAGAGCUGAAACCAACACAAAGGAAGUCUUGGCUAUUCCCAUUAUGACCGUGACCCCAACAAGCCCCUUCCGGCUAUGAAUUCCGGCGGACUUAAACACCGAAGGCGUGUAGUAAACAACUGCAUCAUUGCCCGAGGCUUGCAUGAAAAAGUUUAUCCCAAUGGCGGCGACAAGAAUCCUGCGAAGCGGCUUAGAAGGCCUUAGAAGUUCCUUCCAGACCCCCUGUCCGUGCCAAUCAUUUGAGCUGGGCAAUUCUGAUUUUGGGCUUCCAUUUGGACUAGUAGUACCAUCUUCAACCACCAAAGAAGCAGCUCUGGUUAUUUCGUCAAGCCUUUCCUUGGCUUCUCGCUCAUUAUCAGAAGUUUUGAUCAACACCUUCUUGGCUUCUCCAGUCUUGCCCUUCAUGACUAGCCACCGGGGUGAUUCCGGCAUUUUCAUCACCCCAAUAGCUAUAGCAAUGGCCGGAAAGCCGGCCAGGCCAAGCAUUAGCCUCCAGUUAAUGUGUGGUGGAAGCCCUGAGAAUGCGUAGUUGAAGAUAUAUCCCAGUAAUAUGCCUACGUUAAUAAACACUUCAGGGAGUGAUGUGAGGAAGCCGCGCGUCAUGGCGGGAGAUACCUCGGCGGAGUACACCGGUGCAAUCAUGAGAGAGGAUCCCACUCCGAUACCGGCAAUGACCCUUCCGGCCAUGAGGAAGGGGAACGAGGGGGCCAGUCCCAUUAGUAGUGCACCGAUCAAGAAUGUCAAGGCGGCCAAGACAAUGGUGUAACGCCGGCCUAUCCAAUCGGAAGUCUUGCCGGAGGCGAAUGAUCCAAUCAAAGAACACACGUUGAGUGUGCCCACCAAAAUCUCUACCUUAACUGAUGAAAUCUUGAGCGCAUCCUUGAUGUACAGCACUGCUCCGCUCAUCACCCCGAUGUCUAAAAUUAAUCAAUUCAUUAGAACUCAGUAAUACUAAUAAUUAAAAUGCUCCAUUCAAAGACUACCAAUAAAAUAAAAAAUUGUUAACCUGAACACGUACGAGUAAGCUGACCAAUCGAGUGCAAAAAAAUUAUGGGAAUGCAAGAAGUAACACAGCAGUAAUAUGAGCGACGGACGGUCGAUGAUGUUAACGUAAUUACCGUAGCCCAGAAGAAUGGAAUUGGUGGAAGCCAAAACGGCACAUGCCAAGGCAUACUUGUUAAGGCGAGGAGGGCUCUGGUUGGUGGAUUGGGACUGUGACUCUAGUGCCGCCGUCUCCCUGGCAUCCGUAGCUGAUUUCACUCCGCCUCCUUCUUCCAUGCGCUGUAUUAUUUGCCGAGAAAAAUUUGUGGGGGUCCUAUUACUGAGGAACCAACUGCUAAGACGUCGAAUUUUGGUUUAAAGUAGGGAGAACGUAAUCUGUAUUGAGAAAUGGAUAAACGAGCACUGUUGUUAGGCAUGGGUGAGUGGAUUUUUGGUUAAAACUGAUUCUGUGUAAUCGUUCGGGGUGUAGCGCUUUCGUAAAUGAGUACUUCGUGGUAAUUGCGCUAACAGAUUUGCCAAAGUACAAGGAAGGAUUAUGGAUGGAUGUAUAACUGCUUAGCAUGGCAAAACUAAUUUGUGUUAACAGAUUAGCCUAAACUAUUCUCGCGUUGCACUUUGCACUCUUAACUUUGGAUGGCAGCACCCUUUUUUUUUUUUUUUUCCGUUUAAGUGUAAAUUAGAGGGUCGAACUUACGAACUUUCACUUACACUUUCUUUCCGAACCACUCAACUCAUCUCUUUCCCCCCUCUCUUGCAGCACUUAACUACCUUUAACUUGUAAUUCAUUGUACAAUUUUAAAUGAAACUAUGUUCGGCGGAAAAGAAUGUUUAUGCAAUCGAUAUACCCUGAAUAAUCGUGGCUAAUUGCCUAAAAUACUCUACAAGUGCAUGUGACUCUGAAAAUCCUAUCCACUAUCCCUGUGUCUUUGUUUUCCAGUAGAACUCUUUUUCACUCCGCCGUCUCUCAGCAAAACUCAACUCAAUUCCACUCUUAGUUAAUAAUCCCUUCUAAUCUGAAAUGGCAGUAAAAUGGAUGCACUUUUGCAUACUCCCUGCGGACUGCGUAAGCCUAAACUUUACUACAAGGAUGCAUGAUUUUGGCUAUGUAACUGUUUGUUCACGGGAAGCGUGAUGCUUACCAAACCUGAAAAAUACGCUGGAUUGAUGUGGGCUUUACGUAACUUGGGGAAUGGCAUGAAAUUGGUCAUGAACGAACUACGUACCCGACUCUCUAUUGAUUUUCAGAAAAUGGAAAAGCCUAGUUGUAAGCUGGCAUUGAGGUUCUUGACUCAACUUUGCUCGCACGGAACAUAUUUCUCUGGUAACCUAGGAUAGGACAAGUGGAUACGACAUAACAUCUCUCUUCUAAAACUAUAAAAUUCGUGUGUUCUCUUCUAAAACAGCUAAUCUUCAUUUCAUCUUAGGCCAAUCAUUAAUCUUAGCAUCUUGUAGUAGUUAAGGUUUUCCAUUUUAGACCAAUCACUAAUGCCAAUGUUUAUGUUUGAGAGGAAGAACAUUGUCUGAGCAUCUAAUUCAAGCCUGGCGGCCGAAAAUUCGGAUAGGUUAACCUCUCAGUGAGUAUAUACCGCGCGAAUAGCUUUUCCUUUCUCCACCAUCUUCAAACACGGUCAUCUAAUUCUAUCAAUAUAUAUAUAGAAAACAAAAUCAACGAUAAAAAUACGGCCUGCUAAAAGAGCUAUUACUGAAAAUUAUGGAUUUUUUUUUUUUUGCGUUUGAUGUCAUACUAUCAUGUAUUUGAUAGAGUGUCUCAGGGGAAAAAUGAUUAAUGAAUGAGCUUACAGUAAUUAACUGCCUCAACAAAUCCAAAGCAAUCAGUGGACCCGGAACCAAAUUCUGCCCCGCUCCGGGAACCUGGCUUCCUGUGUUCCCCAACACGGUCACUCGUCAGAAACCAAAGAAAGAGGAAGCAACCACAGAAUGAGAAAUUCUUGCCGUCAGAAAAGGAGAGGAAAAAAGAAAGCGUCGCCUGAGAGAUUCGAACUCUCGCGGGGAAACCCCAUGUACUUAGCAGGCACACGCCUUAACCACUCGGCCAAAGCGACACCAUUUGGUUGGUUGACAGCCAAAGCACCCUUUAAAAUGAUGCUACUAAGCACUUGGCCGUGUCUUUUUUUUUUACCUUCUUUUUUUUGGUCCCUUCCUUUCUUUCUUCAGUAGGCAAUUGGGCAGGUAAAGCUCAACUAGCGAUGCUUGUUCGGCAUUCGAGAAGUGAAGAGUGAGGCUGAUGUUAGUUGUUACCACUUACCACUCUCAAGAAUUAAAAGAGCAUGCAAAAACCACAUACACUGAGUUGAAGGCUAGAAAUUGAGUGAGUGGCUAGAUUGCUUUACCAAGAACGCGGUGUAUUUUCAAACUUCAAAGGGAAGUGCACCUCAAGAUUUCUUUGCACUUUACCACUUCCGCGCAGCCUUGUUCUUCUUCCACUAGCUACGGAGCAUUAGAUAUGAAUAGAUGAGGGAUCGAUUUUAUAAGCCAUGACGCAGGAAUAGUUGUUUUUAUAUGGAGAGCGUGAAUGUGGGCUUGGAAAUGGGUGCCGUUUUUUGGUUCCAGUGCUGAAUAUUAUUCCCUGAUGCCUGCACUCACCUCUCAGUAUUCGGUGUAAAUUUGCUGUUUUAUUGCCCAGCCCAAUGCGGCAUAAAUGGUGUAGAUAGUAGUGGGUUGGGAGUAGACCGGACCGGAAUCCGGAUUGUCUGUGGAUUGUCUGAGAAGCAGACAAUCAGGACCAGAAUCCCAAAAUUAUGCUACAAUAUCCCCAAUCCACUGUACUAAGAAACUAGUAUGCAACCAAGAGUACCAAGAGAGCUUUAAAAGCUUUGCCUGGGCGUAUCCCCUUACCUGCAUCCUAAAAAUUCAGGCUUUUUGGAGAUUUUCGUUAGCGGGUACGUAGGCAUUCAUUCUCCGAUUUUUCCUUGGAUUUCUUCAAAACUCCCCCCCCUCCCCCGGUAAUAUAGAAUAGGAAUAAAUUUAGAAUAGAUUCUAUCGUAUUAAACAAAAAAAUCUAGUAUGCAACUGGUAGCACCAGAAUUGACACUCCUCAAAAAAAUUUCAGCCAUUCCUUCCCUUUUUUUUUUUUUUUACAUCAGAGGAAGUUUUUAAAUAGUGCCUGAGAUUUUUUAAGGAAUGCUAUAUCAUUUCCCUUUCUUUUAGGUCUCUUGUGUUCUUUAUGCUGCUAUCUUCUUUUUUUUUUCAUCACUGUGAUAUCCGAAUCUACACCCGAUUAAUUCCACAGUGCUCCAGCAGAGCGGGUCCGACCAAUGCUGAAGAAGAUAACAACUGAAUUGCUGCCCGGGAUCGAACCCAGAUAAAACUCACCUAAGGAGGCUACUUCCACCAGCAAACCAACCCAGCGCGGGCAUGUUCUUUAUGCUGCUAUCUUUUGCCAUAACUGCCGGCUUUCACUGUUUAAUUUCGUCAUAUUCUGAAUGUAUUGAAGCGCUCCCUCCCUCUUUCGUGAUAAAUUGUUGACAUUGCUGGUCCAAUUCAUACGAGUUUUCAAAUCAUCCCUUGUAACAGAUGACCCCUUGCUGUAACUUUAUCAAACUUAGUUGCUCUGCGGUUUGCUAACCGCUUGUUACUUGGUUGCACACUUGAUACAUAAAAGUCUGGUGUAGUUGCAAUAGCAUGCACCACGUGAAAUCGAAUCACCCGAACUCAAAUGCAUGAAGGAAGAGCCAACUAUCCGGACUCGUCAUCCAUGCAAGCUAAAGCAGACGAAAUAAAUUUUUUUUUUUUUUUAAAAAAAAAGGAAUGGUACCGUAAUGUAGCACCGUGAAAGGCAUUGAUUUUCAUGCCAUCGUGCAGAUUAUCUACAAAACAAAAUAUUUUGUGUUUUAACUUCAGCUACUGCGGUGCUCGACAAAGCACUUGAAAAGGCCUGCGGCGGUUCUAGAAUCAUUUACCUCUAACAAGUAACAAUAGGCUACAAAGAAUACCAGUGGUAAGUCUACAAUAUCUACAAUGUUUAAAGCUUUACCUCACCUUUCCAAGAUUAAUUUUCAACAGGAAUUCAUGUGACUUUUGCACUAUAAACAACUCCAAUAAUGUCUGAAGCAACAUGUGAAAACCAAUUAACAGCAGUACCAAAGAGGAGUUCCCAGAACCAGAGAUCCAAUGCCAGGACAGAUGAAAAGAUGAGCAGUGCCAGAGUCUGAUAACGGUUUAGAGGCCAACCCAAGACUUCUGCCAUUUUCUUCAAAAAGGGAAGGGAGCUACUUCUUAGGUUAUGGCCCUUUAUGGACCAAGCUGUUAUCCACUGCACUCGAGAUGGGACAAGGUCAAAUUCCUCCCUCAAUCGCCGUCCCAGGUCUGGCAUGUGCCCUCCCCCAUAAAGUAUAGCAACCUUGUUAUGACCUUCAGCAAUUGCUCUGUCAAGUGCUUCUGUUGCAGCUCUGUUUCUCUCACCAAUGAUUACAGAUCUCUCCUCUACAUCAGCCGUCACUUGUGUGAACCUAAGCAUCAGCAGCAUUUCAUCAGUACUAGAACAACAAAGAUAUGGUAAAAUGCAAUUCACUACUUCAAAGUAAUGAUAAAUUGGUCUGAAAACAGUCAUGUGAUGCCUCAUUUUGUACUAGCUAGUCUAGGCCUUCCAACGGGAAACUAAGGCUUCCACAAUUUCAUUUAUCCAUGGACUUCAAAUGAAGGUUUUCAGUACUUAGCAUACACUUCUUUUCAAUUUGUCAUGAAAAUCUAUUAACAUACAUUUCUAGUCCUUAGAUUUCUUUCCAAUUGGUUUAUCCAAUAUCAAUCACUCUAUUCCAAAAGUUACCUUGAAAAGUACAUCACAUUCACAUAGAGUAUUUCUCACACAGCAAGUUGUGCCAAAGGCAGAUGAUACUACAAAACGAAAGACUUACUCAGACGUUAGCCUUUUUGCAAGAAAAACCUUCAUUGCAGCACCAAAAUCAAGCCUGGACAAUGCUUCCAAUUCUGGAAAUUCAGAUGCCUGGUUUCCCACAUCUGUGCAAACACUUCCAAUGAUGAAGAGUCCAACAAGAGGCAUGGGCAGCACUCGAGAAGCCCAUAAAAGUUUGGAUCUCCAAGGACCAAGAUCUUCUGGAAUUGAUGUAGGCUGCACAAUGGCCCUUGUCGAUCUAAGUGUCAUAUCUCUGGCAAAUGUAAAGAAGCUCUCACCUUUUUCAUGCUGUAACAAUAUAGGACGUUACUAACUUUUUCUAGACAAAAUGUAACUUGAACAAAUUUCUCAUCGGAACAAUAUGACCAAAAACAAGGGAAUGCCACGUUAUGGCACUUAAAAGGGUAUUAGGAUGCAAAUGAGUACCAACCAAAAGAGUUCUCCUUGUGAUUUUCAAGAAAAGCUAACAUUCUAUAUGAAGUAUCUAGAUGACCUUGCCAAGACCCAAAUUAAGAUGAAUUUGGAAUAAAAUAAGUGCUCUUGCAGAAGGUAAUACUGAAGCCUAAAGGAAUAGAUCCUACCUGAAGUAACUUAAAGGUUUCAAAAUCAAGAUCUGCAUGGUACCAGUUCUCAGCCUGGUAGUCAAUACAAUCUAACUGGAAAUCAAGCAUAAGAAAAUUAGCCAUCUGCCUCUGAAUGCAGCCAAGAAUAUUAAAUCCCCUUGAGGCUGAACCUUUAAGUUUCUUUUUAGCAGCAUGAUUUCUUCUGCUUUCUAGACUUUCUCUGCUAGCAACCAUCUCAUAAAGGACACAAUCAUACAAUUCAAGUUCUUUUUGCAGGGUCUCAAAGUACCUGCAAAUAAAAAGAUUAAAUCAUGUCACAAUUUCCACCAUUUACAACUUAAAUGCAGUCAACACAAAUACCCAAAGUUCUCAACGCUUUUUAUUACAUGAUAGAUUAAUAAAAAGUUAAAUAUGUGAAAAGUUAAUGAUUUAGGCAAUUGUGAAUCCGCAUAAAAGAGGAGGAUGAUUGUCUAUUAUGGUUUUGACGAGAGAUGGGCAUCUUGAAUUUUUUCUCCUCCUGAGGAACAGCAUAAAGAUCGCAUGUUUACGUCCAAACACAAGACUAUGACAGAUUAUAUCACUGAAACAGCAAAUAGAUCUCAGAUAAAGCAACCAGAAGCUAAAAGGAUGCUGGUCCACCAAAAGAAUGACUACGCCUUGAUUAUAAGUUCUUCAUGAGAGUGAAAAAAUAAAAGAUGAGCAAAGCCCCUAAGAAAGAAAUACAGAGAACAAUAAGGAUUAGAUUCAUACACUGAGAGUACCUCAGCAGUUAAGAAACUCACAUGUAAGAAUUGGAUCAACUAUACCACAGAUUGCUCCAUGAUCUAAUAGGUUUACAAGCAGAAUUUAUCAUUGGCUUGUCUAAUUAACAAGUACAACAAAAAAGAUCAAUGAUCAAUAGAAGUUCAGCAAACAACAAAAGAUUAUCCAAAUCACCAAUAAGAAAAUUUCAAGAAAAAUUUCAUUUUACUAUUUCAAAGCCAUUUUCCAAUUCACUGCCAGCCAGCCUAAUGCUUCCCAGCUCUAACAAGGAGAUAGAGCAUAAUCUUGCUUGCUAUGAGUAAGAGUUAGAGAUAAAAUGCACUAGUUUUCUUGAAUCUCCUAAACCAAAAGGUCUUUGUCAUCUUGUCUCAUGCUUUAGUUAUUUUUAUAUCCAUUCUUCUUCAUUACACUUUUUGAUUAUCCUCGUUUCUCCUCAUUAACAUAUCCCACAAAAGGAACACCACGGACACAGGUCUAUAAAUCUAUACACAAAUAAUAUAAACACUCUCAAUGACCUUUUUAUCUCACCUACAUCAAAUCCUUAAAAGUAUAUUUUUCGACAAAAACUCCUAAAAAUAGCAAUCCAAUCGGCUACUUACUCUUUAUCUGCAAUGUGUAUAGUCGAAACCAAAUCAACCUGCACCAAAAGUUUUAACAGAGUGACGUAGUUAAAACGACUCCACGAUUGAAAGCUUCACAAACAAUCAAAGCAUUCUUAAAACCCAAAUCAGAAACAAAGGCAAAAAAUUGCCCCCUUUGUUCACAAAAAGAAAAAUAAAAAGAAAAAAUGCUCACCUGAAGAAAUGGUUGAAGAAGGGACCAAGGGAACUUCUUGCGAUAACUAACAACGGCAGUCUGCAACUCAGAACUUCUAUAGCUUCCUCCCUCUGCAUCAUCACUAGACUUGGAAUUUGAGCUUCGCUUGAUGAACCUCAUGAAAUCUGCAAUGGAAUUGUUCUCCAGAAAAUGCUCAGCCGACCCAUUAUCGGCUUCCACUAAUUUCGACUGCUGCUGCUUGAAGGAGGCCCUCAGCUUGAAAUUUCUGAGCCCAGAAUUUCGGAUAAAUACGGAGAAAAGGCGGGAGGACGAGGAGGAGGGCCAAUCGGGGUUAGCGAGUGGUGAAUAAUUUGAUGACGACGAUGGUAGCGUUGUAGAUAGUAGAGCCAGGGAGCCAUGAACCAUAGCGCUCUCCGCUCAGAUUCAGAGGACUCCAAAUUCAGAAAAUUUGUGUGCCUUUUAGUGGGUGUAAUUUUGAGGAGAGGAUAUAUCAUCAGUAUCAUACGUGUUCUGGAAUUUUACUUUUAUUGUUCCUUUAUUAUCCUCCUUUAUAUGUUUCACAAACAAACAAGAAUAUGUACGAACGAUGAACAGCAGAAUAGAGAAGUUGUUUAUCAGACAAUACAUGCACAAAUUACUAUUGCCCGAUCUAUUCUCACCGUUACUUUGAGAUCCACUUGAAGUUUUUUGCUGCUUUUUUUUUUGGGUUAAUGGUAAUUUUCUUGGACUUUACUUUGAAAAUGAAGUCUAGUAUUGGCUCGCACGCCAAAAACUCUGUUGCUUUUUCUUAAAAGCCACCUUAGAGAAAUAACAAUAAAAUAAAAAAUAGAACAGAGAAUAACACAGAACGUGAAACAAAAGAUCCGCUGCGCCAAAAGAUCCGCUGCGCCGACCGACAAGCCCAGAAUCAAUUAGUUCAGGACAAACCGUUUUGAUUGGUUUGUUUAUGGUAAAUGGUGACAAGUAAAAGGAGCCCACAAGAGAGUCGGAAAUAAGUUCAAAAGGAAUUUUCUUUGCUGCCUUUGCCUCCAAUUAUUGACUUCAAGUUCCAACCAAUAUGAUGGUUAUUUUACAUCCGAUACAUUGAAUACAAGACAAUCCAACAUCUUAGUGACCUAUUACAGCUCGUGUCUGUGAAACGAAAGAUAUCAAAGAAUAACUUCCGACUUGCAAGCAAAAGAAUCAAAAGAACAAGAGCCCCCACUCCGGAACUGCUCGAGCUGGCUUGAGUUUAAGUUGCAAUGACUGCAAUCUUUAAGAAAAAAAAUGAUAUCUGCUAAACAAAUGAUUCCUAGCUUUUACUACUUCCUUUUCGUGUUCCUCCUUCCUUCACUGUUUCUUUUUCUUUAUGGGUUCACUGCCACGCUUCUUUCAAUUAAAAACACUUUGUUUUCGGCUGAAUACCGCUCAUUGAGAUAGCAACACGAGACCAGCUUCUAAAUCCUCCAACCUAAUUGUAAGUAAUUCAUCUGUAUCUAUGCAGUCAAAACUGAGCCUCAAAUCCAAAUUUUCUCUUGCAUUGACUAGCAUCGGAUCUACUAGACCUCCAUUCAUUUCCUGGCGCUGCUUUUCCGUUGUUUCUCUGUCUAUAAGUGCUGCAACAGCAUCUAUGCUACACGAGGGGUGCAACUUAAAUCCAUACAACAAGCUAUUCUCAACUUGAUUAGUCAUUCUAAGAUGAAGAAUCUUGGCAAGAUCCUCAGAACUGAAGUCGUUAAAAAUAAAAAACUUUGUUACCCUUCUGCAGAAGCCUUCAUUUGAAGAAAUCACGCGCUUCAUUGGUUCACUGUAGCCAGCAAAGAUUACAACAACUUUUCCACUAUCCAUGACUGACAUUAUUUCUUCUAGAGCCUCCACCCCGUAGUCUUUAUCAUCUGCCUUCUGCAUGGGUAUGAGUCUGUAGGCUUCAUCCACGAAAAGAAUUCCACCUUCAGCUUCUUGUAUCUGCAUGUGGCUCAAAAAGUUGUUCGUCAAUUAGUGCACAGAAUUGCUGGCAAAAGUAGUGUGUAAGAAAUUAUUAAAACAGAAUUAUCACAAGGUACCUUUCUCCUUGUCUUUGGUCCUGUGUGACCCACAAACUCCCCAACUAAAUCUGUUCGCUGCACUUCUGUUACCCUGUCGGUAGGAAGAAUUCCAACCAUGUGGAGUAAUUUUCCAAGCACUCGUGCUACCAUAGUCUUACCUGCAGAGAAGUUCCAAUCGAUUGAAUGAGAAACCACUGGAGUAUGAAUCCAUCUCAACCUUUUCCAUUUAACAUGAAAAUGAUUCUCAGAAUGCAAAAAGCUGAUUAAACAUAAAGUGCUUCCACCAACAUAAUUGGCAAAAUCUUACUUCCUAUUACCUGUUCCAGGAUUUCCCAAGAAGGCCAUGUGAGGUGCCCUUCUAGCACCAACUUUUAGUCCAAGUGCGCGUCGCCUCUCAUCCAAGAGCAUCCCCUUUGCCCAUUUUCGGAGUUGUACUUUGAGCUCAUCUAGUCCAACUAUGUUUGAUAACUCAUUUUCCAGUGCAUCCAUCUUUGCUUGAGUCUCGCUGCAUGCUUCAAUAGCUUUACGCUUUCUCUGCUCUUCAAGGUGUUUGUGGAGAAUUUCACGUAAUUUUUCACUCCCAUGGCUUUGUGAAAGAUGAUUCAAAGGAGUCAGACCCUCCUGCAAUUAAACGACAUUUCACUAAUGAGGACGAACAAAAAUAUAGCACUGAGAUAUGCAAACCAAAUGGCAGGCAUCAUACAUUAUCUUUGGCACUGCAAUCGGCAUUAUAUUCGAGCAAUGUCUUAACAGUUGAAUAAUCUUCUGCUCGAAGUGAAUGCCAAACAGCAAGAUGCAACGGGGUCAUGCCAUUCUGAAAUGCACAAUGGAGAAGAAUGUAUGCAUUUCAGUAAGUAGAAAAUUAUAAUAUCCAUGUUCAAAAUAAAGUCUUUGAGUAGAAUGAAACAGGAAUAAGAAGAAUACACACAUUUGCUUUGGCUUCUAUAGAGGCACCAUGAGCUAGGAGCAUCUUUGCAGCUCCAUUACAUCCAUUUUUAGCAGCCAUGUGCAGUGGGGUCUCCCCAUACUACAAAAGUUAAGAUGUCAAACUAAUAAGAGCAUUGUACAAAUUCUGUCAAGACAUUGAACACCAUUGCUGAGAAGGAUAAUAAUGAAAGAAGCCACGCAGACACACACAAACAACAAAAAUAAUAAUAAAUAAAUAAAUUCUUCUUUAACUUAUGCCUGCUUUGAACUCAUACAUUGUUACAAAAGUUUAUUGCUCCAAGCUUGGUUAGCAGUAAAACAGGAAGGAAGCCUGAAGUUCUUGUAUGGAUCUAAACUAAGGUCCAAUUGCCCGGAUCCUAAUUGGCUUUUUCAAAUUCAAUGACGUCUGAGUCUGAUUCCCAUCCAAUUACAACCCUAUAUGCAUAGAACAUUACACCUAGAUAUGCGAGAUAUAGCAUACAGAUGAAUGUGGACCACAUCUAUAUGAGCUAUGUAUGGAUAGGAAAACACUCUAACAAAACAUUCUCUCAGAAAACCAUAAAAAACCACAACACAUGUUCUAGGUUAUAUUAAAGUGAGAAGACAAGGUCCUUUGAAGGUCAAAAGCUCCAAAUAUGGACGUACUACUUAAUAAUCGGCUGCUAAUCCGCCAAAUACAUAACUAAAAUCAUUUAUUGCAAUUAGAUUUUAUAAAACUCACAUAGAAUCCUUCAAUCGUGACAUUUUCAUUCAAGAAGAAGAUUAAACAAGCACUAUAAAAAUAUAGCUUUUACAUACCAUAUUCUUGGCCUCCAACUCCACCUUUUCUGGUCCAGCCCAAUCAAGCAGAAGCUUAAUUAUUUCAACAUUGUUGUAACCAGCAGAAACAUGAAGUGGUGUCUGUGCCAUCUGCAGCCAACCAGCAAAAAGAUCAUUAAGACCAUACUUAUAGAUGAAGUGCAUACUCAUUUUGAAGCCAAUUAGCAAGUAAAGAUUGUAAAUAGCUUCUAACAAAGGAAUUCUCUACUUUGAAAGUAAAUAAAUGAACAAGCAAUCAAAGUAGCAUUAAUGCCAAGACAAUUAAGUUAAGAUAAGGUCAUAUCUUGCAACAGGAAAACUUACAACAGAAGGUUAACAACCUGAAAAUGAAUAUUUCAUUGCAUGAUUGAGAUGUAUACAACACUGCUCAAUUCACCAUAUAACAUUUCAUUGAAAUUCCAACUGUUCAAUCAUACUUGCAUGAUAAUAGAUAACAAGUUAUGAAAAGUCUUCUGAAUUUGUAUUAACCAAGAAACAAUCUUCAUUUCUGUCUGUUUGGAGAAGCUUCAUAAUGUAGUAAAAAGUCUUCUCCAACACCUGUCUCCACUCCAGGCUUCAUAAGUGAGCAAGCAAUCAAAGUAGCAUUAAUGCCAAGACAAUCAGCUUAAGACAAUAUUAUACCUAGAAAAGAGAAAACUUACAAUGAAAGGUUAACAACCAGAAAGUAGCUAUUUCAUUUCAUGAUACAUAAAUGUAAACACUAUCUACUGAUUUCACUAGAUAAGAUUACUCAAAGUCAUUGAGUUCCCAUCAUUCAACAUUCUAAGAUUUCUCAAUUUCUAGAGCAAGAUGGUAGCUAACAUGUCACGAAAUGUCUUUGUAUUAAACUGAGAAAUGAUCUUCACUUCUAUGUAUUUGAAGAAGCUUUCUGACGUAACAAAGGUCUUCUACAAAACCUGUCUCCACUCCAAGUUUCAUCAUGAUUACAAUUUACAAUGGUUGUUUGCUUCAAAAACUACUACGUUUAGACCAUGCUGACUCCAAUGAGGCUCCCAGAGCAAAAAUUAGCACAUUAGCAAACUACACUAAGAACCUGCAUCACCUUCUACUUUGAUAGUGACCAACUACCGUUCCAGCUCAAUUUAUGCAGUCAGCCUCACUCUGACUAGCACAACCAAAAAAUUGGAAGGACUCACGUUUUGAAGUCAAGAUCACAGCAAAUGUGGCUUAACUACUGUUAAUCAGGUGCUUUUAACUAAACGUUUAAGUGCGUAUUAGCAAGCUUAUCAGAUCUUAACCAAGAUGAAAUAUUUAUUUCCUCCUGAGGAAUUCCUCAUAUAAAACUCAAUCAAUAAUAAAAUUAAAAGGUUUUACUAGACGGAAAUUGGGGGAAUAUUCACAAUGCAUCCACUAAAAAACAAUUUAUGACCAAUCUCAGAGACCAAAAGCAAACAAGACUAACUUGGGAAAUUCCGGGACAGACAAGAAAUGUAAAAUUGAAAUACAAAAGGGAUUUCUAUUUACUUCAUAGAUAAAUUAAAGAAACAAACAAGGAGAUCUUACAACAGGGUUUCGAUCAUUGAGUAGAGAAGGAUUGUCACGAAGUAGCUUUUGGAAGGCAAUGAGAUCCCCAGACUGAGCCAACCCGUGUAUGGUUGUGGGUUUGGAGGAUCUUGACCUUUGAUCCUUGAGUUUCUGCAUGGUUUCUCGGUAUAAUAGAAUUAUCUUCUAAUUUUAUGUUGUUUCUUUAUCUCCUCUCCUCUCUCCCACAGAAGCAAGAACUGAAAUUGAAUGAAAAAAGAUAGGUGUGGGAGAGAGGGAGAGAGAGAUUGAGAGUGGGGUGUUUUUAUUUUCAAAGGGAAUUCUUGAAAUCAGUCAUUGCUGCUGCUGCGAAAUUGCGAAUACAUAUAUGCGUGCGUGUGAAUUUCCCUGGCAUGGGAACGCGAAUAGUUCGCAUUGUGCAGGGAUGCGGCUGGCAGUUGUGCUUUUCUAUUUUGUGCAAUGAUUUGCCAGCUGGAUACCGUCCGUCCAUAAUUCACCGCUGCCCCCAGCUUUAAAAAUUGGGAAAUUUGUCCAAUUGGUCCCUAACAUUUACCAAAAACACUUUUUUAGUCAUUUACAUAUAAAAUCAGCCAAAAUGGUCCUUCACAUUUAAAUUGUGAGCCAAUGUGGUCCUAUUGCUCGUUUUUGCUCAUUUCUCCGGCUAAAAAUAGCACGUCUCUCUCACGUGAUCAUAUUUUUAGGGGCAAAACCGGAAACACAUUUCAUUACCUGUUAAAAGUAAAAGGUGUGGACAACCACCAAAAUACACAUUUCACCUUUGGCCCUCAAAGUUUUCAAGAAACCUGAAUUGCAUCCCCGAAUGGUGGCGAAAAUUAUUUUGUAAUUCUCCUGUAUAAGUGAUGUGCUUGAUGAAUCCAUAGAUCUGGUUCUUGUUUACUUAUAUCCGAAAGUCCUAACCUUUCCAUUCUAAGUGAGAGUCUAACAAGUCCAGGACAUUUGUGCAACAUCGAUCCCACGAAUCCAAUUUGGGCCUUAGCUGGAACCCUAAGCCUCAGCUCCUCCGCCGCCCGCCAAAGCCGCUUACUCGUGUCCCUCCAUCCUUUGCAAACCCUGGCCGCCGACAACAGUGUUGGAGGCGGGAGCCUUCUCAACACCUCCCACAGACAACUCAUCGGCAGCUUCCCGGACCCGGCAAGAUCCGAUUCGGGGCUCCAGCUCGAGAAGCUCCUCCUCGUCCUCCUGGUGCUCUUCCUCAUCCUCUCCCUCGUCUUGUGAGUCCCUCGCAUCAAUAUCAUCGUCGAAGGAGAGAGCUCGCCGGAGGUUGGAGAAAUGCUGGCGAUGAGGAGGGGGAGGGGGAGGACGAACAAUGGAGAGAGGAGAAGGGAUAGCGAGGGAGGAGGUGGCUGAGUCAGUUGAGGGCGUGGCGGUGGGAUGCAAUUUAGGGUUUCUUGAAACUUUGAGGGCCAAAGGUGAAAUGUGUAUUUUGGUAGUUGUCCACACCUUUUACUUUUAACAGGUAAUGAAAUGUGUUUCCGGUUUUGCCCCUAAAAAUAUGACCACGCGAGAGAGGCGUGCUAUUUUUAGCCGGAGAAAUGAGCAAAAACGAGCAAUAGGACCACAUUGGCUCACAAUUUAAAUGUGAAGGAUCAUUUUGGCUGAUUUUAUAUGUAAAUGACUAAAAAAAUGUUUUUGGUAAAUGUUAGGGACCAAUUUGGCAAAUUUCCCUUAAAAAUUUUAUUUCCUAGUGUUGAGAAUUCGCACGUGCUCAUGAUGCCCGAAACUAGGGCUGUCAACGGGCCGGGUCCGGGCCGGAAUUCAUUAUUCCGGACCCGGACCCGAAUUACUAUGCCGGACCCGACCCGUUUACCCGACGGUCUUUUAUUCUAUGUUCCGGAUCCAGAUCUGGCGGGUCCGGCGGGUCCCGGAUCCGGAUCCCGGUCUACCCGAACAAAUUUAGCAAAUUUUAUAAUUUCUAAUAAAAAUGAAAAAAAAUAUAUUUGUAAACUAAUUUUUAACUAAUGCAAAGAAAAAACCAAAUAAGAAAAGAAAUCAAAUUAACUUUAUUAAAAUAAUCACUCUAAUCAAAUUAUAUUGAUAAAUAUAUAUAUUUAAAAUUAUUAAUUCAUUUAUAUCCGGAUCCGGGUCUAAUACGGGUCGGAAUACUAUAUUCCGUAUCCGACCCGUUUUUUUGUUUGACAAAACGGAUCCGGAUCCGGAUCCGAAAAACGGAAUUAAAUCCCUAUCCAUACCCGCAAUAAUUUCACGGAUCCGGUCCGGAUCCGGGUCUAGACCCGACCCGUUGACAGGCUUACCCGAAACAGUAUUGUAUCAUUCGGGUAUUCUCUUCUUUUUUUUUUAAAAUAAUUUUAAGGUAAGGAUAACAUUUGUAUAUACUAAUCUAUUUUAAUCUAGGAGGACAGAGUUUAAAAAAAUAAUAUAUAAAUGACUAAUAGAUAUAAGAAUCUACUAAAUCAAAAAGAUAAUUUGAUACCUUCUUUGAAUUUUUUUCAAAAGACUCGAACUCCUGACGUAAAUCUCAAAUAAGGAUUUUAGUCCCCUUUUUUUUUGCCUCGACAGUUCAUUCGGGGUGUUCCUAUCAAUGUGAUGGAUUGGUUGCAAUUCAAAUGUUUUACUGAAUUCAAAAUGAUAGAUUAAUAAAAACUAAACGGUACAAAAUGGUGUGUAUAAUAAAAAAUAAUAAAAAAAAGGAAAUGAUAAUUAAAUACACGUUUAUGAUAUAAAGGAAAAAAUUCAAAUAAUAACCUGUCCACACACUUUCAAGAUGGAAAAUUUUUCACUUAAGAUUUGGAAGUUGAAAAUGCAUGACCCUGAGUGUGAAAUUGACAUUGGAUUAAGCAAUGGACCAAGCUCGUACAAUAACACAUGUUUUUUACGUUUUUGUAGGAGAGAUUUUCUUGCACGUACUUAUCAGGCGCCGGUAUUACAUUUAUCUAAUUUGUUAUAUAUAUAUAUAUAUAUAUAUGUGCGUGCACGCGUGCAUAUUAAUAAUUAUUAUUAUUCCUUAUAUUUAUAUAUUUUAUUUAAUUUUAUCUGUUAUUUAUUGUAUUUAUCUAUUUUUAAAUUAAUUUUAUAUUUUAAAAAUAUAAUAUUUAAAAUAAAUCUUAACUAGUGACAACAGGCACCAAUUCCCAAGAGUCACUAGACCCUUAUAGAAAAAUGAUUUCUAACCAGAAAUAAAUGAUUUUGAUUAAAAACAUGGACGCUUGCUACAAGUUGCUGCCCGAAUUCGUCCGUUCUGGAGUUUUCCCGAUCAUCGCAACCGGUGGUAAAAUAUCUUGGUUCGAUUUUGACGGGAAGGCAAGAAUCGCCGGUCAUCUGUUGCUGUGGAGUUACCAACUCACCAUUCAUUGACGGUUGAUCCCCACGCGAUUCCAGAGCGAAUACUGAAUACUCGAAUGCAAUGAGGGGAUUAAACAGUCGUCCUGUCGAAGCAAAAGUGACAGCUUACAAACUUCCAAAGAGUGAUCAAAACGCCACGUUGCGUGAGUCGAUGAGGUAGCUGUAACGUGUGGACAUCACACUCCACUUCUUGCCCCUAUGCUUCGUUGCUUGCCUAUGUUUUUUUGCUUUGAAUUUUGAUCCUCCAUAUCUUUCCAAUUCCUCGGAUAUUUCCAGCUCAAAAUUUUGCUCAAUGUUCACAAGGUCCCAGCCUCCGUCCCUAAAGAUUUGAACGUUACCAUUUCUUUCAUGAACCCAUCUCAUCUCUCUGUACAACCUCAGCUACAACGACAUAGGAUAACUUCUUUCCAGGAUGGCCACCAUGGCAAAGUUGCACGUGUCACCUUAUACCAAAUGGACGGUCCAUUCGCCGCCGGUCCGGCAAGGUUUCCCUCCUAGUAUUUUGACGUGGGAUUCCGUUAGUGUAAAGGGUCGUUGUAGAAUUCGGUUUAGACCAUGCAGGUCUUUCAGGUCCGAGGACGAACCGAACGAAAGAGUGAGCAAAGGUGAAAUUUUGAAGGGAAAAAAUGGGUUGCAGUCCAAGACCAGUGCCGAUGAAGUAUUGCGGGCUAUUCGGUCUUUUGUUUGGAAAUUUUCGAAGCCCAGCUCACGAUCGCAAGCUUUGGAGCAGUUGGAGGAGAAGUUAUCGGGGGUAAUUAUUUUGCUUCCCUGCUGUUAAAAAUAGGAAAAAAGAACUAAAUGGAGAAGCGUUGGAGGUUUAGGGUCUCGUGUGUAAUAUGGAGCUUAUCUUGAACUAUUUACUCGGGAAAGUUUUUGUCUUUUUCAUUUUUUUAAGAUGUCCGGAAAUAGAGGAUUUAAGAUUAGGCAAGUGCUCUUGAGGAACUAAUAGACAUAGUCUGUUGCAUGUAUUAACAAAUGAAAUUUUAUGCUCGUAUUUCUCUGGGAUUUUGGUAUUUUUUGAGUCUCUGUGAUUUUUUGUGAUUUUGAUAUUUAAGAAAUAAGCAGGUGGCUAUUCAAAUUGCAAGAUACAUCGUGACAAUGAUGAGCACUGGUGCUAUAUUAUUGAUCGGUUUUCGGUUGUCAGGUUAGCUGAGAAUUUAUUCACUGUACCAUGUUUUCCUUCAAGAUAAAAGGGAAAGAAAAACAAAGAUAUCUACUUUCUUUUACUACAAUCUAGCAUCACAAGUUUGAUUUUUGUUUCAAAGUUGAUAACUGAUGGGCAAAUCGAUAAUUUGUUUGCUUGGGAUUUAAGGUGGUGAUGGCCAGAUGAACGAGUUGAUAUGGUAUAGUUGGCUUGGAGGGAUCAUUAUCGGGACUAUGAUUGGUUCCAAUAUGGUGCUGGACGAAGUGAGCAGAGCCGGGCCUCGCAAUGUUGUCAUAACUGGCAGGUAAAAUCCUCCUAAUGGGAGGGUGAUUUGUUUUAUCUAUUUGCUUUUAAUUGAUGCAAAUCAUCCAAAAUGAUUUUUUUCCUCUUGAGAGUGCUGGUAAUGCACUUUUGUUUAGGUUAUUGGAAGUCAUAUUCCAAUGCAUGUGGCCCUAGACUAAUUAAUUAGCUUGCCUGAUUGAUGAUUUAAGUGGCUUCAUUUAAGCACAAGAACUAUAGUUCUUACCGGGUGCAAACCUUUUAAAAAUAUUCUAGACUUAAUUUGUGAUGCAAGCUUGUAUGAAGAACUAUUGGAGUUUUUAAGUGUUAUUCAUGCUCGCAUAGCUAGUUUCCUUCUUGGUUCAGAGUUAGUUCUACGAAGUCAUUUUGGAUUCUGUUUUUUCUACUUAUUACUCUAUAUCACUCUAUGCUGAUUACCCUCUUAUUGUUGCUGAAGUACAAGGGGAUUGGGGAAAGCUCUUGCUCGUGAAUUUUUACUCUCUGGGGACCGAGUAGUUGUUGCUUCACGCAGGUGCUUUACAAGUUUCUUUACAAGAACUAAACUUGUAUUCCUUUCCUAUUUCUACUUCCAACUUCUUUGUUUACAGUUUCUUCUUUUGAAGCAGUCCUAAGUCCGUCAACACAACUAUUAAAGAGCUUGAAGAAAAUCUCAAGCAAGUCUUGAUCAGCUCAGAUGUUUCAUCAAGUAAAAAGUUGGCACAAGCAAAGGUGGUGGGCAUUGCAUGUGAUGUCUCUGUACCUACUGAUGUGAAGAAAUUGGCAAACUAUGCAAUCAAGGAACUUGGUUCUAUUGACAUCUGGGUGAGGAUUCUUGGAUUCUGGUAUUUCUUUCUUUUCAAAUUAAUUUCUUCCAAUUUUUUUUUUUGUAAUUUUUCUUGCUUCAUCAGUGGGGUCAUUAUUUGCUCUGAUCGGUAAUUUGCUUCCAUCCACCUUCGGUGGUUAUGUGGAAGACUGUAUUCCUAUUUCUAGCAUCAAAAAGUCUUCGAAAAGUGGAUAAAUUGCUUGAGUCAGAUAAUUUUAAAAUGGAAGGCACUGUUGAAUCGUGGUCUAAUGUGUCAAAAUCCUUCACGUUGAAUUUCAUUUAGUUGUGCUUCCUUGAUGAGUUGUAUAACACACAAGGCUCACAUCUUCCAUCCUGCCCAUUGAUUCUUGAUCCCUGUACAAUCUGCAAACUUUAUUGUUCAAAGAGACCUAUUUGAUAUGAAAAUCAUAAUGCCAAAAAUAUUGGUACUUAGGUAAUCUUGAAUAUCAACAGGUAAAUAAUGCUGGGAUGAACAAAGGUUUCAGACCCUUACUGCAAUUUACUGAUGAUGAUAUUCAACAGGUAUGCCCUCCAUCAUGCAGAAUGUCCAUGGAAUCUUCUUUUGAUGUUGUACCUUUAAAGUUCUGUUAUGCAUUUGCAUAGAUAAAGGCAAAAUGUUUCUGUGAUCUAUAAAGUGCAUUAAAGCAAUGUCUUAACACCAUGCAAAUCAGUUAAAUUAGUGACACUCUUUUCCCGUUCAGAUGGUUCACCAAUUUUUCAAGAUUCCAAUGAAUGACUAAAAAGCAAGAAAGGGCAUUAGGAAAGAUGUUAGCUUAAUUAAAGUGUAACUACCCAUUUCUCAAUUAUCUCCAAUAAAUACUUCAUUGAACUUGCAACAAUGCACAUCAAAGUCAAAUUAUAAGGAUAAAGGACACAGGACAAAGGAAAUUUAAAGGCAAAGAUGUUGACUUUUUUGGUAGUAGUCUGAUUUCUCUACAUUAUGCACUGCCGCUUUUUUAAUCUCCCACCAAUUCAAUGCCUUAUUGCACUUAUUUUUGCAAACCUUAUUCUUUAACUGAUCCCUGGCUACUGUCAUAUGAUUCUGAGAAAAGAUUGUCUCCACAAAUCUGGUUGGGUCCAUUCUUUGUACUCGUGAAGCCAUGCGGAUAAUGCAAAGCCAAAAACUGGGAGGACACAUAUUCAACAUGGAUGGUGCAGGUUCUGGAGGAUCUAGUACCCCCCUCACAGCUGUGUAAGUUCUUUGAAAAUUAGUAGGUUUUGAUUGAAUAAUUGCUGCUAGAAUUUUUCCCAAUUUUUUGUUCAUUAUGAUCAAGCAACUAUUUUUCGAGUUGCUUUACCAUUGAUGAUACAAUUUUUGGAUAUCCCGGAUCUGUAGGUAUGGGUCGACAAAAUGUGGUCUUAGGCAGCUACAAUCAUCACUUCUGAAGGAAUGCAGACGAUCAAAUGUUGGAGUGCAUACAGCCUCUCCUGGCAUGGUGCUGACAGAUUUGUUGUUGAGGUACCACCAGUCAUGAUUUGUUUUGAACAUUUUUUCUUUUCUCUAGUUGAAUUCAAUGUCUGUGCACCGAGUUAAAUAAGUUUUGUUGCUCUACUUUGCCCAUCAACAGAUUAGCAAUCUAGAUUUUGCUUUUUAGUUCCAAUUAUUACGUUCAAGACUUGCAUUUUGUUUUGGAGAGAAGUUUUACGUAUAAAUUUCUCUGCAGUGGCUCAAGUAUAAAAAACAAACAGAUGUUUAACAUCAUCUGUGAGCUGCCUGAGACAGUUGCAAGAACGUUAGUUCCACGUAUGCGUGUUGUAAAGGGUAGUGGGAAGGCCAUUAAUUAUUUGACUCCACCAAGGAUCUUGCUUGCUUUGGUUACUGCAUGGCUUCGAUGGGGUCGUUGGUUUGAUGACCAGGUAAUGUGGGGUUCCUUCUAUAGAUGUCUGCUCUAGUAUUAAUAUCGCAUGUAUGUGGGGGUUCCUUCUAUAGAUGUCUGCGCAGAUUUGAUGUUGCAAUAUAUGAAUUACGUAAGUUGAUAAAUGUAGCUACAGGAAAGCAUUCGAUUUUUUGGGUUGUGACUGGUUGAAAUUGGACAGUUCAAGUUGAUGAAUCCAGCCACAGGAAAGAAUUCAGAUGUUUUUAUGUGUUCUGACCUGUUGAAAGUGGAGGCGUCCUGUUAAACUGAGUGCUAAGCGGGUGGCAGUUAUGGUCUGGUUGCUAUCCAUAAAGUUUGAAUAAACGGAAUUGCCAACUGAAGCCAAUUUCAGGCCAAAAAAUGGAUCCUUCACAUAUGGUGGCUUUUAUGUGGUUGGAAGGGGGAAAAGUGGUUCCUUUUCAGAUCAAGCUAUGGUCUUUUCCAGUGAGGGCUCAUAGUUUACAAUACGAAUGGUCACCAGCAGAAACCUUCAAUUUUCUUUGGUGUUCCAGGAUAGAGCGUCUAAUCUAGAUUUUAAUCUAGAAUCUGGAUUCGCUAUGGGAAUCAUUUCUCUUCACAUUAGCUUAUUCCCCCAUUUUAAGUUUUAGGGGCAGGGUUCUGGCAAACGUUGAGAGGUUAUCUUUUCUUAUAAUCCAUUCAUUUCCUAUUUGGUGGCUAAUUAGAUUCUGAUGUUCAGGGAAGAGCAUUAUACGCUGCCGAGGCAGACCGGCUCCGCAACUGGGCAGAAAAUCGGACUCGUUUUUCUUUCACAGAUGCCAUGGAGAUGUACACUGAAAACACUUGGGUUUCAGUCUUCUCUCUUUCAGUUGUCUGCGCUUUCAUCAUCCUAUCGAGUACAACCAGCUAGAGAUCAAUUGGGGAGAGAAGUAGGUGGCAUGCUCUAAAAAGCCCAACAGAAAGACCCAUAAGCAGUGAAAGCUACCAUAGAUCACUUCAUACUCUUUUAACCAUUUUAGUGAAAGCUACGAUAGAUCACAAGACCCAUAUGUAGUUCCACCUGUACGGUGUUUCCUGGACAGGGUAAUCGUGUUCUACUGGGUAAACGGUGGAAUACACAACAUUCUUUAUGCCAAUGCCAAUGAUGAAGAAAGCAUUCUUUAUUGAGAUUGUUUUUCAUGUCCCCUGUAAAGAAUUAAUAUUGCAUGGGGAUUCCUGGACCUGCUGUAUGUAGUGUAGUUUCUGGCAGGAAUACAAAGUGAAUUAUGUGAUGAAUGUGUGAUAUUCUGAUGAGCCUGCUGUUGCUGCAUUUUAGCGGAUUUGAAUGGAAAAGCAUUCCACCUAUUAGGUUGCUGGGACGGAUAGCCUACCAGCAGGAGCCGAAAUGAAAAGAAUUAGUAAACGGGUCCGCUGCAAAGUUUCAAACUCGGAUUCCUAGCCCUCAAAUUUGAACGAUGCCCGUUCAAACAAGCUAAAAUAGCGAAGCCCGUAGAUAGAUUCAUUACGCUCUUAUGUAAGACUCUACUAGAAGAAGAUUUGUGGAACAAAGUGUAGUAUUGCGUCCGCGGUGGGGAACUCGCGGACUCUUGUUGGUACGCCAGCUUACUGGCGGGUUUCUCCGAAACAGAGGUGAUUGGAAGCGGGUCGGAGUCAGACUAACACCAAAAAAAAAAAAAAAGACGGGAGACUGGCAGUUCCAAUUAGACCUUUGGUUCUUGGAUUUGAAGUCUCCACCACUAUUAGUACUGAAAAAGUGAGAAUUAUUAACGGUUGUAUCAUGUUGAACAGCUAAAACUUGCUCGUCAAUUGCAUGCCUUUUUUUUUUCCACCCAAAAAAAGAUUGGAUUGUAAUUUUUUGGAAUUUUUGUAACAAAUGCAUUAUAGCAAUUUGAUAUAUGUGAGCUAAAACGUUGAUUGAAAGAUGUGUUCACGAAAAACGCAUACAUGUUUUGAUAGAAAAUUCCUUUCUAAACAAGGAAAUUCGCAAAUCCCAGUCCAAAUGUUAAUGCACAUCAAAUUUCGAGCCUGAAAUUCGAAAACAGGAAUGCGCUAUACAUGUUACAUAUUGCAUAUAUUUUUUCCAAGUCAUUUUUGAGAGGGACACAGGGGAGAGAUUAGCGACCUUAAGUUGUAAGUAAAUUGAACACCCAAACUCAUGGUCAUCAUCACACACACUCACACAUUGCGGGAUAAAAAAUCCCAUUGCCUACAAUCACGCCACCUUCUUUUUGCCAGUUAACUAACAACUUCCAACAUAACACAGACAUUUUCUUAGUUGUCUUCCCGUUGAUUUGGUGCUCUUUUAUUCUCCCCUUCCACACGCACAAAUGUAGAAUUCAUCUUAAUUUAGUCUGUCUUAAGUUGGCAGUUGUACACGCUUGACCUCUUUAUUUCUUUUCCACUGAAAUCGACAAAUUUAACAUCUAAACUAAUCUCACAAAAGAACCCCAAAAGACGCUAACUUUUAGAGCCUUCUAUAGAAUUUAAAUCUUAAAUCCCAAAAGAUGCUUGACCUUUUUAUUUCCAAGAGCUCUUUCCCACACUAUCUGUGUGGCUUUUCGCCGGUAUUCAAUUGCCUUUCGUGCACCUGUCCUCUUUGAUCCAAUUUCCAACCAUGAUAUUUCAACCUCUUGUCCACAACCCACCCACACAUCCCCAACAAAAAAUAACCCAAAAAUAUAUAUAUAUACAAGUAGCAUGGAGUUGCAACAUGGUAUACCUUUGUCGAAUAAAUAUGCUGCAGUUACUAUUAAGCAUCGAGUCGCCAUUAAUUUAUCACCAUUUUUACUUUCUUCUUUUUUUACCGCUAGUUUUCUGCCUUUGUUUGGUCAACUAUUACCUUAGAUAAUAAAUCUAUAAAAGGCAGCUAGAGUAAUUUGUUCAAUUCCCUAUUUCCUUUUCGGCCAUGCCCGCAGGCGCGAAUGUAAUGCCACCAAAAUCGUGACAGGAAGAAUGCGAUAAACACCGAGCACUUGCGUUUCUGGUCCACAGCCACCCCACCAGUCCCUCCGCAACCCAGGCAAAGAAGCCGAACUUUAAGAAAAACCAAUUCAUUUGGACAUCUGUAACUGCAACUAAUGGCAUGUGGGCGGGUAUUUGGUCCCAACCGGUUGCAAAUGAACUCAAACUAGAUUCAUUUACGCAUGACUGCUCUCGUCUUCCCUUUUUUUUUUUGGUAAUAAAAAACGUUCGAGUGGAUUCGACUUCAAUACAGGUCAAGGCACGUUUUCCUCACACGACAGCAAGAUUUGGUCACCACUACCGGUUAGAUAUGCUCCUUUCAUGUCAACAGUGAGAUUUAAGUACACGAUUUUUUAUGCAAAAUAUUAGUAUACUAUCUUUAUAUUGACAGUAAAAUUCGAACACAUAAUUUUUCGUUUCCGUUUUCUGAUCUUAAGGGUCAGAUUUACCGCUUAGAUACGAUUCAUUGGUUUAAUCUUGCCUUUGCAUGCAUCCAACAAUCCGUGUAUCGAAAAUUGACUUGAUGAACUGCAAAAAAAAAAAAAAAAUUUUGACUUGAUGCAGACCGGGUGAUGGCCAGACGGCCAAUUCACGUUUGAUCCUAAACCUACAACUUUGAUCAAAUUAACAUUCAUGUGACCGCGUAUGCGUUUACUGGUCUUCAAGGGUUCUGAGGCUUCCCGAUAAAUAAAGCCACAAACACGAAUGACUAUUUAUGCUUUCUGGUCAAAAGUUGCCAAGAACUUCGAAUUUCGAUCUUUAGCAUUUAUUCCCUUCAAAAUUCCUACUGUUGAAAAGAAAGACCAACAAAUUAGUAAUUACCGGCUGCGAGCGUGCAGCUUUGCUGUGUCCUCAUUAUGCUAUUUCUGUAUCUUCUAUCCAACUCCAUUCCUGCUACGUUAGUGGUACUGUGAGUUUGUUUGGACAAGCCAAAUUUGGUUUGCUUAAUUUGUUUUCACAAAUCCCAAUCACCUUUUUAUCUUUCCAAUCACCUUUUUAUCUCACAUACAUCACAUCACAAAAAGUGUUACAGUAAAUAUCUCAAAUAAAUCAUCCAAAUAAACUCUUAUCCAAACAAACUCUGUGUAUUUCAAAAUUGGACUAAAUUUCAUUUUGGACCUUUAAACCACAAACAUGUCCUCACUUUAACUUCUAAAUUUGAAAUUUAGACACUCUGUCUCUUAAAUGUAUAAAAUACAUCCCGCUUCGGUCCUUAAACUUUGAGCAUCACCCUUUCACUAUUAUAUUAAUUUUAAUACUGCUUUGCUCCUUAAAUUUUGACAAUUUCAUGAGAUAGAUUUCAUAGUUUGAGGGAUCAAGUUCCUAAAUUUGAAGUUUAAAAACUAAAACAAAAAUAUGCAAAUAGUUUAAAAGUUCAAAGUAAAAUUUACACCUUAAAAGUGGUCUGAGUUUGGUGCUUGCAGCAAGCUAUUACGUCAUGUUUGGGUUGCAUUUUUUUUUUGUAGAAAAAUUGCUAUAACGAUUUGAUAUACAUGGGAUAAAAAGGUGAUUGAAAAAUAUAUUCACGGAAAACGUAACAAUUUUUCUUGCUUUCCAAACAAGGGUGCGUAGAAUGCCUAGUUCAUUUGGAUUAGGAGCCUAAAAAAUUCCAUGGAGUGUAAAUUCAUUCGUCUUAUUGUGAUAAAAUAGCAUUAACAAUAAUAGUAAACUAAUAAUGCUCCGUUUGAGUACCUCCUUCAUUGUCUUACCUGUUCCAGGUGCUAGGAGGGUUGGAGCCAUGCAAUUAUGUCGCCGUCAGAGGCUAAUCUUUGCCAGUGAGGCUUAGUUAUAUGAAAAUAUCAAACUAAUUAUUUCACCGUCAAGGACUUCAAGAACGAGUUUACGCUGCAACUGGAUCAAAUUUGACCAUCAAUUUUCUAAAUUCACAUUCACCGCUAUUUAAAAAAAAGACAAAAAAGGAAAGAAGAAGUUGAAGAUAUAACAUAACGAGUUAACGACCAGGCGCCAGCUACUAAUAAUCAUUUCAUUUGCAAUUCUUGACUGGCCAGCCGUUCCUCAGUUUUCGCAAAUAAACUCCUUCCAUUUGUCUUUUUGCCCAGGCGCCUCAAACCGCCCGCGGCUGCUCAUACUUAAAAAGAAAACAACCGAAAAUUAAAUGCAGAGAAAACCCGAAAGAAACUAAAAAAGAAAGAAAGAAAUUAAAAAAAUGCAGUUUGGAUUCAAACUAGGGGUACAAACGAGUCGAACUCGAGUCGAGGUUUGGCUAAUCGAGCAGAGCUCGAGUUAAUUUUGUGAAACUCGAACUCGAGCUCGAGCUCGACGAGCUCAAAAUAUCAAACUCGAGCUCGAGCUCGAGUCAAAUUCGAGUCGAGCUCGAGCUUAAAAAAUAAAAAAAUAAUUAUUUUUAUUUUUAUUUUUAAAAAAUAAAAAAUAAUUAUUUAUUUUUAAAAAUGAAUAAAAUAAUAAUUUUUUAAUAAAUAAUAAAAUAUUAUGGAUAUAUAUGUAAUUUUACUAUUAAAAUAAAAAAUAAAAAAUAUAUAUAAUUGAGCUCGCGAGCCAACGAAUUUAAUGUUUUUGAGCUCGAGAUCGACUUAAUUAGCUCGAUCUCGACUUGAACUCGAUAUUGACGAGCUCGAGUUGAGCUCGUAUUCGAGCCGCUCGCGAUCGCUCGAUUCGCUCUGUUAGUGCAUCGGUCAUAACCUGGAAGAGAGAAUUAGCCAUUUGUCUUAGAAUUUUCACAGAUGAUCCAUUUGUCUUUACUUUCUCAAUAAAUUUUUGGUGCAAUAGAGAAAUCCAAGUGGGAGGUCGAUGUAUCUAUUUAUGAAGUUCCAGACUGAAUCAGACUUGGGCUCUGUAAUUCUACUGCUGAAUCAGGCAUGCAUGACAGAAUCAUCAUACUAUAUCUGUUCAGCUUAGAUGGGAGUAUCAUAUCAUUUAAUCAUCAUCAUCAUAAAAAAGGGAGAAACAAAAAAACUCACUAUAUGUCUUUCAUUUUUUAUUUUUUUAUUCAUCGUGACUUUUAUCUAUAUAAUUCUAUUUUAUUCUAAUAUAAGAAGGAGGUCCAACUGAAUCUACGAGAACAAUAAGGAUUGAAUCACUAUCGAAUUAGACGAAUACGUGCGUCCAUCCAUCCUCAUUUUUUAGAGAAGUAAAAAUUGAUAGAAUAUAAGAGUUAAACCCCUAACAUCCCGCCUCAUUAAAUCUUAGGAACUUGGCGAUGAUCACCGGUCUAAAGGUUAGUGGUUCACUGUAUGACUUUUAUUAUUGAGUACUAUAUGGGUUCCUUCGUAUUGUCUUUCUUUUUUGUUUUUUAAGCGCGUCCGCCCCAUCGUUGGGGACGGUUUCCUCCGCUUUCCAGCUGGUCUGGCUUUUACUUGUGGGUAAAGUCAGACCUUCAAAAGCGAAAGCACACAUCUAAAAAAAAAAAACUUCCACUAGGUGGAAUCUCGUUGAACUAAUCUUCCUGAAUUUAGUACAUUUUAUAUUGACGUAUAAACCAACCCCUUUGGAAUUUAUCGAAAGUAAUACUCCUACAACAAACAAAAACCUCAUGGCAACAGUCGGCAUCAUCCGUGUUAUACAGCUCUGCCAUCGUUGUAUGUUUGGAAGAAUUUGACUUUGCCCAAAACAAUUUUUCUCGCUGGUGUUUCAACCCCUUUAUUAGGGAUUGCUUAAUCCUACUUACAUUUUAUUCCCAUUAAUAAUAUAGCAAAAAAUGAGGAGUUGAUUUUAUUGACAACGAAGUUCAAUAACGCCUCAUCCGCCGUUGGCAUAUCAUCUAGAAAACUCGAGAAGUUCAAUAAUAAUACCCCAUGGCAUUAGUGGUUAGUGGCACAUACAAGUAGCUAGGUGUGCUGUGCCAUUUUUAUUGGUGCUUCUCAAGGUACAACGACAUCAGGCAACUGAUCUCUCAUCCAAAAAAAAAAUCUAAUGAUGAAAAUUUGUGAAUUCCAUCCAUCCAUCCAAAUAUGGUCCGUUGGCACCGUCACAUAGUCACAUCUCGUCACUUUCCUUAACCUUAAAAAAGUGCCGCUCUACUACUCUUUUUUUUUUUUUCUAUUGUAACGUUAAUAUUUUUGUAAUUUAAUAUAUUCUAAUAUAUAAGGAGGAAAAGUCGAUGGGAAUAAAAAGUUCAUGAAAAAAAAAUUACUGAAAAUAGUCACGUACAGUGACACCGUUGACCUUCCAUUCCAUCAAAACUUAAAUGCUUGGUGGUGAUCACCGGACCAAAACUGGCUGGUGGCCACCACUCGUAUUCAAUUUAGAAGAAUAAAUAAAAAAAAAAAGGGAAAAUGGGAAGAAGUAACGUGUCAAUUGGAAGAAGUUGCUAUCUUGGCUUGAUGAGUCAUUGGCCCGAGUCAUUUAUUUUUGUUCGAAUUUGACGACAAUCCUAAAUGCAGAAACCUGACCAAAACUCCCAUCUUUCUUUCCAUAGGAACUCAACUGUAUAACUUUUUUUUUUUUUUUGGGUAUUAUUUAAGUGGAGUAUUUCAUCAAAUGCAAAGUACUCUUCCCGAAUGCUUGUAUUUAGGCAUUGAUGUAAUUAAUUCAUGAAUUUGAACGGAUACGUAUUUGGACGUAGUCACGCUCAAAUCGCAUUUGCGAUAACUUAAACAGAAUUUAAAUUCAACUCAGUGACCAAAAGAUUUUGGCUCCAAUGCUUCAUAAAUCCUAUUCAGUUUUUUUCUUUUCUUUGCCAUCUCAAUCAUUUUUCCCGAUGGGUCAAAACACCACAAACUAACUGUUUAAGCAGGUUUUCAUUUAGUAAAUCACUUUUCAGUAAAAUAUUAAGUACUAAUCAAGAGCGUCAUACCUAGUCCGCUUUUUCUUUUUUUUUUUUUUUUUUAAAAAUAAUAAGAACAGAAGCAGCUCAAAACACAACAUAUUUUUUUUUUCGAAAAAAAAAAAGGAGAGACCGGAACCGGAGGUAUGGAAAGUUUGGAAACAAACAAGACCGGAAAAAGAAAGCAGCCAGUGAGGGUGCGGCAAUGACGGAAUUUAUCCAAACGAGUAAAAGACGGAGAAAUGCGCGGGCCAGUCGUGUGGGUCCCGCUUUCCAACUUCUGUCGCCCUUUUGUUCAUUCUCCCUCACCAUGUGAUGCGAGACCGAGACGUGGAAACACGCACACAGUCACGCACUCUCUUCCUUUCUCUCACACCCUACCUUACCACCAGACACAAGGCAGAGUGUGUGCGUGUGUGUGUGAGAGAGAGAGAGAGAGAGAAGGAAUUAAUUUACUACCCGUUAUUAGCUCGAGUAGAAGAACUCUAGUGGGUGCUGCUGCCACUGCUAAUUAGUAGUCGUAGAGUCCGCUCGCCUCUACUAAAAAUCUUUUAGUAAAAAAGAGAAAAAGAUAUUAUUAAUACUCUGCCACUCUCUGUUUCUCCUCUUCUCUUGCAAUGAGCUGCCUUUGCCCGGCUGGAUAGCUUUGAAAACCAGAAAAAGCACAUAAUUCUUGAAAGUUUCAACAAUUACCAGGUUGCCUUUUCUUCUUAACAAACAAAAACAUAUGUACAUUUAACCUACAACAACCACCAUAACCAAAAUCCAGUUACACGCUACGCUUUUCUUCUCUUCAAUCACUUCCCUCCCACCCUUCUCUAGUAUGGAGUCUACUACUCUCUGAUUAAUACAUUCAUCAAAAAACAGCACCAGAACAGGAAUUCUCAUUUCUUCAGUUUUUUUUUUUUUUUGGGAUAUACUUCCGUUUAUAGAGAAAGGGAGGAGUAAGUGCGAUGUCGUCGUCGUCACCAACCCCCGGGGGGGCGCCUGCUCCAACGUCUCCUCCAGCGCCACCGGCCAAUGCUACAUCACCACCUCCCGCGGCAGCAUCUCCACCAUCACCAUCACCACCAGCUUCUGCUCCGCCUCCCGCUAACCCCACACCCCCUGCGUCAUCUCCCCCGCCUUCAUCCUCUUCUCCACCACCGCCUACCACGCCCGCUCCAGCCUCCUCCCCUCCUCCCCCAUCUACCCCCGCUACGCCAGCGCCGUCUACAUCUCCGCCUCCGCCGUCUUCAACCACCCCAUCCCCUCCUUCUGGGUCAUCUCCGUCGCCGCCGUCCAGUGGGAACACCCCUCCGUCGACUGGAGGUUCGCCACCGUCGACGGGUAGAUCUCCUCCCCCACCAAGGGGAAGUACUUCGCCACCUUCUUCGUCGACCCCAAAAGCACCACCUUCAUCCGAUAGUAGUGGCGGCGGGAUAUCAACCGGCGUGGUUGUGGGGAUAGCCAUUGCAGGAGUUGCAAUUCUUGCUAUAUUGAGUAUUCUAUGCAUAUGCUGUAAAAAGAGGAAGAGAAGGCCACAUGGGCCUGUGGACUACUAUGGUGCUCCGCCGCCACCACCACCACCAGGGCCUAAAGGUGAACUUUUUCCUUUUCUUAAAUUUUCAGAAUAUAUUAAUUCCAUUUUAUGGACUUCUCUCUCUUUGUUAAUGGGUAAUUGGGUAUGGGUUUGGACUUAGGAGGAGAGUUAAGUGAUUGACUGUUUCUAACGGAAGGUCUGAUUUGGUUUUUGAUUCGAAAUGUGAGCUAAAGGACGGAUCUUGGUUGCCUGUUUAGUUUGUGUUCGAACUUUUGAGAUAAUCAAGAUGCUCUCUUUUCCCACAAUCUCUAGUUGGGGCUUUGAUUCUUGGGCAAUGAUUAGACUUCGGAAAUGCAUGAUUGGAAUCUGUUAAUUGUAGAUUGGUUUGGAAACUUGGAAGAGAUGAGCGAUGAGUUUUCUCGGGAGCCAGUACUGGUUAUGUUUUCUUGAUUGCGUUUGGUAGGGCUGCUUACCACAUUGAACUCUUGUUUCCAUCUCCUUUUAGUCUCCCUUUCUCUCCAAACUCCCCCUUUUUGUUCUCUUUUAAAACAAACAUUGGCUCCAAUGAAGAGUUUGAGAAAAUUAACCAGCUGAUCCCUUUUUUUUUAUAUAUAUAUAUUUGCAUGAGGCAAUAAAUGUCAACUUUUGGUGCGCUGCAACAAAAAUAAAUGAGGAAUAAUUAUGCCACUUCAGUAUCGGGGUUCGUGCAGGACGUACUCUCAGAGAUUUACUAGAAAAAAAAAAGUAGUUAGAAGAUGCCAUUUAUUAUGAUGGGUUACUUCACUUGGUUGAGCUGUAAAGAUUGGAUAGCAGUUUUGUCAUUUUUACUUGAUUUGUUAUGUCUUUCUGCAUCUUUUAUUGCGAGUAACUUCAACUUGGGGUCUUAGUUAGUCUUCCACGGUUUGCUAAUUUUGGUUAUUAUUGCCCUUUGGCAGUUGACCCUUAUGGCGCUCCAGCGUACCAAUGGCAACAUAAUGCUCCACCACCUGCUGAUCAUGUGGUCACAAUCCCGCCAAAAGUUCCUCCACCACCUGGGGGGGCAUCAAGGCCUCCACAUUCUCCUGUACGUGCACCUUCACCACCACAGCCACCACCUCCAGGUUACAUUAGCAGCAGUGGAGGCUCUGGAUCCAAUUAUUCAGGUUCUGAAAAUCCACUCCCACCACCCUCUCCUGGUAUGGCUUUUGCGUUCUCAAAGAGCACAUUCACAUAUGAAGAACUGGCAAUGGCAACGGAUGGUUUCUCAGAUGCCAACCUUCUUGGACAAGGUGGUUUUGGAUACGUCCACAGGGGAGUCCUGCCAAAUGGGAAAGAGGUUGCUGUUAAACAGCUAAAAACAGGAAGCGGACAGGGGGAGCGUGAAUUUCAGGCUGAGGUUGAGAUCAUUAGUCGAGUGCACCAUAAACAUCUUGUUUCAUUAGUUGGAUACUGCAUUACUGGGGCCCAGAGAAUGCUUGUUUAUGAGUUUGUUUCUAACAACACCCUGGAGUUCCAUUUGCAUGGUGAGUUCAAGCUGCACUAUUCGUGAUCAAAAUAGUCUGCAGUUAUUAGUUGAGAGUCUAUGAGAAUAUGAAGAUUCUACACUUUCUUUGUCACCAUUUCAUUGUAUUCUGGGGGAAAUGAAGGAGGGAAAAUAUCAUGCUUCUUUGGUAUAGUGCAUGGUGGUGGUCACAUUGUGCACUGGGUUUCCAUUUACGUUGAUCCUUAAAAUUUUAGUGCAGGGCAUUCGCACCCAUGAGUGCAGUGUAAUGCAUGCCACAACUUCCCAGUAGAAAUUUUGUUUUGUUGAAAUCUAUCAUUUUGAUGAUUUCACUUAGAUAAAGUAAUAUGAUUGAAAAAAAUAUAUUUCAGGUAAAGGAAGACCUCCUAUAGAUUGGCCAACACGAAUGAAGAUUGCUUUAGGGUCUGCAAAAGGAUUGGCGUAUUUGCACGAGGAUUGUGAGUUCUCCAUCUUCAUCUUUUCUUACAGAAAGAAAAUCCAAUUUUUUUCCUUGAUUUGCUUCCAGUAUUUUAAUUUUGUCCUAAAGUUGGAAUUGAUUUUGAUAUAGGCCAUCCGAAGAUCAUUCAUCGUGAUAUCAAGGCAGCUAAUAUUCUUCUUGAUUUCAAUUUCGAAGCAAAGGCAAGUCUUUCAUGAUGAGCAUGAAUUGCUCAGUUAAUUUGUUUGUUGAAUAGAUGUGGUGUUCAUGUUAAAACAUUGGGCUCUUUCUUCCUACAAGAUCUUCUUAGUUUACAUACAAACAGAAACUUAAAUGAACUUCGCUUGGCUCUGGUUAUGAUGAAUAAGUGGCCUAUCACAUGAAAUCGUGUUCUGUGUGUGGUGUCAUGUUCACACCUGAAUCUUUUGUUUUUCUCAGGUUGCUGAUUUUGGACUGGCGAAGUUUUCUUCUGAUGUUAAUACUCAUGUCUCCACUCGAGUGAUGGGAACUUUUGGGUAAGACUGAUUUAUUUCUUCACCUGUCUGUUUUUUCUUUCUCUUCUGGCUCUCUCUCCCUCUCUCUCUCAGCGUGUUUGUGUGUGCCUGUGAGUGCAUGGGUAAGCUGGUGGUGGUGAUGAUCGUGGGUAGUCUUUUUGCUGGUAUUUUUGGGGGGGGGGGGGGGGGGGGGAGGUUUGAAGAAAUGUAUUGGAUCCCAUCCUAGUUUUCAGCUGUAGCUGUUCCCUUUCAAGUUCUUUGAAAAUUUUUUGGUUCAUAGGCAAUACAUCAUCUGUAUAUGAUAUCCCUAUAUAUUUGCCUGCCCAGGAGACCUGAAAAAUCUUGGGUAUGUUGAAAAUGUUUAUUUUAUACUUCUUGAUUCCUUAUUGCCAUUAAAUGUAGGUAUCUGGCUCCUGAAUAUGCUUCCUCCGGGAAACUUACUGAUAAGUCGGAUGUAUUCUCAUUUGGAGUAGUGCUUCUAGAGUUGAUUACUGGACGCCGGCCCGUUGAUUCAAAUCAAUCUUUUAUGGAUGAUAGUUUGGUGGACUGGGUGAGUAUCUUAGUGCACUGUGUGGAAUGUUUUCUUCUUUAAGUAGCGUCCGUACUUGUCACUGAUGUCUGAAAAACUGAAAGUAGACAUAGCAGUACAUCACGAGCAUUAACAGUUAAAUGGAAAUGUUUUGCAAUUGCAGGCAAGGCCCUUACUGACACGAGCUUUAGAUGAUGACAAGUAUGAAAACUUUGACCAACUUACUGAUGCACGAUUACAAAAUGGUUACAACAAAAAUGAGAUGGCUCGAGUAGCUGCGUGUGCAGCAGCUUGCGUACGGCAUUCAGCUAGGCGACGACCUCGAAUGAGCCAGGUAUGCAUCUCUUUCCAGUUUAAGGGAUGAUUUAAUGGCUAGUAGUGAGUUUCGUUUUGCUCGCAGAAUUGUAACACAAGCGUAACUGGAAUUAUGAACACAGGUAGUCAGGGCCUUAGAGGGGGACGUCUCCUUGUCAGAUCUCAACGAAGGAAUCAGACCUGGGCAUAGCACGGUCUACAGUUCUUACGGGAGCUCGGACUACGACACCGCGCAAUACAAUGAAGACAUGAAGAAAUUCAGGAAGAUGGCAUUACAGAGCAAGGAAUAUGGAAGCAGCGAGUACAGUGGACCAACCAGCGAGUACGGUUUGUAUCCCUCUGGCUCAAGUAGUGAGGGCCAAACAACUAGGGAAAUGGAAACGGGAAAAUUGAAGAAAGACAGUAGAGGAUUCAGCGGAGGCUCCUAAUGAUGAAGAUGAAGAUAUAAACCAAACCAUUUUUCCUUGUAUAAAAGUUCGUUGGCUAAUUUUUAUGGCAGCAUCAUUUGUGAGCUGCAUCAUCUAUCAAAAAGAAUGACGAGGUUUUGCUUUAAUGAACAUACACGAAUUUCUUUUCCUUUUUGUUAAAAUUUUUUCCUCCCGGCAAUUGUUAAAAUGUCAGUUAAUUAAUUGUAUUUAGUACAUAUCAGAGGAGUGAGACAAUUGUAUCCAUUCUUUCAUUUAUGCUUCAAGUGUUUGGUUUUUCUUUUCAGAUUUGUUUAUAUAACUUUAGUAAGUACGAAUUUUAUACUGGCUGACUUUUUCUGAUAUGCUUCAAGAAUUUGGUCAUUCUUUCUUUCCAAUUGACACUCCGCUAAUUGCGUUGAGUCGCAAUGAUGAAAGAGGGAGGGGGGGGGGGGGCUCACAUGACACCUAAAAGCAAAUGCGGGCGUGGCUUGUUGAACAGUGGAGCCAAAUCAUCCCCACAUGCAAUAAUAAAUCAUUGGAUUUAUUAUUCUGCAUUGCAUCAUUAGUUAGUUUAAAAAGGCUGCAACAACUUAGUCAGUCGAUUGAUUGAUUGCACAUGGCAGCAAUCAAAGUGCAUCCUUCUUGACUUGGACUGGAUAGUCCGGUCCGGUUGCCAAACUCUGAACAGUUCAAACCCCACACUGCACCGAAGAUGAUGAUGAUUAAAUUCCUUUUUUCUGUGUGUGUGUGUGUGUGUGUUUUUUUAAACAUUAUAAAUCCUAGUGGCUAGUAGUACAGUAGUAUUAAUUCAUGCUAAAAUUGGUAUUUAUCGUCACCACCACACACACACACACACACACAUACACAUAUAUAUAUAUAUAUAGUAGUACUAGAUAAGGUUAGUGGGUGAAAAUAAAACGUCUGUGUAUCUAUCAUUCAUUAUUAUUCACCACCACCACCGUCCCUUGGCCUUUAGCAUCUUUGUAUUCCAAUUCUUGAGCACGCCUCCAUCAGCUUUACUUGUUCUAUUUCCGACCCCGACGAGUUCAUGCUAGUUAUGGUAGUGGUAUAAGCCAAAUGCUGGAAACACAGAAGAUUUGGGCGGAAGAUUCUGAAUCCGACCAUGUAAAGGAAUAUGAGAAGCCUUCUAGCGUACAUGCAAUUCGCUAGAGUGUUGGAUUGGAUUAAUUUCAAUCUUUCCCUCCUCAAACACAAUACUUUGGCUACCACUGACGUUUGCCUUCUUUCUGGCAAAACCAAAUACCUUAGUCGCCAGAACUGAGGUUAGUGGAAGUCCUCUGCUGAGGUAACCGAACACACACACACACGAGGAUUUCUUAGCACACUGAAAAGGGAUUUCAAUUUCAUUGAAGCAUAAGAAAAGCCAAAAAAAAAAGAAAGGAGGGGGAAUGUGCAGACUUGAGAUGUUAUUUCAUAGUAACAAGGUACAAGCACCAACUACUUUCCACCGUAAAAGAAUUACUACAAGCACAGGAGGGAAAACAACUCUCCAAGGAACAGGGCACUUCCGACAAAUCUUUAUCCACACAAGUUAUGCUACUGCACUUCUUCUGAAGGUCUCCAUACACCACAACUCUUGUAAACCUACGAAACGCUGUAUACCUCAGCCUUCGAUAGCAAGAAUAACCGAACCUGAUUUUGCGAAAGACAUGUUGGUCCAGAAAAGCUAAGAGCUAUUAGGCUGAGAAUUCCUGCCGCAAUGAGGAAAUUUUUUUGGGAAAGAGUUUACCUCUAUAAAAUUACACUACGCUACCUCGAAGAUUAACACAAAAUUCACUUCCUUGAUGAUGCCUCUACCAAAAUUCUAGCACUUCAUGCUGAAACUACAGAAACAAAACCUAUACGGAUGUAUUAAACAACAUGGUACAAUUCAAAAAUUCUUUGUUAUGGAUUUGCAGAUCGACUAGAACCAGAUCCUUUCCUCCUCCUCCGACGCUUCUGCCGGAUUCUCCAAAAACUUACGAGUAGUAGAAGGCCUAAAAUAUGGAAAACAAAUUAGUUAGAAAUACUAAUUUGAAAACAUGCAAUCAAUUCGUGAUCUUGCCGGAAAUAAUGAUUGAAAGAUGUAUUUUACUUACCAAAAAUGGCUACAAUUGCAGGUAGGAGCCAGUGACUGGCAACUACUACAGGCAUAUCCAUCUGCAUUCUCAGAAGUUUUAUCAGAAACAGGGAGUCAGAUUCGUCUAGCCAUGUCUAUUGGAAAUAACUAAAUUGAAGUAAGAAAACAUUUUUAACUGCAGGGAAUGAGUCUCUGGUGCUUACAUCCUCCCUGUUGAAUAAACCGAAAUAUCUAUUGUCAUCAUUUUUCUUCUCACUUGAAUCAAAGGCCCUUGUGUUGGAAGCAUCUCUGGUUGAAUUCAAGCCUGUACCUAGAUCAAUAACAGCGUAGCCCGGUAGUCUGCGGUUUCUUCCUCUGACUUGUAAACUAUAGCCUUUAGUCCCCCAAACUUCGAACCUUGAAUCACUCCCACAGAUCAGUUCCUUUCCAACAACUGAUGAAUAAGUUGAGAAAUUAACAUCAGUUCUACGAGAUGGUAGUUGGUUGUUGUCCAAAUGCAAGGGCAUAUGUUGUCUAUUCGAUUCUGAGAAAAGCACAGGAUCUUUGAUAUUCCCGCUAGUAAAAUUUAAUAAUCUCUUCAAAAGCCAAAAACAAUUUGUGACCAUAUGGCUGCUGUCCAAGCAGUUGGAGUCCCCAUAUACUGCAAUUCGGCCCCCACCAACCUCCAAAAGACCAAGAAUGGGAGAAUCUGCCUGCAAUAACCACAAACUAUAACUAAGUGCAUAGCACAAAUGCCUGAAGUGAAACAAAUUGGCUUGCAUAUCACGUCUCAAAAUGGUCAAACUCCACACAUUCACUUUACUGCUCAAUCAUUCCGUUCCUACUUCUAAAAUCGGAAUGUGUGCUGCUGGGGGCACAAUAGGCUAAUGAAACUCCCCUUCUCCAGAUAAAAAGGGUAUAUGUUCACUUACCAGGCCAACAUAUAAACCAACAUAUACAAAAUUGAGAUCCAAGUUCUAGCUUAAUCCGAGUACCAUAAUUAUCACGUGAAGGAAAAUAAGAGACUUCUGGGUCAAGCUGAAAAGUAACUGACCAAAAUACAAGUUUUCAGUAACAUACUUAGUUUAAGACCCUCAGUUAUAUCUAAAUAUAUUUCUUUUCCUUCUAUUCACAGGCAAGGGUGGCAUGAAGGAAGAGGUGGGGAAGGGGAUCCAGUAUGUGAAGAAGCAGGCUAAGAAUCAUACCUUCAUCAUGCCAGAUAGUAAGACAUUUUGAGUGGCACCACUCUCUGAACUAUCCACAAAAGGGAAACUGUGUAAGUAUCCACCUCCAGGAAACUUCACAAUAUUAGUUCCAGAUGCAUAUCGACUUUCCUCUCCAUUCAUGACAAAGUCACCAUUAAGAAUCCUGUCUCCAAAAGCAAUCCCAAAUGGGGACAAAAGAUCAUUUAAAGCAGGCAGAUUAGCACCUCCAGUGACUGGGGUCCACCAGCUCCGAGUGUUAUCAUCAAAAAAUCUCAUUUUCACCAUGGUAUCUACAUUAUACCAAUCAGCAAAUACAACAAGACCUAGACCUGUAUUAAUCACAUCCUCCCUCAGUUUUUUUAUCUCUUCAGUGAAAAACUCAUCUUCAAGAUCCACCAACAUUAGUGUCCCAUAAUGCUGGGCAUCAAAGCAGGUAAAAGGGGAGCCAAGGGUUUCAACAAAAUACCCCGCAUCCCUUAGCAUGUUAAACAUAACAUGAAAAUUUGUGUGAAGGUGAUCUCCAUGCCAGUCAAGGAUAUCAUUCCUAACAUCUAAAGAGUCCUUUGGAAUAUAACCAGGUGGAUAUUUUAUACUGUGAAAUUGGUCCCAUAGUAUUCGUGCAGAUCUUGGAGGAGUUGGCGCCACUUUCAGUUUUAGGUGUAGGACACAGAUGCUAGUUUGAGGCUUAUUUUGUCCAUUGGCUGGCGGACUGUAGAUUUUAACAGUUACAUUACCCUCUAUCUCCCCGGAAAACUGAGCCCCUUCUUCCUUGAUUUGCAUGUGAAGUGCCAGGUAACCGGUCCAUGGCCAAAUAAUUUCUGAAUAUGUAAAAUGAAUGCUGAGAAGAUUUCCUUCUUCAUCUGAAGGAUGCCAUGUUGGAGGACUUUCAACAUAACCAAUUACUCCCAUCCCAUUCAGAAUGGUAGCAUUAAAGAUAACUGGCAUAGCACCUGCAUAGAGCGGUUGGCGGCAAAAAGGCCAAGAGUAAGGGCAAUCUGUGUAAUCAAGAACACUUGGGAAGAUGCUUGCUCGAGGUUUAUAGCUCUUCAAGAUUUCAUAUGAUUCUAAUCUGAGAGUUAAGAACAAGGUUAAGAAUGAUUAUUAUUGAAAACAGGUGCAUAUUACACAUAAAGCACAGCAACAGAACUUACAGGCUCACUCUUCCAGCACCCUGCUCAUACAUAUUGGGAUCAGAAAGUUUUACAGCACCUUCAACCAAAGCUUGCUUCAUACUUGCUGGGUUUAAUAUAUCCUUACGCUUGUUUUCAGGAAUGACACUAACAAGGAGGCAUACUAUACCAGCAACCACAGGACUUGCAACACUAGUUCCUGACAAGCUUUUACAACCUGUGCUAAUUUUGGACCCCAAGAUCUCACGACCAUAUGCAACAAUAUCUGGCUUUAUGCGACCAUAACUGUUAACGCAAAGUUGUUAGCAUUAUGCUUCUAAUGAAUCCAUCUGUAUGCUGAAGCAUAUUGUUAUUAUUGCUACAAAGCUACUUCCCCUUCCAUUUAGUUCCCUUCCUCUUCCAAGUUCCCAACCAACACCCUUGGACAUGAAUACAAAUUUGUUAAGGGCCCAGGGACAAAUCCCAUUAUAUUUUCUCAAAAAAUUUGCAGACUUAUGCCAUAAAAUAACGUAUACAUCAGAGAAAAAGAAUCAUAUCAUAUCUUUCUAUUAAUAAUUCUCACUGAAAUUAUCAUGCUCAACAUGCUUCUAACAACUGCAAUAGAUUCAUAAGGGAGUUCCUUGACGUGUUGCAUGAGGGUCAUUAUCGAUGCAUGCAAAUUCCUUAAAAAAAAUACUGAGGGAAGUUACUGGACAAUACGAGGAUAAAGAGAUAUCUCUUUCAGGAAAGGAACUAAAUUAAAAACAUAGACCCCAGAUAGUAACAAAUAAAUCCUUUGAUGGAACCAAAGCAGUUGGAUUUUACAUGUGCAGAAUUAUACAAGCAAGAGGAUUAAGACUCAGAUAAACUACCCAUGAGGAAGCUCCCAAGUGCUCAUGCCACGUGAUGAAAAAGAGGCAAUAUGAUCACUGUAAUCAAUGCCACCAACUCCAAUAACAUCACUUUGAUCUGCAGGAUUGUUGAGUGUUCCAUAAAGUGGUCCAUCAUUCCCAAUUGCAGAAACCAUGAUUAUAUUAUUGGCUGUAAGUUCCCAAACCUACCCAAUAAGACUAUUGUUAAAUGUAUGAUAACGAAAAGUGUCUGAUGUAAUUAAUGUUCAUAUUUCAAUGCAUCAUCCAUGGAAUAAUACUACACAACCUCGAGUUGAAAGUUUGAUUUCCUAUUGGGCCCUUAUGCAUGUUUGGUUUCCUUUCUGGUGUUUUACUUAAUGCUAAACCAAACAUCACAGAGAUCUCUGGAUAAUUUGUGUACAAAAAGUAGUUGGACACAGGCUUCGUACCUUGACUGUUUAUACUUGAAUUAAGCAAGAUAGUAAAUACUGUGUCAAGUCAAAUUAAGGCACUUAAUUGGAACUGCAAGGCUAAUUAUAGAGCAAGAUGAGCCCUACAAUGUUUUUUAUUUUGUUAACCUCAAGUCAAUCUUCUAAUAAUUGUUCUCCCAAAGCAUAUCUAGAUCAAGUUUCUAUUUUUACCUCUCAGUGUACAGGUAUUGUAAGAAUUUAAUAAGCGAAAUAAAAUCAUGGCAUUCCUUAAAACGUUCUGCAACUUGGAAAGUUACAGCACUGGAGGACCUGCCAAAGUACAAGUGAUGCCUUCGGAUACAAAAGAGAAUUUUGCCACAUUGCAGAAAACCUACUCGAAAGGGAGCCAAUCAAAUGAAAUCAAGCAAACAUGAAAAUUCAUAAAAACACAGAGACAAUUGAUUAUAAAGAUACACAUUAAUAUUCCUACUACAGGAAUAUUUACCUCUUUAAGAAUAAGUGAGUGCAAACGUGCUUGCAUACAAUGUAAGCGUUCUGUUGUAGAACAGUAAGCUAUAUGUACAUAUGAAAGAACAAGAAAUAACUUAGCACCAAGCACAGGUAACUUUGAAUGCAAGGUAACAUGAUGCCUUCUAACUUGAUGCAUCAUGCAAAGUUGUUAAAUAGAAUCUGAAGGCCAAUGGGGUCACCUUCUCAACAAAUGGGAGAUCCAGGUAAUCCGGUCCACCAAUGCUCAAAUUCAGCACAUCCAUAUUGGUUGCAAUGGCAUAAUUGAAUGCAUCAAGGAACCAUGAUGUGUAAGAUACCUGCAGUGAGCUGAAUACAAAAUUCUCAUAACCUUGCCAAAACUGCAGAGCUAGAACAGAAACAGAAAAGCAGAGCCAGACACAAUCUUUGCACGAAAGAUAUAAGGACCUCUUUUGUGUGCUUUUUCAGGUACCUUUUUUAGUUAAAUUAUUUUGUGGUCACAUAAAAAUAUAUUCCAUACAAAGUCAAUCAUGGUUAGCCAAAAUCAAGGGAAUAUCACAUAUUCAGAAGGAAGCAUUUUGACAGAUAUGUGUAAACUUCAACUAUGACUGAAAAUCAAGCAUCAAGGAAAACUUUGAGCAUCCUCCUGUUCAUGUGGGUAUCUUCACAAAUUACUCAUCAUUUCUCCAAUAUCCAAGGAGCAUAGAUUAUCUUGAUAUAAGCACUCAGUUAUUCUUAGUAUUCAAUUUAUAUGUACACUGUUCUUCUAAUCUACUCUUGAAGAUGAAAGAAGAGUGGAGAAUUCACUUAAACUGUUAAACAUGAUCAAAUGUUUCAAUGUUGCUACCCUAAAUCUUUUCUUCGCUUAUUGUGGCACCUUUGAUAUGGAAAAUUACAGAAACAUAAAAUAAAGUAAGAAUAGCCAAAGCUACAACUUAUUAUGAUCACUUGUUACUAUUAACAAGAGUUGUAAUCAUUUGUGGAAUAACCACAGCUACCAAAACCUAAUAGAAUCAAUAAGAGGAGCUAAGACUCAUGUUGAAUGGAAAGGAUUGAACAUGUCAUAGGUAGUAACAAAAUGAUUGCCUAAAAAGUAAAACAGACAAGGGAUAUCUAUACAAACAACACCAUGAAGAAACUACAGAAAAGAUAAUCAACUUUCACUGCUAAAAUCAAGGAAAGAGGAACACUAAAUGCAUUACCUGUGCAUCAGUAAACACACGAAAAGCAUAGAUCUCCGUAUCUGGAGCAAAACCAAGGCAUUCUGAAUCUUCGCCUGCGAUGACUCCAGCUACAAAUGUUCCAUGUCCAAGAUUGUCAUUUAGUGUGUCCUCGUUCGUCCAAUUUGUACGCUCCUGAGCACACAUGGAUUCAACAGAUCAAUAGUUUAGAAAUAAUAAGAAACAGGUGGAUGUAACGCCCACUCUGCAAAUUUUUUCUCACGUACGAAAUACCUUGAUUUUGCGAAAGUGAGGGUGAUUUGCUCGAAUACCAGUAUCAAAUAUUGCCAUUUUGACUUUUGAACCCGUAUACCCCUUUGACCACAAUGCAUCAGCUCCAAAAAAGGAUGUAACUUGGGACUUCUGCAAAACACCAACAAGGUUAGUAAUGUUGAUAGCAAUCCAGAAGUUAAUCCCAGAUCUCUCUUUCUUCUUGAGUUUUUGGAAAUACUCUAUUUUCUUCUUUUCAGAGAGAGGCUGCAUAGUUGUUACAUAUCCUUAAAUAUUGUGGAAUACUGAACUCUAUCUCCAGUUGUCACAGUUUCGACUGAUUAAUUGCGAGAUCUAAAUUGACAAUUUCAUCCUAAAGCAUCAGCGAUCAACCUGAUAAAUCACAUGGACAAGGGAAUUACUUAUUCCAGUUUUCCGUCUUUACUAAAUUUUGAGAAAUUCCCACCUGUUAAAGUUUCAACGCAUUUGUUAGGAGUUGUAUUCAGUCCACAUUGGUGUCUGAAAGUGCCACCACUAAUUUCUGUGAACCACAACAUGGAUUACCCAAACUCUCAUUUCUUGAACAAUAAGCAGAUUGAAAAUGCUAUUUGAUUAACCAAUUAUACAGUCCCUUUUAGUAAUUCACUUUCUAGCAUAUCAAUCAUUUCAACUACCUUGGGUAUAUAAAAAUAUAUAUAUAUGCUCAUUUUUAACAUUUUCAGCUGAAAAGUAAAUCCUAAUCUACAACUUUACAUAACCAAAGAACAUCAACGUAAAAGCUUCAAACACAAAUGCCAAUCAAAACGUUGCAAUUCCACACAACCAAAAGAGUAAGUAAAUUACUGCACAACAAUACUCCCAAAAAAAAGGUAAACCCAAAACCUCACCUGCACCAUGAGAUUCCUUCUCCAGCUAAUUCUCAUAUUACUGGUAUUUGCCACGGCAUAAUAAUUCUCUUCCGGCUCACUAAAUGACAUUGCAGUGAACAGCUUGCCGGGCCGCUUCUUUUCAUCAAGAAAACCCCCAACAUUACCCUCGUUCUCUUCCUUAUCCUCCUCAAGAAUAACUCUUUGAUAGCUCAAAUCCAAAGAAACAUCUUUUACAAGCUCCAAUUCCAAAAAUUUCCCAAUCAAAACAUCCCUUUUCGAAUCCUCAAUCUCCACCAACCCAAAAUCCGUAGGAAAUUUGGCUGCCGGAUUUUUCCUUUCAAUCCAUUCCCAACCCUUAAAUUGCAACUUUUCUUUGAGGUAGUUCUUGUGAUCUUCUGCUUUCUUGUAAUUAUUGAAGCGGAUAAUAUGGUUUCUGCGAGUAAAGUGUUGAUCUUGCUGAUGGGCUUUCUUUGAUUCAGAGGCUGCUGUGGAUGAUGAUGAAAUUGGGCUAUGGGUUUGAUUUUGGGGUGUAGGCUGAGGAUUGAAAAAGGGGUUCAGAAAAAACGAGGCAAACAACAAAAGGAUGGAUAGAGAGAAAAUGGAAGAUUUAGAAGUGAAGAGCAUCAUGGUAAAGAAAGCUCCCUCAUCAAGAACACAGGGCAAGGGGAGGAGGGAAAGUGAAGCGGGAUGAGUUUCCCCAAUUCUUUUACAGGGUUGCUGGAGUCUUGACUUUCUUGUUUGUAUCAGUUGUCCGGGCCUCCAGGGACUUUGUAUCAAAUUGCAAUGGAAAAGUCUGCUUCAAGUUUUGACCUUUUCCCUUUGAUUUCCCUCUUCCCUGUGUUUCUCAUUCCUAUUCUUUAAUUUUCUGUUUCUUCUUAGCACAACAAAAAGUGGAUAGACUUGGGGGAUUGUAAUAAUUGCAAAAACCUCAUUUUUAUUUCAUAAAAUUACAGUGACCUCCCAAGGUAUGCAUUUUUAGAGCACAUUAACUCCCUAUAUAUAAGAUGGGACAGCUACUGCUCCCCACCAAUGACGCUAAUACCUGCUACACUAUAAUAAUGGCUGAAAGACGCGAACAUAACGGCUCUUACUCAUGAAAUAUCGACUUUGCUACAUUAAAAUUUGACUUGUUUGAUUCAACAGUUUUUAGUUCACUAUUUGUACGAUUAAAAGUUAAGUCAAAUCUUUAAACCAUUGGAAGAUAUUAAAAAGAAAAGAAAGGAUAAAUAGCUUAAAAUUUCAAGCAAAAUUGAAUCAUAUAGGGGGUUUUCUUUCUCCUUUUUUCCUUUUUUAUGAAUAAGUGAUCAAUUGAAUUUAAUUCAAAGCACUAAUAUAUUUAUCUUUUUUUUUAUUCACAUAACUUACAUAAAAUAUAGACUCUCGAGUGGCUGUUUAAAUUGUUAUUUUUAGGAUUUUUUUUGUAGAAAAAAAAUAAUAUAUAUAAAAUAAAAAAUAAUUGAUAAAUAUAUUUACAAAAAAUAUAAAAAUUUUUAAAAACUAACAACCCAAACAAAUAUUAGCCAUUCAUCCCGCAAAAAAGGUGAAGCAAAUGUAAUUUCAAGAAACUCAGGAGGGGUUUCUGUAGUUUUAAAAGUGCAGGAAGAGGAGGAAAAGAAACAGAAGAAAAGAAGGGCUAAUUAUCCCCCGAAAGGAAACGACAUCGUUCCCCCCUUUACACACUGGUUCAUAAAUCCUCCGUCAGCAUGCCUGCAGUACAAAACUGCUAGCAGUACCGUCAAGAGCGCUGGAAGAAGAAUCGUAUCUAUGGCAGGAGGCCUCAUAGCCUCUCCACACACCAAAACCACGUUCCACUUGAUUUUAACCUCAAUUUGCAGAACUGGGCUGCUGUCAGAAUACCCUAUACACCCCAUUCGUCUCCGUUUUUACCCUCUGCUUCGUUUACAGUUCACCUUCCGUCCUUCAAGUCGCUAUCUCUACAGUUGCACAAAAGAUCAGCAGCAUGGUCCCAUCGACUUAUCAAAGUAUAGAGAAACCUUUUCAAAAAGAAUGGCAUUGGCCGGCCUUAAACCCCAUCACCGCCUUGGUUAUUCACCCUUCUCCCUCUCUUACUUUAUUACUACCAUUAAGUAGCAUUUCCAUGCGAAAUUGAUUAUUCUAUGCUAUUGAAAAGGAAAAAAAAAAUACAAGAAGAAUAAGGUGGUAUCACAACUAUUUAUUUUUUCACUGCAAAAAGGCAGCAAUUCAUAUCUUGCUUAAUAGAUGAAGGGAAAUGUUUGUCUGUAUACUCUUGUUAAUGGAAGUAAUUUGAACUCAAAUGGUUCUGAAAUUGGGUUUCUUGUGGUGUGGUUACAGCUCUCGGUGUUUCUGGUGGUCCUGAUAGCAUGGCCCUUUGUGUAUUAGCUGCUAUGUGGAAAAGGGAGGGCCAAUGUGGCAUUGAAGUCAUUGACAGCAGUGGAUUCAUUGAUGGUCUGAUGGCAAUUGUAGUUGAUCAUGGUCUGCGUCGUGAGAGUAAAGAAGAGGCUAACCUUGUCUGCAGUCGAGUUACGAAAAUGGAUAUGGAUAACUUUCCUUCUGUUGGGAGGUUUUGGAAUGAAUAUCUCAUUUGAUUCCACUUGAUAGUGUGGAUAUAAUUUAGAUUGUGUGUAGGAAUAAGAUGUGAGAUCGCUCUUUGUGAAUGGUCCGAGGGUAGGCCUAAGCAGGGUCACUUGCAAGAAGCUGCUCGUGAGAAGAGGUAACAUUCACAUUACUUCUACAUGAUGUUGUUAUAACUUUUGGAUGUGAAAAGUUGUGUCGAACAAUCGAAUUGUAUUUCAACUCUGACGUUCAGACACAAUCAAGAGCUUCUUUUCCCUUUCUAUAAUGCUCCAGGUAUCAAAUUCUGCAAGAAGUUUGCAUUCGGCACCAGAUUGGUGUGUUAAUGAUUGCACAUCAUGCAGAUGAUCAGGUACAAAUGAUAUUUAAUUCCAAUAUGUUUUCACGUCACGGUGGCCCACUGGUGAUUCAAAUGUGACAGAUGUUUGUGUGAUAGUAGACGACUUUAAAUCUUUGUGGAUAAAGCUUCUGCCUUGCGAGUGUUGUCUUGCAUUUAUAGGUGAAGAGGCACCAUAUGCAUGGUGGUCUAAGCGAUGAGCAUUCUGCAGGCAGAAUUAUUCAUUCUCAGAUUAUCACGUGGCAGCGGAGUGCUGGGACUUUCUGGCAUGGCAUCCGUGUCACAGCUAUUCCCAAUGUUCCCAGACUAUUCUAGAGAAGCUUUAAAUUGGCAUGGACUUUUAUUGGUGCGACCACUACUAGAGUUCUCAAAAGAAGAUAUGUUCCAGGUCAGUCUUGUUUCAUCAUCAGUAAAAAGAAAAGAUUCUAACCAUAAGACUCGCGAGUAUCCAGGUUCUCAAAAUCAUUUCUUCAUGAACAUGGAGCAUGGAAUACUGAGAAUUGAACAUUUGAUGCUCUUUCAUUGAACCAGAACUGAAGAUAGAGAGCAAAUGUUGUUGACACCAUCAGUUACCAAUUAAAUUUUGUCUUAAUGUUUCUCAAAUUUCUCUUCGUAGAUUUCCUAUCGGAUUGGAGUUGGUUUGAAUGGAUACUGGUUAUUUGCAGAUAUGUAAAGGUGGUAAUCAAGAAUGGGUGGAAGAUCCCACAAAUCAAAGUCCCGUAUUUGCUCGUAAUAGGAUUCGGAUGUCUCUGAAUAACUUAUCGUCCUGUGAGUUAUACCGAAAAUUACAACUUUGAGUCUCUAAGCUAUUCGAGUGCAAAGUGUUUACGUGGUUUUCCUUUUACACAAUUUAAAGUUUGGGUUUCUCCAUCAAAGAAUUCCAAAAGCUUUGGCUUUGAUUUCUGUUCAAGAUUUAGUAUUCAUUUCAUCGAUAUCUUCACCAAUUCUAUGCAUUCUUUAUAUCAUCUAUGCUAUUACUUGUUUGCAAGCAUUGGUGCAUCCUUGACAUUACCGACAGUUUUGUUACAUUUUCAGCUAUCUUCAAGGCUGAGUUACAAGCAAUUAUUUCUGCCUGUCGAGAAAUGCGGCUACAUGUUGACAAAAUUUGUUCCAAUUUGAUAAAUCAGGCUGUGACUAUCAUGCCUGUAAGUAUGUGUUCCAGUUUAAGUUCUGUUUCAUUAGUUACUCUUGCCUAUUCAACAGAUAAAAAUUUCAAAGGCUCCCAACAAAAUUUACUUUAAUUCAUGAAAUAAAGUCCAGAAUUACAUUAUGUGAAAUUUGACAUUGAAUUCUUGUUGGGCUUUGACAUAAACUAGAUUCACGAAAGCUUUUCUGUAGUAUGUCAUUCAGCUACAUGAAGGUUUAGACAGGAAAGUUAAGGCUAACUUUUGGAAGAAUCAAAGAUUAUGCAUUGUUAAACCAUAGGUAAUUCGCCCAACUUUCGAAAAUGGAUCAAGAUCAGAAUCAGUUUAGUUUAAUACCUAGAAGAGAUACACACUGGACUUUAACUUGAAACAGUGCCUUUUGAAGUUUUCCACGUUACCCUCAUGUCUCCUGGAAUGGGAGCAUGCAUUGAAAUUUAACAAGCUAAAAAUAUAUACUGAGAAGGAACUAUUUUUGUGUCUUCAAUAUUUCACAGUGUUUUGCUUAAAGUUUUCCUGCUUCCUGAAUGUAGGAAGGUUAUGCAGUAAUCAAUCUGAAAAUUCUAAAUGCUUCCAGUAUCAAAGACAUAUACCUGUCAAAGUUUCUUGCCUUGGUUUUGCAGGUAAGGCCAUUUUGGAACGCAACUCUUGAACAUGUUAAAUUAUAUAGAGGUGUCCUUAAUGAAUUGGAUAACCUUCUCAUUCGUUCUGGUCUGGACAAUGUCAGUUUAUCUCACAAAGACAUAGGCCAGUCCGUGGUAGUGCAUCAAAGUUGCUAUUGGACUAUAUUCGUACUUUCCCAAGCAGGGUAAUGCAGUUUCACCAGCUAGGUUUUCUACAUAUUCUUGUUCAGCAUGGUUAAACUUUUAUUUUUUUGUAAUUUUAGGGAUUUUUCCUGUAUGUCAUAAUUAUUUGCUGAACAUACCAUCAUGCUACUCUUUAUAUCAAAAGAAAGCACAUAUCAGUAAAUUCAUGGUUCUUGACUUGGAAAUUUUAAAUUUUCAGAGUUUUAGCACUUAUAUUCUCUUCUUGGGCAUCAUGAAUUGGUUGAUCUACAUUUCCCAUUUUUGUAGACCUGUCUUACUGCAGCUGGUUGCUAUCUUUCUCCAGUUCCUGGCUCUAAAGGCUCCAAAGUCUUGAUUUGCUGCUCUCUUAAUUCUAAUGUCCCUGUGAAGUUGGAAAUUAUACAAGCACAUGCUAAUGGAAAACAGAACUCCAUUUCAAGUGAAGUAGAGCAAAUUGUCAGGAAUGCUAUGGCUUGCUUGGACAAAUUUAUAUGUGGUGUUUCAGAUGUUAGAUUAUUUAGCUUAACAUCUCCCCAUAUUGUCGAUCUAAAAUCUUCUGAAUCUGUUUUGAUUGAAGCCAAAAGGCUGGGCAUUCUUAGCAACUCUACCUAUGAUACAAUUUUUUCUCUGCAAAACCACGAAAAGCAGCACUUUAUGUCUAAAACUGAAGUCAUGUCUGAUCGUGACAUGACAAAUGGACGAAAACCAGAAGACACGAUUGCAAGCAGAAGAAUUUAUCCUGGGCAAAUUGGGUACUUCAUGAGCAGAUUUCUGAUAAAAUGGAAUCCUUGCAGGGAAAUGCCAUACAAGUUAUUUUCCUCGAGUGAGACUCGCUAUGAUAAAGUGUUGGAAUUGGAAAGACAGCAGAGUUGCAGUUCUUGUCUUGUCCAUCAUGAGCAUGUCGCCGAGAUACGUUGUAUGGUUGAUUCUGAUUGGCUUUACCUUGCAAAUUUGUCAAAGAGUCAAAAUAUGGGAAAUUCUCUGGAGCAAGUACUCUCUGCUGCAGCAAUAAAGCAAGAGGCAGGCAAAAUAAAGACAUGGUCAGACUUUGUUAAAUUAUCAGCACAGAGAGCUCUUAUGUCUUUGAAGUCUAUUCCAGUUAAUGCAAGACGAAGCCUUCCUGUUCUGGUGGAUUCGCAAGGACUAUUACUGAGCAUUCCAGUACGUGAUCCAUCUUUCCUUCUGCUUUUAUCUGAUUACCAAAGGUGUUCUUACCAUCUCAGUGAGCCCUAUUUCCCAACUUUGUGCAGAUUUGCCUACACCUUUGAACGCUCAGAUAAUUAAUGUCACCAUGAUGGUUGAAUCUUUGUUUAUUCAUGGCCUAAUCAUUGUUUUAAUGUAUGCCUAGCAUUUCGUAAGUUUGAUAGCUAAAGGCUUUGUACCGGAUCUUUAUUUUUUUCCCCUCAUCUUUUCAAAAUAGAAUAUGCUAAGCCAUUUUCCUGUUGGUGGCUUUCUAGUGCCAAUCUGCUUUCCCCAAACACCUGCAUCCAGUCUUUUUGGUUAUAUCCCCUUCUUGUGCAUGUUCUCUCUAGUGCUAAUUUCCUCCACGUACUAAUGGAAGAGCUGAUCUGAAUUUCUCUUGUAUUGUUUCAGAAUGUUGGCUUUCGGCACUGCCCCUGCUUGGAUGUAUGUGCUAUAUUCAAGCCUAGAGUACCGGUUGGUGGAGGCCACACUUCAUUUCUCUAGUCUUUUUUUCCCCCCCAAGCUUAACUGCUUUUGUUCUGUGAUAUCUAAAAAGUUCUUAUUUUAUGUGAAUAACUUCUGAUGUCAUAGAGUAGGAUGCCUACAGGAAACCCCUUUUUCCCUCCAAACGAGUGGGCAAAAGAGGAAAAAGCCCCUAACAUAAACAUAUGAACGAGAGAGAGAGAGGGAGAGAUGCUUAGUCUUGAACUGAGAUCUUGUACCUUACAAAAGUAUUACUAAAAGAUGCUAUUCCUCUUUGAUAGUUUAAAUUACAACAAUUGCGGGUUUCAUCUGGUUUGGGUACUUAAGAAAAGUGUUAGUAUUUUAAUUAAGCUGGUGAUUGCUAUGACACUGCUUGUGACUUCCACUUCCCUCCCUCUCCCAAUGCACUGUUUCUGGAUGGAGAAUGAGUUUCUAUUAGAACAAUCUUGAGGGAAGAAAAAGACAAAAAACUGCCCCUUCUCUUGAUUCAGGACAUGGAAAAUUUUUCUUCAACUUUGAAGUGAUUUCAACAUUCCCCAAUAUUGAUUACAGCGACAUCCUCAAAAUUAUUUAAAUUUAUCUAAAUUCUCAUCAAUAUCGCUCAAGCGGCAAGGGUAAAACGUUAUACAUAGUUGCAAAAAUUCAAGCAUCAUCUGCCUUCACGUUCUUCCUUCUUUAAUGUGGUAAAUGAUGUGAACCACUGCUUCCAAGAUGCAUCUUCCUGCUGCUCCAACCAAGACAAGAACGCACUAUCCAACAAGCAGAAGGCAUUUACAUAUAGAAGUUGAUACCUAACAGGAACAUAUCGGAAAUUGAUGACUUGCAUAAACGGCCAGGCGCCUCCUUCUAGAACUAAUGCAGGGAUGAAAUCUCUCUUCAAGUCUUCCUUAACUUGACUGGCACUCUUACCAGCUGAAAAUCCCAUGUAACUAAAAAACACAACCAGAUCAAAAGGGCCGAAAAUGAUGCCAUCCAUGGCCACUUUAGUGGCAACAAAUCGUACUGAUUUGGGCUGCAUUUUUAGCCUGAACCUAAUAAAUCUGUCCAAAUAUUCAUACCUGCCAAGGGAAAGAACACGACUUCGUUCACUUCUGACAGCUGAAAAAAGAUGCUUCAUAUGAUGUAAUAAGACAGAACCUAAAGUUUAGCAAAGGGUAACAAGUGACAACCAUUUAAGUACACAAAAAUAACUGAAAUAUCUAAGAACUAUAUGCAUAUUCAAACCUAAUACGAGUAAGAUGUCUCGACAAAGUGAACACAAAAUCCCAAGGCCCCAUACUUUUUUAUUCAAAUGGAGCAACCCGACGUCACCAACAUAUAUGAGAAGUUUCCUACAUUACUAGUACUCUGAACAUGAUCCUAAAAGAUACAAAUCAAGCAGAGGCUUAUGUUCAUAAUAUUCCAUUCACCCAUCUUGGAUUUGUUCAUGGGAGAACGAAGUAACUUCAUGUUUAGUAUAGUACAGCAUGUAGACUUUGUGAGUCUUCCUAGCAGUAAAAGUGGAGUGCAAAGAGCAGUUUGUUUAGCCCUCCAAUUUAAAUUUAUUAAAAAAUUUAGAACUACAAAGAUGAAGUUCUGAAGUUUUGAAGCUCUUUAAAAACAUGUAUGCCAGAAACAAAUUUAAGAUGAAAGGAAAGGUAAUUCUCAAGGUAAUAGUAUUUUAUAGCACAUGAAGCAAUGGUGAUACUCUUUUGUACAAGAUACCAGGUGAAGUAGCAACCUAGUUGGCUAAAUAGGUUGCAUUAACUAAGAUGCAGGCCAGUGAAUCACUGUGCUACAAGAAGCCCUAAAUUCACUCCAUUAAAUGCAUGCUCCCUAGCUGCAAUCAAGAUCUGACAUUUAUGUUAACAAAUGGUACUGGUACACAGAUGCAAUAGAUUCUUAAAGCAAGCUAUACGGCUUGGCCUUUGGUUUGGUUUGACUCACCAUAUUUUGUAAAGUGUCAGAGUAUCUUAUUAACUGAAAACAAGAUAAUUGAUGUGAUAAAAUUCAAAAGAACAAAAAUAUACAAACCAGAAGUGGCCAACAGGUCCAACAAAGCCAAAUCCAAACAUACUUGUAAUAGCAACCCGUUUCCAAUUGACUUUAAAUUCUUUAUCCGCAUCCUGCUACAUGAAGCAAAAGAAGGAUGACCAUCACAGCAAGUAUUACUGAGAGACGCAAUGUAAAUCCCCUAAAUAGAGCUAAACAAACAUUCAUAAUAUUUGCUCUCCAAACAUAAUUAAAUUUAUCAUUAUGCAUCAAGAAGUGGUGAAUGUUUUCAAAAAUAAAUACUGCCCAAGCAUCCCCCCUGCCCCUCCUGUGAAGAAACAACAAGCGUUGCUUUCUGAACCCUACUACCUGUAAAUAACCUAUCCAGUUGCCUAUAAAUGUCACAAUUGCUUCCUUAUUAUGAACAUGGAAGCAAAAAGAGCCAUUUGAAGUCAUACAAAAGGGAUUUUCCAUGCCCUAGAAACUUGUUAGCUAAUAUCACUUCACAAAUAUAAUAUUGAAUUUUUACAUGAAGAAUUUGUGAUCACAAUAUGGUUUGGAAAUAAUAAUAGGAUCAAAGGUAAAUAAAUCAAUACAGUUCUGUACCGACUACCUAAACUACUCUUGAGUGAAACAUUGAUACUCUAAUUAGUAAAAUCAACUUCUAUAGCCGAGGAGUGAAGCAGCUCGACUGAAAGGAGAGGAAUGAAAAGCAACCAAUGCCCAAUUCAGACCCAAGCAAUGCAUCGAGAAGGUGAAAUAGAGAAUGCAUGAAAGCCUUAUCUAUAUCUCUUCCUGACAAGGAGUCCAUUCAUGGUAUAAUACUUUCAAAGCCAAUCCAAAGACAGGAAAGGUACAAAACUAGCAAGUUGAUACAUUGACAAACUUUUUGCUGCCAUGAUGGUCAAGUUAAAAAAAGAUAAAAGAAGUACCUUAUCUAUAUGUCCUAUGAAAACUAUCAAUGAAAUUAGCAGCCUAAUAUUGAGUGUGGACAACCAUCCUUGAUGGUUAUGCAUUAAUACUAUAUCAAACACAACAAAGAUUGUAUUGUUUUAACAAUUAUAUAGCAAUCAAUUUAAUUACAAUUACAACAAACGCCGUUCCCCCACACUGUGACACAUUGAAACCAUGCCCACAAUGAUAACUGCAAUUCGACCACGAGAGAGACCACUUAUUCUAGUAGUAUGGCAUUGUCGAAACAGACUCCUUCUUCAGGACAAAACCUAAUGCUAUUUGAAGGAGAAUAAAUUAUCUGCACCUCAUUGGUGAGAACAUCCAAUUUAUAUUUAGAUUUCAGGACUAAAAUGAAGACUUGAUGAGUAGGUUUGCAUCUGGUUUUCAAAUUAUGAACAGAUAAAUGAAGAGCAUGGAGGACAUACAGGAUAUGGUGCUGGUAGAAAUAGCCAUUUGGUAUCCAUUCAAAGGCAUGCAUGAUUUUAACCAUCAUAUGCAUUACCUCAAUUGAUUUUCAAACUUUGAAGUUUAUACAUUGAUGGUCGAAUAUUUCUAACAAAAUGUCAAAAACCUUAGUUUGAGAGUCGAUGUACAAACCUAAAUGGGUCCUAGUACACAGCAAAAUCCCGUAUAUCAAAAGCCCACCACCACCAUGCGGACACUCAUUCCAUUUCCGCAGCUUGACUAAACCCCGUCAAGUAAUAAGAAACAAAUUCUCAACCGAUUAUGAUAACGCAAAUGUAUUGAAAUGAUUAUGGAGCUGGAAACUCCCAAGUUCAAAAUCCCUAUCCAGUCAACAACGUGAGCAGCAAACGUUACUCCAGAAAAAAAUAUUCAUUGCAUAAAAACCACACCACCCAUUUGAAGAUAAUUUUUUAUCCAUAACCCAUUUGCAAUUGCGCAUGAUAAUGAAAAAUCAUCCAACACUUUGACUGGAAAAUUCAAUCUUGUAAUAUCAAUAAAGGGUUAAAGAUUGCUUACUGAAAGAUGAAGAGGCCGAUUCUUGGCAGUGGAGUGAGUAAUGGAUUGAGCCACAAUAUCUCCAACGCCCCAUAGAAAUCCAGAGCUUAUGAUUUGGGUCUUAACUGGAUGUACAGCCAAGCAAUUCUGGUACCAUCUCCAGAGCUUCAACAUCAUCCAAUACAAAAGAUUUCUCACUCUCUCUCUCUCUUUCCCUUUGUUUCGGAUUUUUCCGGUCUUCAAUCAAUUAAAAGAGACAAAAAUUAGCUACACUGUCUGUACAUCUGAAAAUUAGACGGUGGUCAAUGGGCGGUUGGAAGGAAGGAAGGGGAGGGAGGGAUUUGUAGAGGCCUGAUGGGUAUCGUAGUAGCAGUAGUAUUUCAAUUUUUAUGCCCAUGCCUUUGCCCCACGAAUUGAAGGACCAGUUUUGUUGUCAGGUGGCUUUUUGAGUUUUGAUUGUUCCCAACCUAAGGGCCUCUAAUUUUCUGUAUUUGCUUCAUGAGGAGUUUGGAGUUUGGACGGGCUUUGUCUGCCGCUUUGUUCGGUGGUAUCUAGAAUAGAAGCCUUAGAUGAUGAUCAAUUUCAGAAAAAUAAAUAAAUAAAUAAAAAGAAGGGAGGAACUUGAUAUAUCGUACGUAAUAUAAGAAUUUGGAAAGAGAAAAAAUAUUAGCAGAAAAAAUGAAAACAAUACAACUAGUAUCUAUAUCUAUAUCUAUAUGUAUUAGAGGGCAGGUGUUUUACGAGAAACUUCGACAAGCGUCAGAGAUCUGAAUCGCCCUUUACUAUAAUUUUAGAUUUAUUUUAAUUCAAUAAUCCUCAUCUUCUCCUUAUCCCUUCCCACUCUUCAAUUUAAGUAACCAACUAACCUACAAAAUUAAAACUCUUAAAUUUUAAUUAAUAAAUAAUAACCACCUCUGCAAAAUGAUAUUUGCAAAUUUCAAUUCACGUCUCAUAUUUAUUACUAACACUUACCACAUCACUAAUAGCAAUACUCACACUUACCAUAACAAUGAUAGUAAUAACUAAUUGUUAAUUUAAGAAAUUCGCGACGAAAAUCACAUAUCCAAAAUUUAGGAGCCUAUUUGAAUUACAAUUUUUAUAAUUCUAUGUAUUUUAUUGUCAUAAUAUAUUUUACUCUUAUAAUCAUUCACAAAACUGAUGAUCACUGAUUCAUUUUACCCAUUUUCAUUUGUCUUCACACAAAUUAAAUAUAGUGAAAAAAAAGACUAUGUAUCAUACUCUCACCAUGGAUGAAACCCACUUACAAACAUUUCAAUCAGUGAUGAAGUUAAGAUUUUUUUUUCCUAGAGUGGCUAAAAUUUUUCCUAACAUAAUUAUUUUUAUGUGUUAUAUUCAAAAUAAUUUUCAUCUAUUUAAAUAUAUGAUAUCUAAAAAAAUCAAAAUUUAAUUUUAAUUAUAAAGGGAUUAAAAAAUAAAUAAAUUUUUAAAAGAAAAAAUUAAUUCAAAAGUAAUUAAUUCACACACGCACACGCACACGCACACGCACACACACGCACACAUAUAUAUAUAUAUAUAUAUAUAUAUAUAUAUAUAUAUAUAUAUAUAUUCUCAUAAUAUAAAUUAAAAUUGUAAAAAAAUUAGAAUGACCGACUUUAUUUUACACAAAUAUUUACAUAAUAUGAAUCAAAAUUUUAAAAACCUGGGGGAGACUAUGGCCCCCAUUAGCCCUCGUUGAUUCCAUCAUUAAUUUCAAUGGCGUCUUAAUUCCAAACUUACAAGAUUACAAAUGAGAAAACAACUGAUCACAAAACGAAUAUUACACUAUAGUGAUCCCACUGAAAUAUUUUAAAAAGGUUCAACAAGUUUAUUUCCAAAAAAUACAAGUUUCAUUGAACAUUUUUUUGUAGUAUAAUUUCACGAAAUUUAACAGAAUUAAUUAAAUCACCAAUAUUAAUUUUAUACUAAAAGUUUAUUGAUAUAAAAAAUAUUCGUAUCUUUGUACAAAAUUAUCAAACUGAAUACAUAAUGUUUGUAAGUAUUUCAUUUUGAAAUAAUUUUCAUCUAUUUAAAUAUAUGACAUCUAAAAAUAUCAAAUAUUAACUUUAAUUAUAAAGGAAUGUAAAUUAAGAAAAAAUUAAUUCAAAUGUAAUUAAUUCACCACAUACAGGCACAUAUAGCAAUACUCAAACUUACCAGAUCACCGAUGGCAAUAACUAACUAUUAAUUUAAGAAACUCGCAACUACGAAAGUCACAUAUCCAAAAUUGAGGAGUCAGUUUGAAUUAUAAUUUUCACAAUUCUACAUAUCUUAUUGUCAUAAUGUAUUUUACUCUCACGAUCAUUCACAAAAUUGAUGAUCACUAAUCGAUUUUACCUAUUUUUAUUUGUCAUCGCACAAAUUAAAUACAGUGAAAAAAAGACUAUGCAUCAUACUCUUACCAUGGAUGAAUCCCACUUCCAAGAAAUACAAGCCUCACCGAACAUUUUUUUGUAGUAUGAACUCCAUAAAAUUCAAUAAAAUUAAUUAAACCACCAAUAUUAAUUUUUAUUGUAAAAGUUGAUUGGUGUAAAAAAUGUUCGCACCUCUGUACAAGAUUAUCAUUUCGGAUCCAUAAUGUUUGUAAGUAUUUCAUUCUGAAAUCAAGUAAAACAUGCAAUUACAUUUAUUUUUAUCCAUAUAUAAUUCAUUUUCUAUUAUUAUUUCAAAAUCUAUCUUCUGCAAAAAUGCAAUUCAUGAAUGAUUUAUACAUUUUGUCAUACUUUGAACUAUUGUAAGACAAAUUUUAAAUUUUAAUUAUGUUGGUAUGGUUUUUUUAACUGUUUUCAAAUUUAUCUUCUUUUUUAAUUUCUUACAAUAACAUAAGCACCGUGCGUAACACGGGUAUUCACGUUGGUUUAUUUAGUAUUUGGGGCGCAAAUAUGGAGACCCCUUGACUCUUUUUCUUUCUUUUCUUUAAGCAUGUUGAAAAAGACCAGAAAUCCCUAUCCUUCAUUCCAUGUACAAUUAAGACAGACUGGUAUUGGUAGGGAUUUAAAUUGGGUGAUAUGUAUGGAUAUUUUUUGUUCCUUUGCAUGAUAAAAGUGUCAAGACAUGUACACUAACAAAUAUGCGAGUGUUAAUAUUAAUUUUCUGUUAUUUAUCUUUAUUCUAAUUAUAUUCCAAGAAUUGGAAGGAUGAAGCUAAAAUGAAAAAAGAGGUGGUAAGGAUUAAGCUAGAGCUCUGAAACAAGAAACGAAAGUGAUUACUUGUGAAUAAAUUGUUAUGAACUCUUUCCGAGUAUACUUUGAAAUGUCAUACUGUCAAUUUUGUAGUAUUUGUCAGUCAAACUUUAGACCAACUUUUUGUGCAUGUAUGAUAACAUAUGUAAUUUACCAGAAUUUUACAUUCAAAUUGAAGAGUAAAUUUUUUUUUUCCAAAAACAAUUGAAGAGUAAUGUGAAGGUUAGACAUUUUAAACUGAAUCUGACAAGAAAAGAAAAAAAAAGGACAUCUUAAAACUGAAAAUAUGACAUCAACGAGAAGAUGAAAGGAGUUUUUUUUUUUUUUUUUGAAGGCUCUGCAAAUUAAAACUAGAAAAUGAAGCUCUUGAGAAACAUUUUGUAUAGAAAAAAGAAAAAGAAAUUCUACAAGACAUAACGUGGCAAAAUGUGCUCCUAUAGUUAUUUCGACUGUUCUGCUGCUUCGCUCAACAGCCAGCCUCAAGAAACAAGUGAUCAUAUAGGAGGGAGUAGCACUCUGGAGAUUUCUGAUAAUAUUUGUGGAUAAGAUUGCUCCAAAAGAAAUGAUCUCACCAACCAACAAUACUGUACAAUGCCUCACACGAUGCAUAUUCUAACUCCUGCAAACAUGCAACCUUGCUGUCCGCGGGAGAGUGGACUCAAAAGGUACCACACUUUCGAGCUUCGCAUUCUUCUACUCAGUAACUCUGCACAAAGAAUACAUAUUCAAAAUGAUCGUGUCAACUGCAUGCCAAGUAUAUUUAUCAGUGUAUUACGAGACAUUCUUGAAGUUCUUGCUCUUUAUUUUGACAAAUUAAUCGCUAGCAUUCUUUAGCCAAGAUUUACUCUGUUUACAUGUCUCUACUUACUCAUGGUUGCAUCUUUCUGCAGAUUAUGGUGGAUAUAAGUCCUCGAAUCUGUUGAAUUAUGCUCUUGAGCGAGGAGAGAAGAGUUCUGUGUUUGCCCAGGAUUGCGGUCGCUAUUCAUAGUUUAGGUCAAUUUAAGCCCAAACUGUUGGUAAAUUAGUACCUAUAUAUAUAUAUGGGAGAACUUGGUGGGAACAGCCAGUCUCUGGUUGGAGGGAAGGGGCAGAAUGGAUCAGCUACAAGCAAGUCACACAAUCAGGCGUCAUCCUCCAAGGUAUUUUUCUAAUUAAUUCAGUUCGAUUAUAUUAGACAAUUCUGGACUGUCCAAGUUUAGUUUUAUCAGUCUACUGAGUAGAUUAAAGUGCAUUGAUGCUGUAUUCAGGCGCUGCAGUUGAUUAUGAUCCCUCACUAGCUGCCAGUACUCAUAUCAGAAGCCAUUUAUAGUCUAAAUGGACAUAACUAUUAAAGUGAAUAAUCUUGCAGUUUCUUGAUGUGUCUGCGUAUGAUAGUUGCACUAAUAGACAUUCUGUAUGACACUUUGGUUUGCCUCAUCCUGUCAUCGCGGCAAACCUGUCUUAAUGGCUAAGCAUGAAUAAAAGUCAAAUUUGAGAAACAAUGGAGCAUAACAAAAUUCUCAUGAUGAAAGAUUCCACACUGGUUUAUCUGUGUUUAACAAUUUGAUAAUGUUCUGAGUUUUGCAGGAGUCAGUUUCUAAUAAAGACCGAACUGCUCCAAUCCCAGCUUCUGUAACUUCUGAAAUACAAUUUGGUUGUCUUGUUUGUUCGGGAAACAAUAGUUGCCAAACAGUUCGUUCAAGAACAAAGUUGAUGAACAUUUUGAUUGAGAAGGGAAAACCUAGCGAGGUACAUUCAGUUUUCAGGGAUUUAACUGAAGAGGGACAUAGACCAACACUUGUAACAUAUACUACUGUUUUAGCUGCUUUAACCCUCCAGAAACGCUUCAAGUCUAUUCCUUUACUCCUUUCUAAGGUUGAGGAAAAUGGAUUAAAACCAGACUCAAUAUUCUUCAAUGCCAUGAUCAAUGCCUUUUCUGAAUCUGGUAAUGUCAAGGAAGCAAUGAAAAUUUUCAAAAAAAUGAGGGACAAAGGAUGUAAACCGACAAUUAGUACAUUUAAUACAUUAAUUAAAGGGUUUGGGAUCAUAGGCAAGCCUGAGGAAUCCUUGAAACUGUUGGAAAUGACGUCUAUGGAAGAGAAUGUGAAACCCAAUGACAGAACAUAUAACAUUCUUGUCCGAGCUUGGUGUAGUAAGAAAAACAUACCAGAAGCGUGGAAUGUGGUUUACAGAAUGGUUGCCUCUGGUGUGAGCCCUGAUGUUGUUACAUACAAUACAAUAGCUCAGGCUUAUGCUCAGAAUGGAGAGACAAGUAGAGCAGAAGCAAUGAUCUUUCAAAUGCAAAACAACAAUAUAACACCUAAUCAGCGGACAUGUGGUAUCAUUGUGGACGGGUACUGUAAGGAAGGUAAUAUGACAGACGCACUGAGAUUUGUUUACAGGAUUAAGGAUCUUGGGGUGAAUCCAAAUCUUGUCAUAUUCAACUCUCUUAUUAAAGGAUUCCUAGAUGUUACUGACACUAAUGGAGUUGAUGAGGUAUGCUUCACCUUUUAUUUGGACUUUCAUUUCAUCAAGUAUCAAUUUAUCUGCCCCAAGAUCAACUUGAGGAUUUUUUCCUUUCCUUCUUGCUCUGAGAAUGUUUCUCUCUCUCUUUCAGUUCAUUGUAUAGCUUGUAUUUUUGGUUAGGUUGUGAUAUGUUUCAUAUCCACAUGAACAUAAACAAAUUUGUCAAAGAUAGACUAAAGUAUAACCACCUUGGCCGUCAUGAUUCAUAAUAUUAAGGUUUAAGACAUUUUAACCAUUAAAACUGCCAGGUUAAUGGCAGAAUGGACCACUUGAAUCAGGUCAUGAGGAUGAGGAUGAAAUAAAUCAUGAUUCUCUUCCCUUAAUGAUUUAAAAGUAGAGAGGGGAAGAGGGGUUGAAGUAAAUAACCAUCAGAUGUUUGUUUAGUCUGGGCAUUACUGGGUUGAAGUAGAUAACCAUCAGAUGUUUGCUUAGUCUAGGCAUUACUGAACUAAGAUAGAUGACUGAUAAGGAGUCUUUAUUGGUCACUUAUAUAGUUAUGUAAUGCAUCAGAUAUCUGACAAACUCCCAAUCUUCUGAUAUCUGGGGAAUUCUAAUGAAUACUUAUGUGUUUCAUGUCUGUAUGAGCAUUAACCAUCUUCCAACUAUUGCUCAAGCCCUUGGAUUUCAACUGCUCGCUCUCUUGUUCUAAAUUGCCACUGCUUAUACCAAGUGUAACCUGUUGUUAGUGGGCUGGUUAUGAAAUGUACAGACACUGACAUUGAUGGAAGGAUUUGGAGUGAAACCUGAUGUGAUAACAUUUAGCACCAUCAUGAAUGCAUGGAGUUCGGCUGGACUAAUGGACAAAUGUGAAGAAAUCUUUGACGACAUGCAAAAGGCUGGCAUUGAACCCGACAUUCAUGCAUUCAGCAUCCUUGCCAAAGGUUAUGUGCGUGCAGGAGAACCUGAAAAGGCGGAGGCUCUCCUGGAUAUUAUGGAUAAAUCAAGAGUGCACCCAAACGUGGUAAUUUUCACUACAAUUAUCAGUGGUUGGUGCAGUACUGGAAAGAUGGAAUAUGCCUUGAAGAUGUACGAGAAGAUGUGUAAAAUGGAUAUAUCCCCCAAUCUGAAAACUUUUGAGACACUAAUAUGGGGAUACGGAGAAGCAAAACAGCCAUGGAAAGCAGAGGAGCUCCUGGAAAUCAUGGAAAAUGUGGGUGUUGUGCCCCGGAAAAAUACGAUCCAGCUUGUUGCUGAUGCGUGGCGUGCAAUUGGUUUCCUGAACGAGGCCAUAAGAAUCUUGAAUGGCACGCCAAAUGAUCAGCCGUUAAUGGUGAAUGCUAGCAAUGGGAGGCCAGCUGAGGGCCAGGGAAAAGUACAUCAGAAAGAAGAAUCAAUUGCUUCUUACUCCAAUCUUUGGCAAAUUCCUGGAACUAUAGUGACAAAUCAAAAUGUGUCAGAUGUAGUUAACUUGAGAAGCCAGACACUGCUUAAAAGAUCAAAAUUAUCAUCUGAAAGCCUCAGUAUGGCAAACAAGUCCAUGUUAGUCACUCGCAGUUGUGGGCUUAAGGUAAAAUCAUUGAUGGAAUUUCCCAGGCAAUUCCAGAUUCAGGUAGGCAUCCACGAGUAUGUGAAUCCAUGUAGAUUGGUUUUCUGAUACUGUCAAAUUUCUUACUCCACACUGAUGGAAGUUUUUUUUUUUUUUAUUUAAGCCUCCUGCAUGAUCUAUUACACACUCCAAUGGUGCGAGAAAAGCUCUCAAAAUCACCAUCUGCCAUAUUUGACAUACAUUAUUGUAGUCAGCUAUUCCAGGCAGAGAAAGAUACUGCAACAUACUUCACUGUACUAUUUCCUCAGACAAAAAUGAAAAGAAAGUCAUUCUCAUGCUCUGCCUUUUCUUUCUUUCUUUCUUUCUUUUUUGGUUAUUAUUUUGGGGAGAUACAACUACAACUAUGAUUGAAUUACAUCAUUGUAGACAAUUGAAAGUGAUAUUUUACACUAAAGUUGUCUCUGUUUUACACUUGCCCUGGGCAAGUAGUGAAAUCUUAGCCAAUUAAAUCGAGCCUCCGGAGUUGUAGUUCUGAUGGCGGAGUUGGAAGGUGAAAAAACUCAGGUUUUUAUGAACUAGUAAUGAAAUAAACAGCAUUUUUUUGGACAAAUGUGUUUUGGUUUGGAGAUGAUUCAACCAUUGACAGGUAAUAAUUGUCCACAGAAUUCACACGGUGCAUUUCUGAUGGGAUUGGCAGGCAGUUCACCUGUGCAUUUUGUUAUUCCAUCCUAUCGUUGCAAAAUGCUUGUCAGUUUACUGGAGAGUUUGACAAAUUAUUUGAGCAAAAGUAAGAAAAGCACCAAUCCUCUUCAAGGACAACACCUGUAAGCUGGUUUUUUCCCUUCGGUAUCGACUUAGCAUCAAAAGCAUCCUACUUGAAAUUCUGAUGAAUCCAUAACAGGUCAUAUCUAUUCUAAGAGUUUGUUGGAUAUUAGGAUGAAAGGACUUGCACAAAUCCAUGUUACGCACCGACUAUCGAAGGUAUUUCCAUCCAUCGGAUGAAACAAAAGGUUUCCGUGGCAUCUUUAGUUGGAAUCAAAGAUAAAAUGUGGCGGUAUCUAACGAGAUAUUCAGUAGAAAACACCAAACUUCAUGCAAACAAAUAAAGAGACCACAAAUGUGUUGGCUGAAGCUCUUCAAACCAAAAAUUGUAACAGUGAGAGAGGAAUUGGUAUUGCUGGUUAUGGUUCUGGUUAAAUGAGUUGUUCUCAUAAUCUCAGAGAGAUGCGCAUCAAUCCCAAGCAUAUACAAAUUUAAAUGUUGUUCUGGUCCUAACCGAGGAGAUUCUAGUUUAGUACUUAACAUUGAAAUCUUAAAAUUUACACGUCUCGUAUUCAAAGCUUUUCUUCCCUCUCCACGUUUCUUAAAUCGUAUGCAAGAGUUGAUAAAGUAAGGAAUUUAUUCCAUGUAAGGAGGAAUAUUUAAAGGCUACAAAUUUAAGUUCUUGUUUGGUAUAACCAUGUAUUCUUAUUUUUAUUGAAAUUGGAGAUUAGUGAGUAUGUUGCCUUUUGUAUUUUUUUUUUUUUUUGAGGAAUAUGAUGCACAAGUAUUCGUACAGUAAUAUUUAGGGCAUCCCAAAUUUUAUUUUUGGUUAAUUGCUCUAUACUGUUUUACACCGGAAAAAGCUUCAUUUACUGAAAGAAAAAAAAUUGUACUAGUAAACUCCUUAUUCCUAUUUAAUAUUCCGAGUUAAUGACCAUGAAGAUAGUACUAAAAGUUAUUAUGACAGUAGAGUGAGUAGACAGAAUCGAUUGUUUGUGACAGAGCAACAUGAUGGCUCUACAGCUUCUCCCUCAAUCUCCUAUUCUUCAAGCUCAAGGCCACAUCUUCCCAGGUGUCCGUUGCUUCAGUCCCUCCAAAGAUUCAAACUUUAUCUCCCUAAGCUCAAGCCCUCUUCUCAAAAUCCAACAACACGCUCUCCCCAAGCUCCUAGCUUGUAAAUUCUCAAGAAAAUCUCAGUUUCACAGAUUCCAGUGUAAAGGGUUUAAAGACACCAAUCAAGAGAGCAAGGUUGUCCUGGACACUAAAGAAGGCGGCGGGGGCGGUGGUGGAGACGGAGGAGAUGGUGAUGGAGAGGAUGGGGAUGUUGAGAAAGGUUCUGAAUUUUUGCCAGAAUGGUUGAAUUUCACUUCUGAUGAUGCAAAAACAGUUUUUGCAGCAUUGGCUAUAUCACUUGCAUUUAGAUCAUUUAUUGCUGAACCAAGAUAUAUUCCUUCAUUGUCCAUGUAUCCCACAUUUGAUGUUGGGGAUCGAGUUGUAGCUGAAAAGGUAGUACUUUUGUGCCAUUUGUUUGUCUUUAAUUCGUUUAGUAUUAUAAUCUCUGCUUGUGAAUUUGAACCUUUAGUAUGUGAAAUUGAAAUCAAGACUUAGCAAUCUUUUAGAACCAAAACUGAGGCUUAUGUCGUACGAGGAUGACAUCAUAUUUGAUAUUCAGGAAUUGUACUACGGAGAAAAGACAGUAUUUAAGAAUCAAUUUCGAUAUUUGACUGCUUAGAUUUUUUGUUGAUGAAGAAUGAUGAACUUAGUUGACCAAGUUCCAGACACUGCUUGGUUUAUGAGAGGCUUUGGUCAGCUGCCUUGGCAAUUGCAGAUAGGUUUAAUGUGAUUCUAUGAUUGUGACUGAUGACGUUUUCUCCUUGGUUUAGCAGUUGCAAAUAAACUCAUUCUGACUCUUGUUCUAAGUUAAUGCUUGUUUCAGCUGGCUUCGGUUUCUUAUUUUCUAUUAUGGUCAUGAUUUUAAAUGUUCACUAAUAGUUUGUACUGAUAAAGAAGUUGAAAGUUUUAUCCUGUGUUGAUUAUCUGAAAAGACAUAACCAUUGUAUUGAACAUCUCUUCGAAUUAUCAGAAGUGAAGCCAGUAAGGAUGCUAAUUGCCAAUGGGUUACAGAAACACACCAUCCAUGUUUGCAAUCUUCUGAACUAUGUUUCCAGCAUGUGUUUUACGAGCAUGUAAUGGUUUUGAAUCCUACAGCCUUCAUAGUUGAAAGAAAGCAUUCUAUAUUUAUAUUUGGCACUUAUAUUUCUUAGGAUUGCUAAUGAAGCAACAAAGUGAGAAUCUUGAUAGCAUAUUCAAUUACUUUCACCUUCAAUAUUUCCAGGUCAGUUACUAUUUCAGAAGGCCCUGUCCCAAUGAUAUUGUAAUUUUUAAAAGCCCUCCAGUUCUCCAGGAAGUAGGGUAUACGGAUGAUGAUGUUUUCAUCAAACGAGUUGUUGCAAAAGAAGGAGAUACUGUUGAGGUAUCUCCUCUUUUCCUGUUGUGGCUCUCAGAUAUGCAUUACUGUUUAAGCUGUGUUUUAAUGCUAAUCCGGUGCACUGUUAGAAUUGCCAUUGGGUUUGAUAUUCAGAUGCCUGGUCUUAGAAUAAUAGUUUGUCGCGACUUAUUGGUUAUGCAAUCUUUUUUGAUCAAAAAGUAAGAAAUAAUUAGAAACUGUUUGUUGUUCUGAAUUACAUAAAUUGAGAUUGUUCACUUGUAUUCCUAUCUUCUAAUCAUGGAAAGCAGAAUAAAUUCACAUGCAGAUACUAGAGUGACGUCAAAAGGGACCUUCUGCAAAUUAUUGUGUCUUGUUUAGCAAAUUGGGCACCUUUUAUUCAGGAUUCUUUUACAAAAACAUGUAUUACUUCAUUUUACCCAAGUAUUAUUUCACAUUAGAGUUAAACUUGCCAUUUUUAUUCUUUCUUUCUGUAUACCGGAACCAUCAUGAAACUUUGGCGCUGGAAUAGUUGUUUGGAGAAGAUGCUACAGUAUAUGGAUUAGUUGUGUGCUUCAUACAGGAUAAUCGUGCCUAGAGAUGGGCCCAGUAGACCUUCCAUGAUCUGCCACUAACUCGUGGCUUCUGGUCCUCAAGCACUGGUAUUUUGCUGUCAUAAUUGUAUACAAGGUGAAAGGGAAUUAGCCAGAUGGUGGGACUUGUAUGAUGUUAGACUUCCGUCUUUCUGGAAUUGCUGGCUGGAAAAUAUUUUGUUUUCUUCUGUUGUUUGACUAUUUUAAAAUGUGUUUAGCAUCCAUUUUCUUAAACUUAUAGUUAGUCUCAGCAAGAUGGUAAACAACUUUUACUCAUCUUGGACAAUCCUUUUUUGUGCAGGUUCAUGAAGGGAAGCUUGUGGUAAACGGGGUAGUAAGAGGUGAAGAUUUUAUUCUUGAAGGCCCCAAGUAUGAGAUGACAGCGAUUGUAAGUCCAUUUUGUGUUCAUUUUAUUGCUUUGAUUUCUGCUCUGUGUGGCUCCUAUUCAGGAUGGUGUUUUGUGUGUUAAAAGAAUAUAUAUUUUUUUUGAAGCAUACAAGGAUUUUGAUCCAUAACACUAACUGAGCAAAGACUUAUCCCAAUUAGGACGGGGUGGUUCUAAGCUGUAAUGUUAUGUAUUGGUAUUAUGAUUUUAGAUGUUUUGAUUAUUCCAUGGACUCGGAAUUUGAAUUUCUCAUAAAGAUAGUGUUUAAUCUUUGUGCAGAGGGUACCCGAGAACUCAGUUUUUGUGAUGGGUGAUAAUCGAAAUAACAGCUAUGACUCACAUGUUUGGUAACUUUAUUUCCUUCUUUUGUGGAGUUGUAGAUAUCAUUUUAAUGCUUGUUAUUCUUUAAACUUGUUUUUAACAUAUGUUCCUUUUUUAGGGGUCCCCUGCCCUUAAAGAAUAUUAUAGGGAGAUCGAUAUUUCGAUAUUGGCCUCUAACUAGGAUAGGUAGCACAGUGCUUCCGGAAAGCUGUGUCUUUGACAAGCAGGAGACUAGUUUGGCAGCAAAUAAUACACCAUCUGAGUCGCCUAAUAAUUGAAGGUGCAGAUUUGUUCUCCUUUGUAUUUCUCAAUUUUAGAGAAAAUGUUAAUUAGCGAUAGGAAGAGUAAUAUCUCAUAGAGAUGGUAUAAUUUAUCAAGGCCUUGUUACUAAUUUCCUGUGCAUGUUCCUUUGUGUUCAUUGCACCAUAUGUAGCCUUAGAAGAUUCCCACUCCCGUCACCUGCCCGUGAUCUCUGGGCCAUUUGAUAGAUACAGCUGAUUGUUUGUAAUAUUAGUACCUGAUAAAAGAUACAUUCUUUUCAUUGAAUGCCAUGUUUUCUGGGGUUGGAAAUGCCUUGUGUAUCCAAAACAGCAAAUGAGAUUGGGAUGAUUCUUCAUCGAUGUUAUGUAUCAUUGUAUCUUACAUAAUUUGGGAGAAAUAUUUGGAGUCAUUUCGUUAUCAAACCCUGUAUCUUCUCUGGUAGAUUGCGAUGCAUAAAAACUGAUUAAUGUUGAUUCAGUGAAUUGACAAAGAUUGGAAAUCAACAGCUUCUUGUCACUCUUUGCAUAUGGAAUCGUUGCAGUGAGAAUGUGAAUAUCUGUCGUGGCCUGGAUACCAUCUUCUAGCUUAGGUUACCCCUGCUCUAUGUAAAAUCAUUACCAGGGAGUAAAGUAAUGUAGAAAAAGCAUUAAUUUGAGUGCACAGCAACAUGAUUAGAGUUCUUCAAUGUACUUGACAAGGAUUGACAACUCUGUUGGACUGCAGCCAGCUUUUUUUGCACAAGUUGUUGGCUACCGAGCCUUGUCAGCCGAUAGCAAACAACUUAAAAAAAAAAGAUUUUUUCCGUUGUCAGGCUGUGUCAGACUGAAAAAAAAAUUUUUGACUGACUUUUGGUGCUGGGCUGACACAGCCCGACAGCCAUAGAUUUGCAACAGAACCUUGUCAGAGCCGUAGAUGUCCGAAUUUUUUUUUUCUCGACCAUAUUCUGAGUAAUUAGCCAGAUUUUUUCCCCCCCGGAGUGGGGAGAGGGAGGGGGAGGGGGGUGGGGUGCAGCUAAUUGCUCAAAACAUUUCAGGUGCCAUACAAGUAAGUAUUUCUGCGAAUUUACCACUUCUGCUUCUGCCUGUUCAUUUACCGAAGUUGGACACCUCAAGCUUGAUACCUUACAGUAGGGUAGUUAUAUUGUGGAGACGACUAAUAAUUGAUGUUCUAACAAUAGUGAUCAAUUAUGUACAAAUAAAACACUACAGUUAAAGACUUUAAUAAUUGCUUCCAGAUUCUUGAGAAUUGCAUGAGCUAUGGCUAGAACAAGCUUUACUGGAGGUUAAAAUUAUAACGUAGGGCUUCUUUGCAGUUCGCAGUUAAUUAAAUAUACAAGAAUCUGGGUGAAAUUUGAUUUCCUCCAUGCGUUCAGUAUUGAAGACCAUGGAACAAGAGACGCGCUUUUGGUAUUUGGUCUUGACCAACUUACCAACUAGAUACCCCAGUGAUUGGAUUUCCAUGUUCAACUUCAGUGGAACCUCUGUGUCAUCAUCAUCUAAUGUUGCCCCUGCACCAUAGAGAGGAAUGCUACGCCCAUCUAGGUUCACUGAUAUGGUCCUUGAACUUGUUCUUGGUUGAUAAUAUCUCUUCAACUUCAAAAAACGAAACGCAAACUGUCAAUGAAACAGGAAUUUUACCAAAAAGAGAAGCUCUUACUUUAGGUAUAAACAUUGUUCUGUGAGGCAGGCAGAGACGGUAUUGAGACGCUUACCUCACCAGUUGCAACUGUCAUUUCGAAAUACAUUAGAUCAACCAUCUUGGAUCCGACAUAAAUGCCAAAGAAUGUAGCAGGGUUGCGAAUGGACAUGGUUGCUGUACAGUUAACUGUAAGCAACUUGGUUGGAACACCAGUUCGAUCGGAGCCUUGCCCGAGAUAAAAGUUGUGUACUCUCAAGCUCUGGUAUUUCAUCAAGAUACAGACGUUGUAAGGGCACAAGUAAAUUACUGUAAGCUCUGAUAAUUCAACUAGUUACACGUUCGUCAAAUGGAUAUAAUCUCUGACAUGAAAACUUAAAAUUGUGAAAGGGAGAAGUUUCAAUUUAAUACUAACGUUAGCUCCAAUUUUUCUCUGCAAAGAUCUUCGUUGAUAGUGGCAUUAUCUAUGUAUGAAUCAGUCCAGCAAAUUAAUGAAUUAUGUAAAGGAUAUACCUUCAUGGUGAUUUGAGGUCUGUAAGGCCUACUAGCGGCCCAGAUGAUCACGCAACACGCAGUAAAAACCACGGCAACCCCCACAAAAGCUGCUAAUAAAGGUGACCUUUUCUCAUCAUCUUCAUGCGAACCAUCAUAAACACCCUCCUCUUCAACUAAACUGCAUUCUUGCCAUCCCUUGCCACUUCUCUUCCUGCUGAUCCUCGGCCAUCGCCAAUUCCCCGAGACCCUGCUGGCCGACGAAGAUCUGGGAUUGGAUUGCCUCCCAUAGGUUGAGGUACGAGGAGACUCCAUUGGGCUACUACUACUAUUGUAAGCUGGGGUGGCUUGACAAGAAGCGGUAGCAGAUGCUUUGUCCGCAUCGUCAUGGGAAUCGAGAGAAGGGCUUUGUACGUAGUACACGGGAGGUUUAGGGGAGGCAGGGUAGGAGGAUGGUGGGGAUAAGGUUGCAAAAUCUGAUUCAGACUUGGCGUGUAUCAUCUUCCCAAGCUAUAAAUGGUAUCUUUCCACUUCAAUGCAGACAGAAACAAGCGAAUAUUUCCCGGCCAAAUUGAGUACAAGAUGCAAUUACCAAACCCAUAAGCAGUCAACAAGAAAUAAGGUCUUCUAUUUUGCCUUCAAAUUGGGUACAGCUGCAUGGAGUAUGCUACUCGCCCUCCCUACGCCUCUCCAAUGAUCAAAUGAUUGAAGAAAGUUCAACUCGUUUUUCUCCUUCCUGUGAUGCCACACAACGGAAAAUAGGGUGCAUGCAUGUGUUGAGAUGAUUGCAGAAGCCAAUCAAAGUAAAUCAUGAAAGAAGAUAUUUGAUUUGGACUGAAACUGAUCUGGGACUUGCUUUAACUUCUUGUGGGUUUUUUUGGUGGGGGAGUCUUUCUGUGCCGUGUUAUACUAACGGAGAAAAGUAGGUAACUGGUACGCCUUUUUCUCUGAUUCGUAACUGCCGAAUAGAUUGUCGAGUAGGACUGAUUCAAACGGUUUCAGAUCCUUUGUCCCCAAAAUAGUCUCUGUCCUCUCUGUUCCUUUGUUGUAUAGCUGCCACGUGUCUCUAGUCUUUUGUUAACCCAAACUCAAAUAAAACGAUAAUAAUUGGUUUAUAAGUUUUGUUAACCCAAAUUCAGAGAACCAAAUUCCAAGAAAAGGAGGUACGAAUUAGUUAAGAUUUUGUAGUGCCCGAAUAUAUACUUGUAUAUUCAAUCUUAUAUUCAUAUUUUCUCUCUUUAAUAUAUAUAUUCCAAUUUGAAGGUUCAAUUGCAAUAUUGCGUGGUAAAACAUCAGACAUUGUAUGUGCCAUGGUGGAAAAUGCGAGCCUCACAAGUUUAUGUUUCUUUUUUGUGUUAAAGAAAAAGUUUAAUUGUUACAAGGGUCAAGGAAGCAAGAGGGGAAAAUAAGGGAAAGUCCUGAAUCUAACCAUAAACAUGCUAUUUAUUCAGACAUUGUUUGAAAAGCAAUUAGUUUUGAAAAAAAAAAUAAUUUUUUUUCGUAAAUAUAUCUCUCAAUCAUCUUUUUAUCUCAUCUACACGCCUACUACUAGCUAAAUUGGACUUAAGACGCAAGGCUUACAAUUUGUGAGCGAAGGAAAGAAGAUUUUAUGAGGUUGAGGAGACGAGCCUAAGGAUCUGUUUGAUAACAUAAAAAAGUGGUGAAACUGAACUUUUUCAGACAUUCAGAUGUUUUGGGUGUUUGAUAAGUAAAAAUCCAUCUACUGAGCUUGUUAAGCGGUGCUAAACUUGUAUGUAUUUUUUUUCAGUACAAAAAUCGUAACUGAAUGUUUAAUUCUGAUAAUAAUCAAUAGAAUUACUUCAACUACCUUAUUUUAUCUAUCAAAUCUACUUUCAUUUGUUAAUUAUAUUUAAAAUUCUUAUCUAAUUAAACAAUCUGAUAUUCUCUAUUCAAAUCCCUUAUAUAAUUAAAUAAUUUGAUAUUUUCUAUCUAACGGUUUUCUACUUCUUUUUUAUCUCUUUUUAAUGACUUUCACAUCUUCUCCAUACUUCUCAUAUAAUAUAUUUCAUCUUUUUUAUAUUAAUUUGAUUUAAAAAUAAAUAUUGUCAUUUUCAUACCUAACAAAUUUAAGUUAAUUAAAUCAUAGGUUCUAUUUCCUUUUUUGGAUGAAAAGAUAUAAGGGCAAAAUUGUACAAUUUAACUUAUUAAGCAUUCAGUUAUAGAUGUUUAUCAAACAGUAUAAAUAAUUUCAACAUUCAAAUUCAGACAUUAAUAUAUUCUUUUCGGUGCUUCAAAUUCAGCAAAUUAAUUGUUUCAGUAUUCAGAUUUCAGAAUUCAGAUUCAGUUUUAACAUAAGUUGUCAAAGUUGUUACCCCUUGCUAAGCAGUUGAAAUCCGCAACGCAUUUGGCCCAAAAUGAGUCCACUCUAUACUUUUGAAGCCCAUGGCCCAUACAAGGAUUCAAAAGACUAGCCCAAGUUCAGCACAAUUAAUAAUACGGCGCGCGAGGAGAAGGGAAGGCGGCAGAAAACCCUAGCUCCCUCGUCCGUUCCUCCCCAAACACCAAAACCCUCUCGCUAUAUCUCCGUGUAUAAGUAGGUGGCGAGUCGAUAGAAGUAUCAGCAGCACUAAUAUUUUCGUGGGGAUCGUUGGGUUGGGGUAGGGCUAGUCUUCUGGUUCUAUGAUUCAGUUCUAUCUUUCCUUUUCUCCUUUUUCUGUAUUUGUAGGUAAAUCGAAAGCCUGUUGGAGCAUGUGAAUUUUCCUCCAUCCAUAUUGUUUGUGAUUUUAUUUUCUGCGUUUGGGCCUAUGAUUAAAUUUCAUCAAAACAUUGACAAGCAUAUGUCUGAAUUUAUGCUGUGUUGACAGAUCUAAUCUUCUCAAUGAGGCCCUCUACGUUUCUUCUGUUCUGUUUUUAUUUUGGGGUUUUCUUUUCGAGUAUGUGCUCUCUCUGUUCAUUUCAAGCAAAACUUUGGUUGACAUGAUGAUUAUUUUUCAUUUAUUAUCGUGAUUUUUUAAAAAAAUUCCGUUUGGAGUUUCCUUUUGUUUUCCCCAAAUGCUUUCUUUUUCUUUUUAAGAUGAACGUAAUAGAAGAAUGCCAAUGAUGAUUUACAGUGAUGAUGUUAUGUAUGAGAAAUCAGGGAUUACAACACCACUCUACUGCCUUCCUUCUGAGGCAAUACUACUUUAUUCUUACUCUAUUCCCUUUUUUUUCAUCUCUUUUUUGUUUUGUUUUUAAAAUUUUCACUUUAGCCGCGUUUAAGUUUGAUUCUUCAUUAACCAGAAGGUAUAACACAGGGCUACUUUUUCAAACUUGUUUUAGACGAGGAAUUAAUCGAGUCAUGGGAGAUUGUGAAGUCAGGUGAUGAUCAGAAGCAUAGUUCAAAUGAUAAAUCAUUUUUUAACGUGAUUAUAAAAUUUCUAAAGUCUUUCGCUCCUAUCUGAUGGCACUUCUGACUCCCAUGAAAUUAUUUCAUUUAGCUCUUUAAUUUUUUUUUUCUUUUUUCUUUUCCUUCAUUAAUGGUUAAUCAAAAAGUAUCGUCGCUGUUUGUAGUAUUUCUUUUUUUCUGGAAUAUUGCAGAAGAUUUUUUUUUUUUGAGGGAAAGAGUUACAGAAGAUUCAACUUUUUCCCUCUUUUGGGGACAGUGAUGAAUAAAUCAUAUUGGUCUCGUUCGGCGUAAUGGUGUUCAAUGCGAAUACCUUGCCGACCAUCCUGAUAUAUCACCACCCAUAAACUGAGUCCCCCUACUC
Molecule: long non-coding RNA, 93769 nt
Filed under: Coffea arabica (coffee)
Lineage: Eukaryota; Viridiplantae; Streptophyta; Magnoliopsida; Gentianales; Rubiaceae
Description: long non-coding RNA (CARA_LNC004012)
Rfam family: Small nucleolar RNA Z43 (bases 93659-93761)
Source: RNAcentral